This 92385-nucleotide long non-coding RNA is filed under the name Gossypium barbadense (sea-island cotton). RNAcentral describes it as "long non-coding RNA (GBAR_LNC005713)". The record is from RNAcentral. Lineage: Eukaryota; Viridiplantae; Streptophyta; Magnoliopsida; Malvales; Malvaceae.
AUUUCAAAUCCUUCUGUAAAAUAUUAUAUAAUUGAAAAAUUCAGAAACUAACCUCUAUUUUCGAUUGUUGAUCUAACAGUAGCUGAAUAUCUUCAAGCUAGUCCGCUAUACCUACAUGACUCGUCCAUUGUUCCGCCUAUUCAAAUACUAUUAUUUCAAAAAAUACAAUAAUGAAUAAAUAUUAUGAUAACUAUAUUAUUAAAUAAAUUUUACCUUGUUACGAGUGAGAAUCGAUAAUGGGCGUUGACUCGGGGGCGUAAAAAUUGUUGUUGGUAUCAUGCCCAUGACUGCAGAAGGAGUAUGCAACCACUGAUUUUAAUUUUUUAUGGUUGUGUCACCCGAAUCAUCUCUCGUUACAGUGUGGCCAACAUGGUUGAUCCCCAACUGGGUUGCCCUGCUUCUUUCAAGUCAACGAGUUGUAGUAGCCACAUUAGAUGUACCAGAUUUCGAGAUUUAAUGAGCAUUAGAAUACCCCUGAUUAACCUCAGGAUGAAUGCUCAAGCUAUUGAUGUCUUUCAAGGGCACUUGCAAAGUUGUCAAGAUAAUUGAAAAUUUCUUCCAACCAUUUUAUCUCUAUUUGGCUACCAAAAAACUUCUUUAACACCUUGCCUAGUAGUGCAUCGCAAAUACCACUCCAAUCACCAAAGUUCAUCGCCCCCGUAAUGAUUGACCCAUCCACCGGUAAAUCGAGUUGUAGCGUUACAUCCUCAAGUGUAAUUAUACACUCAUCGUAUGGAAGAAGAAAUGUGUGUGUCUCGGAUCUCCAUCUUUCUGCUAAUACGUUGAUAAGUGUAGGAUCCAAUUUACACCUCUAAGCAUAUGAGACACGUGUAAGAAUCUCGCCUCUUGUAAGUCUUCUUCAAUUACACGCGAUGCCUUCACAGAUAAAUUGUAGAUGUAAAUCUAUAAAAUUCGACCUUUGGCCAGAUUAUAUAAACAUAAAAUAUUAUAAACUUAAUAAUCUUAACAACUUAAUAAUGAACUUAAUUAAAAUUAAAAAUUUUAAGAAUAUAUUCUUACCAUUUGCAUUUAGACGCAGGAAAUAUGCACGUUAUUGAAACGAAUUAAAUAAAUUACCAUUAUAAAAAUUAAUUAAAAGUAAAUAAGUUCUGAAAUAUACAAUUAAAACAACAAGAUUUUUAGAGAAAUUAUCUUUUAAAAAUUGAGAACUAAAAACUUUAGAGAAUUGCUGAAUUGAGAGAAUUAGGAGAAUGAAAUUUGAAUGCAAAGAGUGAAACUGGCUUGGGUUUAUAUAGCAAAUAAACUAGCCAUUUUUAACUGUUAGAAAUAAUUUGCCAGUUGGAAUUUUUUACCGUUGGGAAAGCUUACCAUUGCCUGAAAGCGCGUCUAACAAGACACGUGUUUUCAUCUGACAUGGUAAGAAAGCCUAUCCUGCUGGACGUGUUUUCUAUUUCUCUUUCAAAAUCGACCUAUUUCCCUAAAUAUCCCGAAAUCGACCUAUUUUCCUUAUUUCUUUUUACAAAUUGGUGUAUUUCUCUAAUUUAGCCAGAUAAUUAUAUUAGAUUAUGAUUUAUGACAUACUUACAUAUAACAAUUUUUUUUUUAAAAAAAGGCAUAAUGAUUUAUUGUCUCUUAAACUUUACAAAAAAGUUAUUUUAGUAUUCUAUUUUUUUCCUUUUUUAGCCCUUAAACUUGUAUUAUUUAUUAAAUCACCCUAUAAUGGAUGAAAAAGUUAAUAUCUGUUAACUUUGCUGAUGUGGCAUCCACGUAGUAGUCCAUGUGUAUACCACAUUAAUUAGUAAUUAAUUAAUUUUUUAAAAAUAAGUUAUUAACACCAAUUCAGUAAAAAUGUUAAAAUUUAUGGUAUAUAUAUGUAUACGUCAGGGGUCGCGGAUCGAAGCUUGUGACGAGUACACAUAGAGGUCAAACUGAUUAAAUGAGGCUCAUUUAACUUAUUUGAACUGACUUGAUUCGUGAAACACAUGAAGAAGUUCAUCUACUUGAAGGCUUGAUGGCCUAGUGGAACCCUCCAGUAAAACUAGAGUUCCCAUGGUUAAUAUUUGUAAUCCUAAGGGAUAAGAUUGUAUAGAGUUUAAAACCCUUAGGACUCUAAUUUUGUAGAUAGGCUUUGAUCUUGACCGGUGAUGUAAUUUAACUGUACCGUUGGAUUAGGGGGAGCUCAACUAUAAAAAGAAGCAUUCCCCCUCAUUUGUAAGCAUUCCAUUCAUAGUUAUUUAAUAUAUGUGAGAGCAUUUAUUUAAAUACCUUGUGUGCAUUACUUUUUUGUGACUUUUCUGUUAGAUUCGUGUCUCUUUGUCUUUUGAGUUGUUUUCGCUUUAUUUCGGUGCCUUAGAGAAUUUCUUUUGUGAAUUUUGAAUUUCGAGAGUAAGGCUGGCUUAGGCAAAUUAGAAGCAAAAGAAUCAACUAAGGUUGUGCUAUAUGCUAGACUAAACUUCUAAUCCCGUGACAUACACAUACUAGUUUUAUGAUAUACACAGGAGAAAAUAAGACUAUGUAAAAAAUAUAUUUAUAAAUAUUUUAUAUUAAAACCAACGGAAGCCUUAACUGAAAUGAUUAAAUUAAAAGUUUGAAAUACAUGUGUCUCAAGUUCAAUUCCUAUUAUAGUAUUAUUUUACUAAUUACAUCAUCAAACUAUCAGUGUUAUGUCAAUAAGAAACUUUGCUACUUUGGUUCUAUUAUUUUCAAAAAGAAAAUGCACAAUGAUUUAUUUAUCCCUUUUAACUUUAUAAAAAAUUAAUUUUAGCCUUCAUUUAAUUUUUUGUUUAUUUUAGUUGUUAAAUUUACGUUUUUUUAUCAAAUUAUCUUAAAAUGAUGAAAAAAUUAAUAUUUUUAAGUUUCCUAACGUGACAUACACAUAGAUUGCCACAUGGAUGACAAGUCAACAUUUAAUUAAUUUUACAAACUUUAAAAACUAAAAACUAAAAAAUUACCAAAAUUAUUUUUAAAAAUUAAAAAUCAUUAAAAUUAUUUUUAAAAAAAUAUAAAAAAUAUUUUUAAAUUUCAAAAAUUUAAUUAAAUGUUAAUAUUUUAUUCAUUUGUCAAUUCACGUGUAUACCACCUUAGCAAAACUAAAAAGCGUUAUCUUUUUUAUUCAUUUUAGAGUGAUUUGACAAAAAUUACAAGUUUAAGAUAUAAAAGAGAAAAAAAGAUUAAAUGAAAUACUAAAAUAAUUUUUAUUUAUUUAUAAAAUUGGAAGUUGACAUAAGCAAAAACCAAUAUACCCAAUUCAGGACAUCAUUGGAUUAUAUGCGUAAAUGUUAGAUUUAAAUAGUAGUACAUAAAUAAAUGCACCAUAAUAGCUACCUUAAAAUAGACUUGUUAAUUGUUGUACUUGCUUGAGUGUUCCCUCGUAAUUACUUACGUAUUUUUGUUUUUAGUUAUAUUAAAGUUGUUUUAUAUUUUGCUAAUAAUCUCUUAACUCAAUGGUAAGAGUAUUAUAUUGUAGAUACGAGAGUCUGGAUUCGAUCCCAAAUGACUCCAUUCUCAUCCUUCAAUUAUUAUAUUUAUACAAGGUAAAUGUUGAAUGGUUUGUAAAUAAAGAAGGGUAUAAGAAUUGAUUAUUCUAUUUAAAAACUUACAAAUUUAACAUGGAUAAAGUUCGAACAACAAACGCAACUGGAACCCAGGCCAUCACAUGGGGUUCGGAUGGUUAAAUUCUUGAGAAAUGCAUUUGUGUUUUAUCUAUAAUCUAUAAUAUGUAUAAAAGUUUGUAUGAAAAACUUUUGAACUGAUGAGAACAUAAUUUAUUUUCUAUCAUAUUAUUAAAUUUAUAUUUAAAAAUAAUUAUAAUAAUUAAUUUUAAAAUUAUUAGUUUAAAAAGUUGUGAUAAUUAAACAUUUAAAAUAAUUAUAAUUUAAUAGAAGUAGUGAUAAUUAAACAUUUAAAAAUAAUUAGAAUUUAAGUUAGAAUUAUUUGUUAAAAACAAUUGUGCUAAUUUUAAAAUUGAGUUAUUACUUGAAUAGAACUAUAAACAUAAAAUAGGGAAAAAUUGUGAUAAUUAUAAUUAAUAAGUAUUAGUUUAAAAUGUUUUGACAUAAACAGAAGUUGUGCUAAUUUUAUUGAUAUAAAAUAGAGUUAUACUUGAAAAGAAUACUAAACAUAUUAAUUAUCACUUAAUUAAUAUUAGAUUUAAUUAUGUUAAUUGGUUAUUAUUUUGAAUAAUUUUACUUUGCAUUAAUUACAUAAAUUAAAACUAUAUUGUAUGUUGAAUAUGUUGAAAAUGCUUUAAUUAUUAUUUGAAAAUUUUCUGUUAUAAUAUUUGAAUUGAUAAAUUAAUACAUUCAUAUUAUAUUCAAUCAUUUAAAUAAGAAAUAUUAUUUAACAUUAAUUAUUGCAAUUAAAAUGAAUUAUUUAAAAAACUAAUUAAAUAUUACAUGAACUAGUAGAUAUAAAAGCAUGAGUUUAGAGUUUUUUUAUUACUAAAUUGAAAUUUUAAAAAAUAAUUAUAAUAUUUAAUUUUAUAAUUAUUAAUUAAAAAUUUUGAGGUAAAAUAGAACUUGUGAUAAUUGUAUAUUUAAAAUAAUUAUAAUUUUAUUUACAAUUAUUACUUAAAAAAGUUUAGUUAAAAUAAUUAUGAUUAGUACUUUGUGGGAAAAGUAGUGAUGCAUAUUGGGCAACUGAAUCAAGUAAAUGCUAUGAGCGAGGUACAUCUAGAACACUUUCCUAGUGUUUUAAAUUUUGACUUACUGUUGGCUUGGUAAAGACAUAAAGGUCCUUCCAAAGUUUUGAAGUAGGUAAGUCAAGGGGCUUACAAACCAAAAUUAGCAACAAUACUCAAGGUUAACUCGGUGUUCAAUGUAAGGGUGCUGAAGCCUAUUUGUAAGGAUCAAUGUGAUCCUGAUUAAGACAAGUCAUGAUGGGGGCAAGUAAGAGCUGUAGGCUCUUGCGAACGAGAUGUAUAAGAUAGAGAUACAAAUCGAGUAAAGCGACAAAAAAGACAAGCCAAGGAAAAUGUUCCGAGGGGACGAACUACCCUACAGAGAGACUAGUUAGGAACCAACCGAGGCAUUGCAACAAUUUCGAUAUGAGUCAAACCAGUGUCAUUCUAAGGACGUGACAAGGGCUUCGCGAGAAUGGAUGGGGAGAAUGUCACAGGCCAUGAAUAAAUCUCGUGACUAUUACACAUAAGAACGUCUCGUGGAGGUCAACUGAUUAAAUGUGACUCAUUUGACUCACUUGAACUGGCCUGAUUCAUGGAAAUCAUGGAGAAACCUAUCUACUUGAAGCCUUGGUGGCCUAGUGAAACACUAAUAAAACUAAACUUACCAGAGUAAUUAAUGUAAAUCCUAAGGGAUAAAGAUGCAUAGAGUUUAAAACCCCUAGGACUCUCAUAUUGUAGAUAGUAACUAAUCUUAGUUGUUGAUGUAAUUCUAUAACAACUCGUUUUCAGUGGUUUCGGGAUCACAAAUUCGACCAAUGAGUCAACAAAUAUUAAUAUUUACAAAGUUAUUAGAGUGUUGUAUUAAAAUUUGCUUUAGAAUUGUAGCGUUUGGUCAGUUAAUUAAGGAAAAAAAGAUUAAAUCGUAAAAUUUGCAAAAUUAAUCGUUAUUAAUUUAUAUUAGCUAAAUCUUUAUAAAAUAUUAAUUGGAGGGUUUUAUGAGGCAAAUAGACCAUGCUAGCUAUAGUGGACAGUUUAGGUAUGAUAUUUUAUGAAAUUUAAGUUAUUUUAAAAGGGUAAAAUAAUAAUUUAAUAAAUAAAACAUGAACUAAAACAAACAAAGGUUACCAUCUUCCUCAUUUUGAAUUCACCAACCGAAAACCACCAUUGACAAGGGUUUAAUAAUUAGCUAAGCUUGAUCUUCUUGCACGCAAGUCAUUUGGAUACUCAUUUUUAGUAAUUUUUAUUUUUUUAGAUUGUUGUAGCUUAAUCUAGUUAGUACAUGGACUAUUUUGUAAAACUGUUAGAGGUUUGAAAAAUUACCAUUGAUGAAUUUGAAGUUUUUAUUUAUUAAAUGGUUGAGCUUGAAGAGUUGUUUUGAUAUGAGAUUGUUUUGUAAAAUGAAUUUGGUUAAUUUUAAAUUUAGGGACUAAAUUGAUGAUAUAUUGAAAUUAGCAUGAAAUCCUUGUAAAAUUUCAUUGAUUAUGGGCUUUAAAUGAAUAAGAGUAAAUUUAGUUUGCAUGCUUUGGGCUUGAUUGUGAUGAAUGCGUAACUUUCGAUUUUCAUGAUUAAAUUGAAUAAAAGGAAAAAGUUCAAGGUAAUAAUGUAAAAUGUUAUUAAAAGGUCAAGUGCAUGUAUUUAAAUAAUUUAAGGUAUUUGAAAUGGUUAAUUGAGUUAAAUUAUUAUAUAGAUCAUGAAACGGACCAAUCGGUAGAUAACCGCAGUAAAGGAAAAAUUGCGGAGUAAUCCUCGAUGUGGUGUUUGUAGCUGUUUUGUUUAGGUAAGUUCGUAUUAGGUUUUUUCUAUUUAUAAAAUGUUUGAAUUGAAUUAUGUAUGUGUAUAAAUGUAUAAGUGUUGGUAUGGUUAUUUGAGAAAAGUAUAGAUGUGGAAUCGAGGGGCUGAAAUGUAAAGUAUAACAAUUAUACUUGUUUGAAAUGAAAAUGACCAUGUUGAAUAUGGUGUUAUAUUAUAAAGAUGGAAAGAAUAUGGGAAAUGAGUUAAGGCCCGUGUGAGCUUAGUGAAUGAUUAGGAUACAAAUGACAUGUCAUUAAGGUUUAUCAGGCACUAUGUGUCGGUGAUUACAGUUAUUAGGUACUUUGUAUCGGUGUUACAGUUAUCAAACACUUUGUGCUGGCAACAUUAAUGAUUAAUGUUCCAAUUGUCAACUUGUGUGAGCAAAAUUAUCCCGAGUAUCUGAAGUUAAUUUACUAUAGUUCCCUAGGAAAAAUAAGAUAAAGAAAUGAAUGGAAAUGUUGAGUAUGAGUUAUAUAUGAAUCAUGUGCUUAUCAUGUUAAUAGAUUGAAUGAAAUGAUGUACUAACCUAUUUGGUUAUAUUGUGAAAGGUGUAAGAGAUUAUGGAAUGGUAUGUAUGUAUGCUAAUUACAUUAAGUAAAUUAUGAAAUAUCAAGCACGUUAUGUUUAAGUUUUAUACAAACUUAUUAAGCUUUAAAUAAGCUUAUCUCGUUUUGUUUUUUUCCUUGUAGAUUGUUGAAUUUGUGUAGUCGAUUGAAUCAUCUUGGGAAAUCACACUAUUCGUCAACUAUUUUUGUAACUAUUUACUUAUUUUAGUCUGGUUAUAAGUGACAUGUAAAUAGGUUAAUGACAAUAUAUGUACAAAAGUAGUUUGAUUAUGUUUUGUGCCAAUUUGAAGAUGAACUACGUGUGUAAAGAUGCAAACUAUAACGGUUGUUUUAGUGGUUUGUGGCUUGUGUUGGUAUAAGCAUAUUUGGUAUAAACCAUAUGCUUCAACUUUUCAGAGUAAUAACUGAGGUCUUCAGUACAUGGUAUAAAUAGAUAUGGAGACAAUAGAUCUCCCUAUUAUAAAUUCCGAUGCGAUGAAAUAGGCCCAACUUUCCAACCGUUCAAAGAGAUUGAGUAACUAAUUGUAGUCACACACAACAUGAUCCAAUUAAUCCAGCACUCAUCAAACCCCAUUUUGCUCAUUAUAAACUAUGAAAAACCCCGUCUAUCUGGUUAUAAGCCUUAUAGAUAUCGAUCUUCAUAGUAACCUCCCAUUUUUGCUCUAUCUCCCUUUCUUUCACAAAUAAUGGAUUAGCUCAAACGCAAUUAGAAUAUUAUUUGUAAUUAAUCAUCUUGGAAUAAAAAUCGUAAAUAGUAACUUUUUUUAACUGACAAGCAAGGACCUUCACAAGAAUCUUGUAUAGAACAUUGCAAGGAGCUGUAGGCCUAAGAUCCUUCUUAGAAGUUGGCUUAUCCUUCUUUGUAACAAGCACUACAAUAGUCUCGUUUAAGCAUUCCCGGAAAUAGUUCACUCCACCCAAGAGCAACACUGCACAUACACAUCCUGUCCAACAAUAGGACAACACCGUUGAAAAAAUGUAAGAUUCAGACCAUCCGGCUCCGACGCUUUGUCUAGGUGCACCGACAUAACCGCUUCUUUAAACUCUCAAGGCUCAAAUGCAGCAAGCAAGGAUCUGGUCCGUAUUGACAGAAGGCGCAAACUCGACAUAUGCAGAAUAAUCAUAAGACUUAAGAGAUUGAUGCAACAAAUAGAUCCUAAAAGUACCCUUCCACAAUCACCCACAUACCAUCAUCUCUGGUGCAAGGAUUACCUGAUCCAGCUAGCAACAUAGAUCCUUGAUUAAUCCGACGACACUUUGAUUCUUGGGCGUGAAAAUACUUAGUAUUCGCCUCCCCAUGACACAACCAUAAAACCUUAGCCCUUUGACGCCAAUACACAGCCUGUUGAGAGAGCAAGAAGUUAAGUUGGGAGCGCAACUCCAGUAAAGAUAAAUCAUUAACCCAACAAGCUUGCGCGACUGUUAUACGCCGCUUUAGAUCUUGGAUACGAGGUGCAGAGUUAGUAGCGGCUGACUAGUGCUAGUGCCAAAAUGCCUCACUACAAGCAUGCAGACGCUCAAUUAUACCAACUGAAGCAGAAUCGUUCCAACAACCUGACAUCACUCCACUAAAACCUCCUUCGAGAGCCAUGAGUUUUCGCACUUAAACCUCCUCAUACGAUAACAAGCAAAACAAGAUUAUUAUCUGACGUUUCACUGACUAAAUUAUAUAACUUGAAGAAAGGAAAUAAUUGCAUCCAAGACAAAGGUGCAAACGCUCUGUCCAACCGUUCCAUCACAAAAGAAUCAGCUCAUAACUAGUUUUUCUCACCCCCAAUAAGAAAACAAACUUCUCUAUUACAUGAAUUUCGAUUAAAUGAGCAAUAUAAUACAAAAAUUUUGAUUUUUGAUUUUGUAUGUAAUUUUAUAAAUAAAUUUUUGAUUUGAUUCAAUUUUUAUAAAUUAUUAACAACAUUAUCGAUGCAUUGAUAUACUGUAUACGUAAAUAAUUAUAUUAAUCCAAUUUGAAAAUAAAUAUAUAUAUUCAUUAAUGUAUAUAAUUUCACCAAGUCAAAGUUCAUAUAUCAAAUUACAUAUUAAACUAAAAUUCAUGUAUAAUUUGGUAUUUAUCCCUUUAAUUAAUAAAAAAUAAUUUGGGCAUUUAAAGUUACCCAAAAUAUCUUGUUUUUUAUGUUAAUUUGUGUCGAAACCGUUUUUAUUUUGAAAAACGGGAAUCGACUUUUCAAAACGAAGUAUGGAGUCGCCACCGAUCCUUUUUUGAGGUGUAAUCAGAUCACCUUGAGAUUGAUCAUUUUAAUAAAACAUUUAAUUUAUUAAAACAAUAAUUUUAGGUCUACGAAAAUUGAGAAAACAAGUUCGGAAGUCGGUUAUGCACAAGGAAGGGUUAACACCCUCGUAACGCCCAAAAUUGGUACUAAUUAAUUAUUUAAUGUCUUAUCGUUGAAAUCUGAAAGAAAAAUGUUAAAAUACGAUCCCCUUAAAAAUGCGUAAACAACUCGAGUUGGAUUUUAAGAUUCACUCGUUUCAAAGGAAUUGCGAAAAAAAUAAAAUAAAAUAAAAUAAAGAACACACAAAUUUUACGUGGAAACCCUUUCGGGAAAAAAACUAAGGGCAGAGGAGAAGAAAAUUCACUAUGUCGAAAAAAUUGAAUCAAAUACAAAAGGAAUAGACUAUGUCUAUUUAUAGGCUUGCAAAGCCAUAUUCUAGUAGGAUUGAAACACUUUAUCCUAAUCAAUAUAAAAUAGAUGGAGUUUAAUAAGGUUUAAAAAACCUUAUUCUAAAAUAAAAUAAAAGAAGUCUAGUUCUAUAUGGAUUUUACUUUUUAUUUUAUUUUCCAUCGUAUUUUAUUUAAAUAAGAAUUUGGGUCACUUAAUUCUAAUAAUCUCCACCUUGACACAAAUUCUCAAUGAAUAAGUUCUUCAUCGCGAACUUUCAAUAAACGAGUUCUCCACCUCUUCCAUAAAAUCCCUUAAGGGUUUAACUUCAACAAUGAACACCAACCAAGUCUAAGCAAUGCUCAAACUUGGUUAUAGGAAAUGACUUAGUCAUCAUAUCUGCAGGAUUUUCAUGAGUACUAAUUUUGCUCACAACAAUAUCACCACGAGCAAUAAUAUCACGAACAAAAUGAUACCGAAUAUCAAUGUGUUUUGUUCUCUCAUGAAACAUUUGAUCUUUUGUAAGAAAGAUGGCACUCUGACUGUCACAAAAUACUGUGCUGAUUUGAAGGUCUUCAUUGAGUUCAUUACGUAGUCCCUUCAACCAAAUAGCUUCUUUACAAGCCUCAAUAAUCGCCAUGUAUUCAGCUUUAGUGGUAGACAAAGCGACUGUAGUUUGCAAAGUGGCUUUCCAACUAAUUGCACAACCUCCGAUUGUAAAGACGUAACCUGUGAGAGAUCUUCUUCUAUCAAGGUCUCCAGCAAAAUCAGCAUCAACAUACCCUAUAACUCUAUCUUUAGUUCUUCCAAACUGUAAGCAAACAUAGUAGUGCCUCAUAAGUAUCUUAAAAUCCACUGAACUGCUUUCCAAUGUUCUUUAUCGGGAUUUUUCAUAUAUCUGCUAACUGCACUGACUGCAUAUGAUAAAUCUGGACGUGAACAAACCAUAGCAUACAUGAGCAAUCCCACUGCACUAGAGUAUGGAACAUGUGACAUGUACUCGGUCUCAUCAUCUGAUUGAGGAGACAAGGCCGAUGAAAGUCUGAAAUGGGCUGCUAAAGGAGUACUAACAGGCUUAGCACUCUGUAUAUUGAACCUGCAAAGAACUUUCUCAAUGUACCCCUUCUGACUUAGGUACAAUUUACUUGCUUUUCUAUCUAUGAGAAUCUCCAUACCAAGUAUCUUCUUUGCUGGUCCUAAAUCUUUCAUCUCAAAUUCUUCACUUAGUUGGGCUUUAACCUUUCUUAUCUCUCCUUUAUCUUUUGCUGCUAUCAACAUGUCAUCAACAUAAAGAAGUAGAUACACAAAAGAACCAUCACUGUUUUUCUUAAAGUAAACACAACUUUCUAAACUACUUCUUUUGAAAUCAUGAGAAGUCAUAAAAGAAUCAAACCUCUUGUACUACUGUCUUGGUGACUGUUUCAACCCGUAAAGGGACUUUCUCAGAAGCAAACAUAGUCCUCUUUUUCUGGGACUAUAAAACCCUCUGGUUGUUGCAUGUAAAUAUCUUCCUCAAGUUCUUCAUGCAGAAAUGCAGUUUUUACAUCUAACUGCUCAAGCUCCAAAUCAUGCAUGGCCACAAUACCAAGCAAAGCUUGAAUCGAACUAUGCUUAACAACUGGAGAGAACACAUCUGUGAAGUCCACUCCUGGAAUUUGACUGUAACCCUUUGCAACAAGCCUUGCUUUAUAUAUGGGUUCUUCAACUCCUAGAGUCCCUUCUUUCUUUUUAAACACCCAUUUACAACGAACAACCUUUUUACCUUUAGGAAGUUUCACAAGGUCCCAUGUUCUAUUUUUGUGGAGUGAUUCCAUCUCUUCUUGCAUAGCAAACAUCCACUUUUCUAAGUCUUCACAGCUAACCGCCUCAGAAUAAUUAGAUGGCUCUUGAUUCGCAUCUAUAUCUUCAGCCACAUUUAAAGCAUAAGCAACUAGAUCAACCUCGGCAUACUUCUUUGGAGGUUUAAUUUCUCUUCUAGUUCUAUUUUUGGCGAUAGAGUAUUGUGGUGAAGAAGCAACUCUAUUCUCAAUUUUUGUUCUGGCUUGAGGAGUUGACUCUGUAUUAAUUUGAUGCUCCACCUACUUUUGAUUUUCUUUAUUGGAAGAGUCUUUAAGAGAUAAGUUAGGUAGCAUAGCAGUUUUAUCAAAAACAACAUCUCUGCUAAUCACAACUUUUCUAUUUUCAGGACACCAUAACUUAUACCCUUUUACACCAGCUUUAUAACCAAGAAAAAUGCAUUUAAUAGAUCUCGGUUCCAAUUUUCCAUUAUCAACAUAAGCAUACGCAGGACACCUAAAAAUCUUUAAAUCAGAAUAAUUAGCAGGAUUACCAGACCAUACCUCUUGUGGAGUCUUUUUCUCAAUGGCAACGGAUGGAGAUCGGUUGAUCAAAAAACAUGCAGUAGAGGCCGCUUCUGCCCAAAAUGCCUUCGGUAAGUUGGCAUUUGACAACAUACAUCAAACCUUCUCCAUGAUCGUUCUGUUCAUUCGUUCUGCAACGCCGUUUUGCUGUGGAGUAUGACGAACUGUCAAGUGUCUCAUGAUCCCUUCUGACUUGCACAAUCUAUUAAACUCAUCAGAACAAAACUCUAAGCCAUUGUCUGUGCAGAGGUAUUUUAUCUGUUUUCCCUUCUGUUUUUCAAUCAUAAUUUUUCAAGACUUAAAUGCGAAAAACACAUCACUUUUCUACUUCAGGAAAAACGCCCAAACUUUUCUGAAAAAAUCAUCAAUAAAGGUUAGCAUAUAAUUAGCUCUACCUCUCUAAGGCACUCUGGAUAGCCCCCACAGAUCAGAAUGAAUAUACUCCAACGUUCCCUUCGUGUUAUGGAUUCCUCUAGUGAAUCGAACUCUCUUUUGCUUCCCAAAAACACAGUGCUCACAGAAAUUCAAUUUGCAAAUUCCUUGCCCAUUAAGAAGUCCUCUUUUGCUUAAUUCUGUCAUACCAUUCUCACUCAUAUGCCCUAGGCGCAUAUGCCAAAGUUUAGUAAUAUCAUCAUCUGACAAGGAAGAGGAAGUGACAGCUGCAUCACCAGUAACAGUAGAACCUUGUAAAACAUAUAACUUGGCAAUCUUUUUCUGCCCUUUCAUCACAACAAGGGACCCUUUGGAAAUCUUUAAAACCCCACUUUCAGCUGUGUAUCUGUACCCUUUUGAAUCAAGAGUACUCAACGAAAUUAAAUUUCUUUUCAAUUCUGGAACAUACCGCAAGUCACUAAAUGUUCUGACAACUCCAUCAAACAUCUUAACUUUAAUUGUUCCAACACCUGUGAUUUUAUAUGAAGCAUUAUUUCCCAUCAAAACAACACCUUCAGAUACUGUUUCGUAAGUUGUAAACCAAUCCCGAUUGGGACUCAUGUGGAAGGUGCAGCCUGAAUCAAGUAUCCACUCCUCGCUUACUUUAGAAUCAUUGACAGAAGCGACUAGAAGUUCACCAUCGCUGUAGUCUUCUACAAAAUCAGCUUCACCGGAAUUUUCUGGUUGUUUUCUCUUUUGAUUCGCCGCCUCCCUUUUAAUCUUAUUUUGUAGCUUAUAGCACUCAGAUUUAAUGUACCCUUUCUUCUUGCAGAAGUUGCAAGUUUUACCUCUGUUUGAAGACUUCCAUCUACACUUAGAUUUACCACGAAGAUUCCGUUCCUGUGUCCUACCACGAUCAUCAUCAACAUUCUGAUCUUGUCUCCCACGAACAAUGAGACCCUCUCCUUGAGAGUCGAGUUUAACCACAAGAUGCUUCAUCUUAUCAUACGAGGUUAAAGAAUCAUAAACCUCAUCAACUAUGAGAGACUCGCGGCUAUAUAAAAUCGUGUCUCUAAAGGUUGAAUAAGAUGGGGGCAGCGAACAAAGUAAAAUCAACCCUAGAUCUUCCUUAUCAUACUGAACCUCCAUGGCCUCCAAGUUUGAGAGAAUUUCUUUAAACACUGUUAAGUGUUCGUGUACAGACGCACCUUUCUCCAAACGAUGAGCAUAAAGACGCUGCUUCAUAUGCAACUUGCUUGUUAGAGUUUUCGACAUACAUAUUUGUUCUAGCCUUUUCCAUAAUGCAGCGACAGUUUUCUCUUUCAUCACAUCCUGCAAAAUUUCGUUGGACAAAUGCAGAUGUAAUUGUGUUAAUGCCUUUCGACCCUUACGCUUCUUCUCUUCAUCUGCUAAUGUCGAAGGCAUCUUAUCUAUCCCUAGCAGGGCAUCCUCCAGAUCUAUCUGUGCAAGAACUGCUUGCAUCUUAAUUUGCCACAACGCAAAUCUGGUGUUGCGAUCCAACAGCGGAAUUUCAUACUUCAAAGACGCCAUUACCGUGAUCGAGAUGAAUAACCCGGAAGCUCGGAUACCAAUUUGUGAAAAAAUAAAAUAAAAUAAAUAAAAUAAAGAACACACAAAUUUUACGUGAAAAUCUUUUCGGGAAAAAAACCACGGGCAGAGGAGAAGAAAAUUCACUAUGUCGAAAAAUUUGAAUCAAAUACAAGAGGAAUAGACUAUGUCUAUUUAUAGGCUUGCAAAGCCAUAUUCUAGUAGGAUUGAAACACCUUAUCCUAAUCAAUAUAAAAUAGAUGGAGUUUAAUAAGGUUUAAAAAACCUUAUUCUAAAAUAAAAUAAAAGAAGUCUAGUUCUAUAUGGAUUUUACUUUUAUUUUAUUUUUCAUCGUAUUUUAUUUAAAUAAGAAUUUGGGUCACUUAAUUCUAAUAGGAAUAAAAUACGAAAUCCAGCAUGUUAGGAAAAGAUAUUUUAAGCCUCCAAAAACUGAGAUCACCUCAAGAUUUCCAAAAUACGCGAUGAAUACAAUCCCCUUAAAAAUGUGUGAACAAUUUGAGUCGGAUUUCAAGAUUCACUCAUUCCAAAGGAAUAAAAUACCACAUCCAGCUGGUUAGGACACGAUAUUUUAAGCCUCCAAAAAUUGAGAUCAUCUCAAGAUUUCCAAAAUAUGCAACAAAAUUUAAAAAAAAGGGUAUUUGGUUAUUUGGUCAAGCGGUAAAUCGACACCCAGCACGUUAGGGCAUGAUCUCUCGAAUUUUCAAGCGCGAAACAUUGCAUUAUUUUGAGAAAAUUCAAAUAAACAUUUAUAAAAACCGAGUCAAAAUAUACUUUUUUGGUUUGUUUGGAGAUAAAAAACAAUUGGUGUCGGGCGAAAAGUUGGAAUUUCAAAAUCAUGAUGCAAUAACGAGCAUACAAGCUUAGUAUUGGGCAUGAAAUAAAAAUUCGAGACAAUAAUAUUACAUGAAUAAGUAAUGAGAAACACAAAGGAAUAAGUUAAGGUACAUGCAGUGGCAACAUAUUAUAUGCUAUAUAAAUACAAACAUGAAUAAUCGAAAGCUAAUAAAUUAGAAGCCGACUUAGAGGAAAUUCCAUGCAAAUUACACUAAAGAAAUAUCAAGUUUCAAAAUAAAAUUAAAUGAACAAUUGGGCAGAAAGAAAAUAUAAAAACAUUACUAUACAAACAACACAAAGAUUUUAAAACAAGUCAUAUAUACAAGGAUUUUAAAAUGAGAAAAAAAUAUAAAUAAAUAAAAUAUAUUUAAUAAAAUACAAUUGAACUUUAAAAUAAAUAAUAUAAAGUAAAUAAUAUACAAAAUAAUACACAUAUUAAUUUACAUAAAAAGACUUAAUAUAAAUAAUUGGUGUAUAAGAGUACAAAUAUAUAAAAAGUAUUUGAAUUAAUAAAAGUGACAGAAUAAAGUUUAUAUAAAAAAAAAGCUUUCUAAAAGGGGAAAAAAUAUAUCUAUAUAAAAUAAUAUAACGUCAAUAAUAUAUAUAUAUAUAACUAAAUGAUGUGUAAAUAUAAAAAAAAAACGUAUGGGGAUAUUUAAAUUUAGCACGUUGAAAUAAAAGAAACACAUAUUGAAAUAGUAGGUAAACUCAAUUGAAAUAAACCAAACUUAAAGAGAUAAUUUAUGAAUAAAUAAAACAUCAAAUUAAAACUAAGGACCACAAUUCAAUGCGCACAAAUUCACAAGGACUGAAAACGCAAAUGAUCCAGAUCUCCAAAAUGCAGCACCUAGGCGCAGGCUAAAUUGCAACAACACAGAAAUAUCAGGGAAAAUUUUAAAAAACAAAUAAUAUGCAAAUAGGGCCAAUUGAGAGCUAGUGCGAAAGUGGGGACUAAUUGCGCAAAUAACCCAUUUAAGAGGAAAUGCGCGAACUUCCAAACCCCAUGCUGCUUUACUUUUUCCAAACCCCAUGCUGUUUUACUUUAUUAUUUAAACAAUUUUUUUUCUGCUUAAAAAACGUUUUAACUUUGUUCUUGAAAAACCUAAGUUUUGAUAUGCUUUCUCAGCCCUCUCACACCCUAUUCAGCCGAAUUACCCAGGCCCUCAAACACUGCCACUUUCCAUCGCACACGCCGCCGUGGACAACCAACGGAAGACCCUUUUGCCAGGUGAAUCGGGAAGUAUAUCUAUCCUUCCUCCUUUAUUACCAUUUUAGCAUAUAAAUCAUGGAUUUGAAAAAAAAUAAAAAAAGAUGAAGAAAAAACAGAAGAAAAUAGCAAUAAAUAAUCACCUUUGAAAUAUCUUGGUUGCUCUCUAUUGAUUUUGUGUGUAUUUUGUAUUCUAUUUCUCUAAACAAAACCCCAUUACACUUAAAAACGAAGGCUUUUAUAGCCAAAAUACAAGCAGUUUUUUGGCUAUUUUUGCUCAACUUGCAGGUCAUGAAGAAGUGGGUGUGAACGUGGAGUAGGGCGUGCGUGCGUGCGUGGCGGAGGUGAUCGUGGCUGAAGGCUGCGGCGCAAAUAAAGCUUUUAAGGAUUUAGGGUUUCAGUUUUCUGAUUGCUUAGAUUAGAGCAUGAGUAUUGGGCUUAUGUAAACAGGCCAAAAUUAUUUGGGUUGUUUUAUGUAAUUGGGCUGGCUAAAAAUUGGGACUAUUGUUUUUUGUUUUAUUUUUUGUAUAUGUAUGGAUCCAGGCUAAAAAUUGGGUCUACAGCUACCCCUCUUUGCUCGUUGUUGUGUAACGAGAAUGAAGCAAAGGCCACAAAAAGACCAAUUUUUCUCGGUAUUUUCAUAUCUCGACCACUUCGGUGCUAUUUUUCUUCAAGUAGUCUUACAGCAACUUCAAGAAGAUAAUGUUUGUGACUUCAACUUACUCUACUGCAACUUCAGGGAGAUAUGGUUGAUGACUAAAAUCUGCUCCAUAGCCGAUACAUAGAAAUAAGAUCUGUUAUUUUUUAUUUGCUCCAUAGCCGAUACGUGAAGAUAAGAUUUGUAAUUUUCAGUCUGCUUCCUGCAACUCCAAGAAGAUAAGACUUGCAUAUUGAGCCUGCUCCACUGUAACUUCAGAGAGAUAAGGCUGGUGGCUAAAAUCUGCUCCAUAGCUGAUACAUGUUGAUAAGACUCGCCAUUUUCGACCUGCCCCAUAGUCGAUACAUGGAGAUAAGAUCUGUAAUUUUCAGUUUACUUUCUACAACUUCAGGAAGAUAAGACUUGUAUCUUCAACCUGCUCUCUUGCCACCUCAGAGAGAUAAGGCUGGUGGCUAAAAUCUGUUCCAUAGCCGAUACAUGGAGAUAAGACUCGCCAUUUCUGAUCUGCUCCAUAGCCGAUACAUAGAGAUAAGAUCUGUAAUUUUCAGUCUGCUUCCUGCAACUUCAAGAAGAUAAGACUUGCAUAUUGAGCCUGCUCUACUACAACUUCAGAGAAAUAAGCCUGGUGGCUAAAAUCUGCUCCAUAGCCGAUACAUAGAGAUAAGAUCUGUAAUUUUCAGUCUGCUUCCUGCAACUUCAAGAAGAUAAGACUUGCAUAUUGAGCCUGCUCCACUGCAACUUCAAAGAGAUAAGGCUGAUGGCUAAAAUUUGCUCCAUAGCCGAUACAUGGAGAUAAGACUCGCCAUUUUUUAUCUGCUCCAUAGCCGAUACAUGGAGAUAAGAUCUGUAAUUUUCAUCGAUAUCGCUACACUGUCCUCUGGGGAACAUGCCCUACAGACUCGGUUUCAUGUCUAUGCUUAUGCCAAAUGAUUAGAAUGCUAUGAUCGAAAUGAAUCAGAUGCUCCUAACCAAAUGUGUUAUGAAUUAUAUGAAUGUAGAAAUGAAAAUGAUUUCUCUUUUUUUUUUUUAAAUAACUUUAAGUGUCAUCACUCGUUAUUCAUCAAAGCUUUAUCACCAUCGUAUUAUGCUGCCUUAUUGCUCGACUAGCAUUUCUCAACAAAACUUGUAGAAACAACUUAUUUUGCUCAACUGGUUUGCCCCAUUGUAACCUUAGGGUUUGUUUCACUGUACUUCUAGAACCUAAGGUUUGUACCAUAUUCAAAACCCUAUUUUCCAUCAAUUUGGUCUAUUACACCACUCUCCGGUCCCCAUGACCAGAUGUGUACGCCCGACAUUACACUAAUGAGGAAUAUCAUGAUCCCCUCCUAUACUUUUAUUGACACAAUAUCCUAUUUUCUUAUUCAAUCAAGAUCUUUGACUGAAAAUUUAAAGAGAUAAUCUCAAUUUGAACACAAAUAUCCCACCCCUAAGCUGGGUAAGUUCUAAUCAAAAGUCCUAUUCAGGUUCUUGUACCAUUUAGAAACCUCCAGAGUAAUAUACAAAACCUCUUUUGUAAAAGUAUUAUUAGUCCAUUAACCAUUAUUUCAAUACAAAUGCUCGAACACAAAGAUAAAGAUAGACAAAAUUAGAAUUUAUUAGGAACAAGAUUCAAGAAGAAUAGAUUAAUCAAGGGAAGCAAAUAUUGUCAGAGUACAAAUAUAGGUAAAGGGGAACAAAAAUGAAUGCCCCAGAUAUCGCAGCCUAAGCUCCUCCGUAUGAACUCCACGAGGACCAUUUUGAGCUUAUCAUGUGCCUAGGAGAUCUAACGUAUUCUAUCGAUGCCCCAAGACAUGCGUACUUCCGCUUCAUUAAUUCCAGUAUAGCAAGACUACCACCUACCCCAUCCUUGAUCAAAAUUUGAAUUGCCCUUUUUGGAUUUUCAAUUCAAAACCCCUUUGGUUUCAAGGCGCCCUUUGCGGGUUUUCACCUCUUAAGCGAAGUACUUCUUGACUGAAUCUGAAUUUACUGGGUUAGGCAGGCUCCUACCAUCCAUCUCAGUUAAUAUCAGUGCUCCUCCAAAAAAAGCUUUCUUUACCACGUAAGGUCCUUCCCAGUUUGGCAUCCAUUUCCCUCUGAAAUCUUUUUGCAUAGGGAGAAUUUGUUUCAAUACCAAGUCCCCCUAAUGGAAUGCUCUGGGCGAACCUUUUUAUUGUAAGCUUGCAUCAUUCGCCUCUGGUACAUUUGACUAUGACGAAUAGCCUUCAGUCUCUUUUCUUCAAUCAAGUUCAGCUGAUCAUACCGGGACUGAAUCCAUUAUGCUUCGUCUAGCUUCAACUCUGAUAAAACCCGGAGAGAAGAAAUUUCAACUUCAAUGGGCAAAACUGCCUCCAUCCUAUAAACCAAUGAGUAAGGUGUUGCCCCGGUAGAAGUUCUAACAGAUGUUCGAUAGGCAUAAAGAGCAAAUGGUAACUUUUCAUGCCAAUCUUUAUAAGUCUCAGUCAUUUUCCCAACGAUCUUUUUGAUAUUCUUAUUGGCUGCCUCAACCGCACCAUUCAUUUUUGGGUGAUAUGGUGACAAGUUGUGGUGCUUAAUUUUGAAUUGCCUACAGACUUUUACUAUCACACUGUUAUUCGAAUUCAACGCGUUGUCAGAUAUGAUCAUUUCUGGCAUGCCAUAUCGAUAUAUAAUCUCCUUCUUUAAGAACUUGCUGACUGCUGACUUUGUGACGUUGGCAUAUGAAGUAGCCUCUACCCACUUGGUGAAGUAAUUGAUGACCACAAAGAUGAAUCGAUGCCCAUUAGAAGCCUUCAGUAAAAUCAGCCUAAUGACGUCCAUGCCCCACAUUGAGAAAGGCCACGGAGAAGUCAUGACAUGAAGGGGUGAAGGAGGUACGUAGAUCUUGUCACCAUAAAUAGCUGAUGCAAUCUCCUUCCAUUGUAGACCAAUAGUACCCGAAUCUCAUAAUUUGCCUGGCCAUUGUAAACCCAUUGGCAUGCGUCUUGCAGACACCCUCAUGGACUUUUUCCAGGAUUUUCUUAGCUCCAACAGCAUCAACACAUCUUAACAGUACUUGAUCUUUCCUCCUUUUAUACAGGAUUUCUCCAUCCAUGACAUAGUCACUGUCUAGCCUUCUCAACGUUCUUUUAUCAUUUUCCAGUACCUGGUUAGGGUAUUCAUGAUUCUUCACAUAUCAUAAAAUAUCAUGAUACCAAGGAUAAUCAUCUCUUUCCUCUUCGUCGUUUAUAUUGCAACAAUGAGCUGGAGCCUCAUAAAUACUCGUCUGGAUCGACUUCAUAUUCUCUUGUUCAUUUACUCUAAUCAUAGAAGCUAACGUAGCCAAGGCAUCUGCCAUCUUGUUUUUGUCUCGCGGGAGAUGAUAGAAAGUGAUAUCAUCAAACACCUUAAUUAGAUCCCGAACUAGCUCUCGAUAGUUGAUCAACUUUGGGUCUCUUGUUUCCCAUUCACCUUUGAGCUGAUAGAUCACCAGUGCAGAAUCCUCAUACACCUCUAACACCCUGAUUUUACGUUCGAUGGCUGCACGGAUUCUCAUGAUACAUGUUUCGUAGUCUGCCAUGUUAUUUGUGCAAUCAAAAUCCAAUUUGCAAGUGAACAGAUAAUGAUCUCCACUUGGAGAUAUCAAGACUACCCCAAUUCCAUUACCAAUGGCAUUUGAAGCUCCGUAAAAAUUCAGUUUCCACGGAUGAUCUUCUGAGGUGUCCUCUUCGGUAGUUGCCACAUAUAUUAGAUCUUCAUUUGGGAAAUUAAAGUUCAAAGGUUCAUAAUCUUCCAAAGCUCUGCUGGCUAGAAAAUCUGCUAUUGCACUCCCUCUCACAGCCUUUUGACUCACAUAAACUAUGUCGAAUUCAGAAAGCAGAAUUUGUGAUAAACAUGUCAAAUUGCAUAUUUUUUGUGCUUAAUUUGGUUUAUUGAUGAACUGAACCCUGCUAAUUAAGUGUUUUUAUGAUUUAAUGCUUGUUAGGGAUGCAAUUGAUCAAAAGCAAGCUGAAAAUGGGCCAAAUUAGAAGAAAAUUAUUGGAAUGGGCCAAAGCGAAAAGAUGGAGCAAGCCAAGGACUAGUCAUAAAUUUGACUUUGUAAAAAGCCAAAAAUAGGAAAUUUUAUUUUAAGUUUAUUUUAAUUUUAUUUAUUUUUAAUUAUUAUUAUUUUAGAUUUUAUAUUAAUUUUCUUAAGCUAUUUUUAGUAAACUCUAUCUAUAUAAAUAGGGGGUUUUAGUUCUUAGGAAAGGAUCCAUUAAUCAAUUGUCUUUACAUUCCUAUUUCAUUUUGGAAUUCCAUUAUCCACCUUGUUUUUCUUUUUCUUAAUUCAAUUGAGCAUUAGAUUAUUUUUUCUUCUUUUUACAAAAUUUGUCUAAUUCUCUUUGCAAAUAUUUUUCCUAUCCAUUUCCACUACCUUUUUCAUAUAAUUUCUAUCAUUUCCAUAACCUUCAAGCAUGAUUAAAUUCAUGCCACACUAAACCCCUUUCAGUUUUAAGUCGGUGUUAACCCCGUCAAAAACCCGUGAGUUACGAACCCGAGCUGUUUAACUCCUAACUUUUGAUAUUUAUUAUUUCUCCGGAUUAAGAGUAUGAAUUCGUCAACUCACAAAGUCAAGACAACACUAAGUCAAAAAAAACAUCGUUUGAGUUAGUGUGGCUAGACGUACAGUUGGAAUUCCAAAAGGAUCGAUUGUCUAAUUGGUCUUUCGUGAACACAUUGGCGUGCCAAGUGGGGAUUGUUGUUUGGUUCCGUCAAGUGAAGUAGUAACCGGAUUUAAAUGCCCCAACGUUUGAGGGUAUUGGUUCGAGCUAGGCUCUUCUAGAACGCAAAGCUGCCGGAGUUCUAAAUCACGAACGUUUCGUAGGUUGUUCGAUCGGUAAGGGUUAGUUAUAGGACGUUCCAUAACUAAUUUAUACAAGGAAAAGUUGGUGUCCGAGGCGUCCUUGGUAGCUAUAACUAGCUCAUCGGAAAAGAGGAGUUCACCUAAUUUCGAAGAACGGGUCAAAGACGAGAAAACCCGUACUUAAGGCUGAGCUAAGUUUUAUUGAUUUUCCUUUAAAUUAUUUCGUUAUUUAUUUUUAUUUCAUCUUUUACUUUUUACUUUUUACGUUUUCUUGUGUUUAUUUCAGGUUUCAUAUUUUACGUAAUCUGGUCAAGAAACAAACAAUUUUUAGUAAUUCCAGUCUCUAUGGGAUCUACCCUACUCCCUAUACUGCUUUAAUUUGCAAACUAGGUGUAGGUUUAUAUUGGUGGAAUUGACAGCCAUCAGUUUUGGCGCCGUUGCUGGGGAAUGGCAACACUUACAAUUGUUUAAAUUAUCUUCAUGACCAGAUCUUCAUCCGAAGAUCUUGAAUACGACCCAAAGAUUAAGAAAUCAGCACGACCACGACGAAAAGAGACAUAAGCUCUUAAACGUGCAAGUAAAGCAGGAGUUGAGCUAGGACAAGGGAUCCUAGAAUCCGACGUUGAAAAGUUAAGCGAAGUAAUUCGAGCAGAGGCAAUUCGACGUGGGAAACGAGUCGAAGAGGUUGAACUUGAGACCGAACCACUUUUUGAAACAAAAGGCAACCUCGGUGAAUCAGAAAGGAUGGCAAACCGAACCAUUCGUCAACUAGCCGCUGCUCGCAACGAGCAAACACCAUUAUGCAUUAACUAUCCAACCGGAGGAACUCCUUUUGAAUUGAAGUCGGGCUUGAUUCACCUUUUGCCCACUUUUCGAUGCUUGAAGAAUGAAAAUCCACACAUUCACUUGAGAGAAUUCCACAUGGUCUGCUCAAGCCUAAAACCCCAGGGAGUACACGAAGAUGAGAUCAAACUUCGGGGCUUUCCUUUUUCUUUAGUUGAUACAGCAAAAGAAUGGUUAUUUUACUUACCUCCCGGUUCUAUCACAACGUGGGAUGACUUAUCUCGUGUAUUUCUUAACAGGUUCUUCCCAGCGUCACGAGCAGCCGAGCUUAAGAGGGACAUAGUGGGAAUUCGCCAAUUGGAGAGUGAAUCGCUCUAUGACUACUGGGAACGGUACAAAAAACUGUGUGCGAGUUGUCCUCAACAUGGGUUGACCGAACAAUCACUUCUUCAAUAUUUCUACGAGGGUUUGCUCCUUAUGGAAAUGAAGAUGAUCGACGCUGCUAGAGGAUGAGCGCUUGUCAAUAUGACCCCUCAACGGGCAAGAGAGCUAAUAUCCAUAAUGACAGCAAAUUCUCAACAAUAUCGGCCAAAUUUGGAACCGACAAGACGGGUUAAUGGGGUAAACAUUUUAACUUUAGAAGAUAAAUUGGAUAAGCUUACGAAUGUUGUUCAAUCUUUGCUUACAGAAAAGAAGAUUUGACCCCACUAUGUGGAAUUUGUACUACGUCUGAACACCCGACGGAUUUGUGCCCAAUCCUUAACGAUAAUUCAACGGCACAUGUAGAUGCUAUCGGAGGUUUUCCAGGACCUCCGCAAAGACACUAUGAUCCUUUCUCCAACACCUACAAUCCCGGGUGGAAGGAUCAUCCCAACCUGAAUUACGGAGCUAAUGCUCAAUAUAAUCCACCAUACCAAUCGAGACCUCUGCAACCACCACCACAACACAAGCCGAGCACAUCUCUAGAAGCUAUCGUGAAAAGACUUGCCGCCGAUGCUGAAAAAUAUUAACAGAGGAAAGACGCAUCAAUACAAGAGUUAACUAAUCAAGUUAGUAAACUCUCGAUGGCAGUUAAUCGCUUGGAGUCUCAAGGUAAAUUACCUUCCCAGACAGAGCCGAACCCUCGGCAGAAUACUAGUGCAAUCACUCUUCGUAGUGGAAAGGUUCUGGAAACAGUACCAACUAAAAGUUAUGGGCAAGACAAAGAACAGGAAAAGCAGAUCUCCGAUCCAACAACCAGGCCAGAAUUAGAAGUUCAGAAACCAGUUGUGAUGCCACCUCCUUUUCCAGGGAGGCUUGCAAGGGAUAAAAAAGAGAAUGAGGAAAAAAAAUCCUCGAGACAUUCAGGAAGGUGGAGGUAAAUAUUCCUUUACUCGAUGCUAUCAAACAAAUCCCUCGUUAUGCAAAAUUUCUCAAGGAGUUGUGUACUAGAAAGAGGAGGUUAAUAGGUAAUGAAAGAGUAAAUGUAGGAGAAAAUGUCUCCGCAGUGCUGUAAAAGAAAGUUCCACCCAAAUACAAGGACCAAGGUAUGUUUGCUAUUCCUUGUGAGAUAGGCAAUGUAGGCAUUAAGAAAGCCAUAUGUGAUUUAGGGGCUUCCAUUAAUGUUAUGCCUUAUUCUAUUUAUAAGCUGAUUAACGCGGGUCCUUUAAAAGAGACAGGAGUAAUAAUCCAGUUGGCGGACAGAUCAGUCAUCUAUCCCGAAAGGCUGCUUGAAGACGUCCUUGUUAAAGUUAAAGAAUUAGUUUUCCUUGCAGAUUUCUACAUUAUUAGUAUGGAAGAUGAUAAUUCAACUAAUUCAUCUGACAUUUUGCUUGGAAGGCCGUUUCUAAGUACCGCGAGCGCAAAAAUAGAUGUUCGAAGUGGAACGCUGACCAUGGAGUUUGAUGGCAAAAUUGUAAAAUUCAAUGUCUACGAGGCCAUGGGUCAUCCUAACUCUCUAUUAAAUAUUUCUAGCAUUGAUAUUUUAGAUUGUUUAACUCAAUCUUAUUCUGAAUAUCAUAACUUUGAUGAGUUGGAAACUGUCCUUUACAGAAACAUUGACAUGGAUGUUUUACAUCAUCUCGAAGAAUUCGCAGUCAUUGAAGAUCCGUUGCAAGAAAUCGUCAAUCACUUGGAUAUGCAACCUUCGUUGACAAACCGAGGUAACCAAUUUGAACUAUUACCAUCCCAAACUAAAAUGUUACCCUCGAUUUUGCGGCCACCGAUCUUGGAGUUUAAAGCAUUACCGGACCAUCUUAAGUACGUCUUUUUGGGAGAAAAAGACACCUUACCAGUAAUAGUGUCAAACAAGUUAACCAAAGACGAGGAGGAAAGUCUAGUUCGAGUUCUGAGAGAUUAUAAGGAAGCUAUUGGUUGGACGAUAGCCGACAUAAAAGGACUAAGUCCAUCCACUUGUAUGCACAAAAUUUCCAUCGAAAACAACACGAAACCAAAGAGGGGUGCUCAAAGGCGCCUUAAUCCACCCAUGAUGGAGGUAGUAAAGAAGAAGAUCCAGAAACUAUUAGAUGCUGGAAUGAUAUAUCCGAUUUUCGACAAUAAUUGGGUUAGCUCGGUUCACGUCGUGCCCAAGAAAACUGGCGUGACAGUGGUGAAAAACCAGUUAGGUGAGCUGGUCCCUACACGAGUACAGAAUGGAUGUAGGGUUUGCAUCGAUUACAGAAAGUUGAAUACAGCUACCCGAAAAGACCAUUUUCCACUCCCCUUCAUCGAUCAAAUGCUUGAGCGAUUAGCCGGUAAGUCCCAUUAUUGUUGUCUCGAUGGGUACUCAGGAUUUUUCCAGAUUCCAGUGGCUCCGGAGGAUCAAGAAAAAACAACUUUCACAUGUCCCUUCAGAACAUUUGCGUAUAGACGGAUGCCGUUUGGACUCUGCAAUACUCCGGCCACCUUCCAAAGAUGCAUGGUGAGCAUAUUCUCUGAUAACGUCGAGAAAGUCAUCGAAGUCUUUAUGGAUGACUUCACGGUAUACGGUAACUCUUUUAACGAAUGUUUCAAUAAUCUUGCUAAGAUAGUACAAAGAUGCCUAGAAUUUAAUCUUGUUUUAAAUUAUGAGAAAUGCCAUUUCAUGGUUGACAAAGGAUUAAUUUUGGGUCAUAUAGUUACCUCGAAAAGAAUCGAGGUCGAUAAGGAAAAAAUGGAUAUUAUUAACUCGUUACCUUACCUCUCAUUAGUGAGGGAAGUUCGUUCGUUUCUUGGCCAUGCAGGAUUCUACAGACGAUUCAUGAAAUAUUUCUCGAAAAUCGCGCGACCACUUUGUAGUCUGUUACAAAAGGAUAAAGAAUUUGAAUUUGACCAGACUUGUAAAGACGCGUUUGAUGUGCUGAAGCAUAAAUUGGUCUCCGCUCCCAUAGUGCAGCCACCAAAUUGGAACUUCCCGUUCGAAAUCAUGUGUGAUGCGAGUGACCAAAGUGUGGGAGCUGUUAUUGGCCAAAGAAUAGGGAAAGAGCCUCAUGUUAUCUACCAUGCUUCGAAGAUUUUGGAUGCUGCCCAAAGCAAUUACACAACGACCGAGAAAGAAUUAUUAGCUGUUGUGUUUGCUUUAGAUAAAUUCAGAUCUUACCUAUUGGGAAAUAAGGUAAUUAUCUUUUCUGAUCAUGCAGCUUUGAAAUAUUUAAUAAGGAAGAAGGAGGCAAAACCCCGACUGAUCAGGUGGAUUCUACUCCUACAAGAGUUCGAUUUUGAAAUCCGAGAUAAGAAGGGAAGCGAAAACCUAGCAACUGACCAUCUGAGUCGAUUACCGAAUCCAGUAGACGACACACCAUUGAAGGACAACUUCCCAGAUGAAAAUUUGUUUUCAGCAAAUGCAGUUCAUCCUUGGUAUGCAGACAUAGUAAACUAUCUCGUCACAGGUACUGUUCCUUCAGAUUUGCCAAGGUCUAAAAAAGAUAAGAUAAGAAAAGAUGCACGAUAUUACAUUUGGGGCGACCCUUACCUUUGGAAGCAUUACUCGGAUUAGGUAAUACGACGUUGUGUAGCAGAAACAGAGGUACAGUCUAUCUUAAGUUUUUGUCAUUCUUAUGCAUGCGGAGGGCACUUUGGACCUAAACGCACAGCACACAAAAUUCUCGAAUGUGGAUUAUUUUGGCUAAACAUAUUUCGUGAUGCCUUUUAUUUCUGUAAAACUUGUGAAAAAUGCCAAAAAGUUGGUAACCUUAGUCGUCGAAAUGAGAUGCCGCUUACUCCUAUUCAUAUUUGUAAAAUUUUUGAUGUGUGGGGCAUCGACUUUAUGGGUCAUUUCGUUUCUUCUUUUGGUAAUUUUUAUAUACUUUUAGCUGUUGAUUAUGUCUCUAAGUGGAUAGAGGCAAAGGCCACUCGAAAUGAUAAUGCUAAGACCGUAGUUGACUUUCUUAAAAAUUCUAUUUUUUCCAGGUAUGGCACUCCACGAGCAUUAAUCAGUGACAGAGGAACACAUUUUUGCAAUAAGCUCGUAAGUGCACAUAUGGAGAAAUAUGGAGUGACUCAACGAAUUGCCCUAGCUUACCAUCCACAAACAAACAGGCAAGCUGAAGUGUCAAAUCGAGAGAUCAAGUCUAUUUUGGAAAAGACGGUUAAACCUAACAGGAAGGAUUGGAGUUUAAGACUGAAUGACGCACUUUGGGCCUAUAGAACAGCUUACAAGGGAUCAAUAGGCAUGUCACCUUACCGACUUGUUUUCGGUAAACCGUGCCACCUCCCGGUCGAGUUAGAGCAUAAGGCUUUUUGGGCAGUUAAGCAAUGUAAUAUAGAAAUGGAGUCUGCGGGAAAAUCUCGGAAAUUAGACUUCCAGGAACUCAAGGAAAUCAAAAUCGAUGCAUAUGAAAAUGCUCGAGUUUAUAAAGAAAAGACGAAGGCAUUUCAUGACAAGUUCAUCACUAGGAAGCAGUUCUCAAUAGGACAAAAAGUGCUCCUAUACGACUCCACUUUAAAAAUCUUCGUUGGUAAGCUUCGAUCCAAAUGGAUAGGACCGUUUAUUAUUACUAAUUUAUUUGCGAAUGGUGCAGUGGAAAUUCAAAGUGAAGAGACACGAAAGCGCUUUAAAGUGAAUGGUCAACGACUAAAACCCUUUUUCGAGAAUUUUCAAAUACACACAGUUGAGGAGAUUGUUCUCGAUGAGCCAAAAGUUUGAAUAACAGGUCGUCGAGCUAACGACGUUAAAAAAGCGCAUUUUGGGAGGCAACCCAAAUUUAUUUUCAUUUAUUUUUAGUUUAAGUAAAUUAGGAUGUAAAUAAAUAAAUUCUUAUUUAACUUAGUCAAUUUGAUGUUUUCAGGAAUACUGUGGAAGUAAUUAAUUUUCAAAAAGAUGAGUAAUGAAGGUGGCGUGGGCACGACUUGCUAAUGUGGUGAUAGUAAUAAAAAAAAACCAUCAUCCACUAAAAUUCCUACCCAAACCUAUCUACCCACAUACCUAAAUAACUAAAACCUAAAAACCAAGUUACCCACAUAAACCAAAACCCAAAAUCAACCCAAUACCCAAAUCCAAACCCAUUUACCCACAAGCUAAAAUAACACUAACCCAAAUACAAAACUACCCAUUUCCUUUAAACCUAUAUAAAUCUAAACCCAAUACCCAUACGCACUCAACACCCACACAAAACCCAAUACCCAAAGUUGGCCCAACCUACACCUAAGCCAAUUACCCUACCCAAUAUCCCAAAUAAAAAAUAAACAAAAAAAUAAAAAUAAAUUCAAACACCCAAAAUCCCUAAAUUCUCAAAUCCUCUCAUAUUCUUCCUCUUCUAUACAAACAACACAUAAUCCAAAACCAACCCAAGCUGCUGACCGUCGCCGUCACUCCCUUCGCCGAUCGUCCACCACAGUCGCCACACCUCGCCAGCCCACCUCGUGCCGCGCUGCCGUCGACCCCGCGCCGACGCCCCAUCUCUACUUUCUUUUCUUUUCUUUUUUUCCUCCCUCUUACCACCACCAUCCGACGUCCUUCCCACCGCCGAACCACCGCCGAGCAGUGACCUCCCACCUGCGACGCACCAUCAUCGCCGAACGAUGCCUUCCACGCGCCGCCGUUCCGCUCCCCCAACCCCAAUUUUUUUAUUUUUUUGAAACACCAAAACUCCCACCCCACAUUAAACGACGCCAACAUCAACACCCCCACCUCCACCCUCCAGAAAAAUAGUCCGAAAUCACCCCACCAACAUUCACCGCCACUGUGCGCUGCCGUCGUCUGCCGCCGCCAAGUCCGCCGUCGUCGAACGACCAGAACUGACUACUCGGGACACUCGCACGGAUACCAUGGUCCGAACUCGAAACCAAGCGGCAGACAAUACCCCGGUUUCACUUAAUCAAAAUUGACACCGUUUCUCCGUGCCUCCUGUGGUUGAGUUAGUCGACGACGACCCUUCUCCACCUCUUCCGAGACGAACGGCCGCACAACUAAGAGCCCAUCGACGACGAAGUCUAACCCCGGCCGACACAAACACUUCGGGCAGUCCAGAGGAAGUCGAAACUUCUAACGUCCAUGUCGAGCCUACACCUACCGUUGUUGAACAAGUCUCUCAACACCAAACCCGAAGUCAUCGACGGUCGACACGUGAGCCAUCGACGCCCCCGCAUAGCAGUACUGAAGCUGCUGAACGAAAUUCCCCACCCGACUCGCCUAACGAGCAUGUUCGACCACCCCGAGCAAAUCAACGCAAUAGACGUAGUCGAGCAAAUGUUAUUCCUACCGAUAGUCGUUUGCGAGGAUUUCUAGAGUUUUCGACAUCGGAACAGUAAACACGAUAGAACGCCAUCCGACAACGCUCACUUCCUGUCUGUAAGCAAAUUGAUUUCCCUACUCUUGAACUUCUAGAUAUUCAUGAUGCAGUGCUCCAUUAUUUUGAUGCUAUUGGUUGGACUCUAUUUGCUAAUAUUAUUUGUGAUGCAUAUUAUGAAUUAGUAUAUGAGUUUUAUACCACAUUUAGCUUCAAUAUAAAUGCAUUGCAAACUGUUGAAACACAAAAUAUAGUGUGCUUUCGUUUGCUUGGAAAAGACUUUUGGAUGUCUGUUUCAGAAUUUAACAUUGCCAUGGGUUUCAUCGACGCUAAUGACAUUCAAUCCGAUGCCUAUCAUUCUGCUCUCUUAGAUGUUCCCAAUGACUUCGAUGCUCAGCAUGUUUAUCAUGUUUUAACUAAUUCUGACCAACUUUAUAAUCCAAAAACCACAAAAGAUUUAUGGGUGUAUGAGCCUGCUUUAAAAUACAUACACCGAUUUUUAGCAUUUUGUUUUUCAGGUAAAAAUGACUCAUCAACUGUUUUGACUAAAACUGAACUGUUCUUUUUGUGGUGCAUGCAUUCGGGUCUUAAAGUUAAUUUAGGAUAUUGGUUUGUAUGAAAUUUUCAUGCCGUUUUGAGUUACAACCGUCCACUUAUACUUGGAUCAUUUAUUUCAAAUUUAGCCUUUCGACUUUUUGAGUCUGAAAUUGAUUUCGCAACCUUCACAUGUGCAUAUCGUAUGGACCACCUAGAUAUACAUUGUUUGGAUUCUAUGGGAUUGCUUGUCAGCACCCCUACUUCGUGUUAUUUUGUUCCUCCAGGUACACGGGCUGCUCGGAAAAAUAGAGUUUUUCGCAAACAUCCACACACUAAUACGAGAGAGCAAGAGGAACACCCUUUGACUGUGGAGGCCCAUUUAAGUCGAAUCGAAGCUAGACUUGAAACAAUGGAAACACAAGUCACUACCAUCCUCAAUAUCCUACAAAGUUGCGACUCUCAACACCAAUGAUGUCAUUAAAAUACACGGGGAGUGUUCUGAACUUUUUCAUUUUUAAUAUAUUUUGAGCUGCUGACUUUAUUUUACAUGCUUGAGGACAAGCAUAGUUUAAGUGGGGGGUUGGAUUGAUAUGUUAAUUUUUGCUGCAUGUCUUUCUCUUUUGCAUGUGUUCAAUCUUACGAUGAAUUCUUUCGACAAUUUAUUCAACAUUUGAGCCUUAAAACCUCAUACUUAGUCGAUUUAAGCAAUUGGGCAAAUUUUAAAUUAAAUGUUUAAGUAUAUAGAUUGGUCGACAUUUAGGUUUUAAAAUUGGUAUAUGUAGCUAGAAUUUUUUUUUCGCAUGAAUUGAUUGAUUGAAUAAAAUAUGUUUGCUUGUGCAUAAAUAAAUUAAUAAAGGUUCAGACUAUGAAUGAAGUUUCGAAAACGUGACUGAAUUGAGUAACCGGGGCAGGGUGCUUGGGUUAUCAUCUUGUCUCGCGUAAAAAGGUUCGAGUGACAAAGCUGAACACCCCAUAAAAAAAAGAAAAAAAAAAGAAAAAAUAAUACAUAAUAAAUAAAGACUGUUUGAACUGAGUAACCGGGAUAGGGUGCUUGGGUUGUCAUCCUAGUUCGCGUAAAAAGGUUUGAUCUUGUCUAUUAAUUUUUUGAUGCAUAGUUAAUUAAUAAUGUCAUGCAAAUUAUGGGAUUCAAUCUCAAUUUAGCGAAAUUGUUUAGUUGACAUAUUUCAAUUUUAUGACAUUUGUUGAUUAAAAUGUAUAUUUUGAACAUUUAUUUCUUUUUGCCUAUGUUGUUUGCAUUAAUUGAGGAUAUGGAAAAAGGGGCUCGAUUUUUAAUAAAUUGUGGAAUUAAUUCUAAUGUUUGAAAGAACAACAUGCUUGAGGUCAAGCAUGAGCUAAGUAGGGGGGAUUUGAUAAACAUGUCAAAUUGCAUAUUUUUUGUGCUUAAUUUGGUUUAUUGAUGAACUGAACCCUGCUAAUUAAGUGUUUUUAUGAUUUAAUGCUUGUUAGGGAUGCAAUUGAUCAAAAGCAAGCUGAAAAGGGGGCCAUUUAGAAGAAACUUAUUGGAAUGGGCCAAAGCGAAAAGAUGGAGCAAGCCAAGGACUAGUCAUAAAUUUGACUUUGUAAAAGCCAAAAAUAGGAAAUUCUAUUUUAAGUUUAUUUUAAUUUUAUUUAUUUUUAAUUAUUAUUAUUUUAGAUUUUAUAUUAAUUUUCUUAAGCUAUUUUUAGUAAACUCUAUCUAUAUAAAUAGGGGGUUUUAGUUCUUAGAAAAGGAUCCAUUAAUCAAUUGUCUUUACAUUCCUAUUUCAUUUUGGAAUUCCAUUAUCCACCUUGUUUUUCUUUUUCUUAAUUCAAUUGAGCAUUAGAUUAUUUUGUUUUCUUUUUACAAAAUUUGUCUAAUUCUCUUUGCAAAUAUUUUUCCUAUCCAUUUCCACUACCUUUUUCAUAUAAUUUCUAUCAUUUCCAUAACCUUCAAGCAUGAUUAAAUUCAUGCCACACUAAACCCCUUUCAGUUUAAGUCGGUGUUAACCCCGUCAAAAACCCGUGAGUUACGAACCCGAGCUGUUUAACUCCAAACUUUCGAUAUUUAUUAUUUCUUCGGAUUAAGAGUAUGACUUCGUCAACUCACAAAGUCAAGACAACACUAAGUCAAAAAAGACGUCGUUUGAGUUAGUAUGGCUAGACGUACAGUUGGAAUUCCGAAAGGAUCGAUUGUCUAAUUGGUCUUCCGUGAACACAUUGGCGUGCUAAGUGGGGAUUGCUGUUUGGUUCCGUCAAGGGAAGUAGUAACCGGAUUUAAAUGCCCCAACGUUUGAGGGCAUUGGUUCGAGCUAGGCUCUUCUAGAACGCAAAGCUGUCAGAGUUCUAAAUCACAAACGUUUCGUAGGUUGUUCGAUCAGUAAGGGUUAGUUAUAGGACGUUCCAUAACUAAUUUACACAAGGAAGAGUUGGUGUCCGAGGCGUCCUUGGUAGCUAUAACUAGCUUAUCGAAAAAGAGGAGUUCACCUAAUUUCGAGGAACGGGUCAAAGACGGGAAAACCCGUGCUUAAGGCUGAGCUAAGUUUUAUUGAUUUUCCUUUAAAUUAUUUCGUUAUUUAUUUUUAUUUCAUCUUUUACUUUUUACUUUUUACGUUUUCUUGUGUUUAUUUCAGGUUUCAUAUUUUAUUUCCCCCCCAAACGUCGCGGGCACGAUAACUGCCCAGACACUAAUCUGGUCAAGAAACAAACAAUUUUCAGUAAUUCCAGUCUCUGUGGGAUCGACCCUACUCCCUAUACUGCUUUAAUUUGCAAACUAGGUGUAGGUUUAUAUUGGUAGAAUUGACAGCCAUCAAUUUGCCAUCGGGCCAUCCUUCCACUCAAAAUAGCUGACUCCAUCAUGUACUUUAAAGGGUCCAAUAUUGAGAUUAACCAAGUCAUAUGGUAUAACAUGUACUUCUUCAAUCUCCGAGUGGUCCAAACCAAGACACAACAUAAUUUCUCAAUUGACGAUUAUCUCAUUUCACACUCAGUGAAUUUCUUACUGAGGUAGUAUAUCGCCUUUUCUUUCUUUCCUAUCUCAUCAUGUUGACCGACCACACAUCCCAUUGAAUUUUCAAAUAUUAUCACAUACAAUAUCAACGGCUUACCAGGGUUAGGUGGCAUUAGCACCGAUGAAAUAUGGGGUCACAUUUCUCAGUCAGCUGUGAAAUGAAUCGGGCAAUAUAAUUUAGUCUUCCUAAGAAACCUCGAACUUCCUUUUGAGUGCGCGGCGGAGGCAAUUUUUGUAUAGCCUUGACUUUGUUAGGGUCGACCUCAAUUCUCUUUUUGCUGACUAUGAAACCAAGUAGCUUCCCUGACCUAGCUCCAAAAGUACAUUUUGUUGGAUUGAGCUUUAGCUGAAACUUCUUCAAUCUCAAGAACAAUUUCCUCAAAACCUGUAUGUACUCCUUUUCUGUUUGGGAUUUUGCGAUCAUAUCAUCGAAGUAAACCUCAAUUUCCUUAUGCAUCAUGUCGUGAAACAAGGUUACCAUGGCUCUUUGAUACAUUACUCCCGCAUUCUUUAACCCAAAUGACAUCACUCUAUAGCAAAAAGUCCCCCAUAAGGUUAUGAAUGUGGUCUUUUCCACGUGUUCAGGAUGCAUCUUUAUCUGAUUGUAUCUAGAGAAACCAUCCAUAAAGGAGAACAACGAGUAACUUACCGUGUUGUCCACCAAAGUGUCGAUGUGAGGCAGGGGAAAGUUGUUCUUUGGGCUGGCCUUGUUUAAGUCCCUGUAAUCUACAGACAUCCUCAUCUUUCCAUCUUUCUUAAGGAUGAGGACAACGUUAGCUACCCAUUUAGAGUAAUUAACAACUUGCAAGAACCCAGCAUCAAAUUGUUUCCGGACCUCUUCUCUUAUUUUUACUACAACAUCGGGUCUCAUCCUUCAAAGUUUUUGUUGAAUAGGUUUGCACUCUUUUUUUAUAGGGACGCGAUACACUGCAACAUCAGCACUUAACCCAAGCAUGUCCUGAUACGACCAUGCGAAGAUAUCUUUGAACUCUUAUAGUAAAUCAACGAGGUCCCGUCUUGUUUCCUCAGUUAUGCAAGUUCCAAUGUUCACCUCUUUCCCCUCUUCUAAGGUUACAUUCUCGAUUGUCUCUUUAUGGGGUAGAAUUUGUUUCUCUUCUUGUUUUACCAUCUUUAACAAAUCUGAAGGUAAGCUACAGUCUUCAUCAUCUUCAAAAUCCUGAGAUCCCUCUAGACACACGUCUUGCUCAAAAAGGAACUCCGGGUUUGUAACAGUAUCACUCAUGCCAUUGAUAUCUAGAGUCCUAUUGUAGGAACGAAAGAAUAUCCAACAAACAAAUGAACCUAAGUAUAACUUUAUUUGUAUGGUAUGAUUAUAAAUGAAAUCUAAGAAAAUAAAGUUUGCUCAAGAUAAAAGAAUAUUUGCUCAGAAUAAGACAUGAAAGUGUAUUUAUAUUGAAAUAAAUGUUUUGAACAUGACCCUAUUUCGCAAAAGAUUAUUAUUGCUUCUAGGCUUUAAACAACAAGUGUGUUUUGAGCAUUACUCUGUAUUAGCACUAAAAACUACAGGAAUUUCCUUCGCAGUCUAGUUGUUUAGAUCAUUUCCAGGCUCGUAAGGGCGAAUGCUUGCUAAAUCAUGUUUCAUCAAUUUCUCUUCAGAUAUGACAUUGAUAUUCAAAUUUUCCGUUGCAUCUUUAGCUGUUCCCUCUCUUUUCAUCUUCAAUUUAGGAUAAAUAACUCCACUUAAGACAAAUGUAUAGGAUAUAUGGGGAAAAUUCAUUGAUUCCCACUCGACUUCUGCCCCAUUCAGUCUUGCUCUUCGUCUCUUCUACCUCAUUUCCAUCUCAUUUCUUUUCUGCUUUGCAUCUGGCCUAUACCCUAAGCCAAAGCAAUCUUGUUUAUCAACCAAAACCGGUACCUCAACUCGUCCAUAAAGAUACUUUCCAAGUCCUCUUCUAGGCAAUGCUCCCUUUCUCACUGUAAAUUUCAAGCUCAUCCUCGUAGCCUCAAAUAUUCUUGGCAUUGGGACCCUGCCCCCUUCAAUGAUGAAAGUUGCAUUUACAAACUCCAAUGACCGAAAUGAACACUCAAUUGUUUUAUCAUCAUUUUCUAUAUACAGUGCACUACUAGUAAUGGAUGCAAUAAUGUCAUCUUCAGCAUUUAUCGUUAUCAAAUGGCCCUCCGUCACCAACUUUAACUUUUGGUGCAAUGAUGGCGGUACUGCCCCUGCCGAGUGAAUCCAAGGCUUCCCCAACAAGCAAUUAUAAGAAGGCGUAAUAUCCAUCACAAGGAAAUCUACCUCAUAUGUGUUUGGUCCGAUCAGCAAAGGUACCUCAAUCAUUCCCAUCACUUUCCUCUCAGUGCCAUCAAAUAUCCUCACUAUGUUCUGGCAUGUCUUCAUAUGAGAGCUGUCUAUUGGUAACCUAUUUAAUGUGGAUAAGGGCAAAACAUUCAGCGCUAACCCAUUAUCAAUUAAUAUCUCCAGCAGUGUAUAUCUUUUGCAGCGAGUGGUGAUGUGCAAAGCCUUGAUGGAUCCCAUGCCCAUUGGUGGUAUUUCAUCGUCACUAAGGGAGAUAAAGUUAUCGGCGCUUAUGUUGCUGACAAGACGAUCUAGCUUGUUCACCGAGAUGUCUUCAGCAACAUAGGUUUCGUUCAACACCUUCAUCAACGCAUUACGGUGUACCUUUAGAUUUUGGAGCAGAGUUAGUACUGAUAUGCAUGUCGGCUGCUUGUGCAACUGUUCCACAACACUAUACUCACUAUGUUUUAAGAACUUAAAAAAUUCUUUAACUUCAUCUUCGGUUUCUGGUUCAUUAACCAAUGGUUUUGUCCUCUCUUCCCCUUGUUCAAUCAUCACAGACUUCCCUUUUCCAGGCUCGUCUUUUAUACUUGGCAUGCUGACCAGACUUUCAUUUCCUGAAUAUGUCACAUUACAGUUGUAAUUCUAAGGCACAUUUUUGCUAUCCUUAUAAAAAAAGCCGUAGGUCUCUGAAUUACAACUUUCGGUGUAAUUUUUGCCUCAACUUCAUUAAUUUUUGGUCGCGUAAUAAUCACCACCGGGUGAUUGACCUCAAAAACCCUCUCUAUCAACCCCUCCUCCAAGGUGCAUACAUCUUCCUUCUCAGUAAACUCAAAGAACUCCAGCUCUUUGUUGUCCAUUAGAGCUUGUACCAGAGCCCUAAAUUCAUUACAUGUUUCUAUCUCAUGGUCCUCCUCUUUAUGGAACUCACAAUAGUUCCCUGCUUCUCGGGAUUUUCUCCGAAAGUCUUGCAUGACUAGACCUUUCUCUACCAUCAUCUUCAAAAACUCUCUCAUCGGGGUUCUUACUUCUGCCACAUCCAACUUAAUUCUCCUCCUUAUAUUCUUGACUAUAGUGUUUACCCCUUUAUCAGUAUGAUUGGGUAACAGAUUUUCUACACCAGGUGCAUCAUUGAAUUUCACAACACCCAUGUUGAUGAGCCUUUCGACUACCCUCUUAAAAGAGGUGCAGUUAUCUAUCAAGUGUCCCGCUAUUCCAGCAUGAUAUUUACAUUGAGCACUUGCAUCAUACCACUUGGGGUAUGGGGGUUGCAGUGGUUUAAGUAGAAAAGAGAUACGACGUGUGCAUCAAACAAACUUUUGUACAGCUCUCGAUAUGUUACUGGAAUGAGAGUAAACUGAGGCUUCUCCGUGUUCUGCUUUGUAUUGAGCUCCUGCCUUGGCGAAGCUUGCUAGCCCAUGGCUACCACUUUCGGUUGAUUUACCAUGAUUAGUUUCGUAUAACCCAUGUUCACAUUGCUGACCUCAUUUUCUUUUUUUUCGGGGCCGACCUUCUGGUGCUUUCCCCUGUCUCUAUCUUUCCGCACGUUAUUGCAUUCUCAAUCAUUUCACCAGACAUAACUAUAUCCGCAAAACUCUUAGUUGCGCUUCCCAACAUGUGAUUAAUAAAAGGUGCGUUCAAGGUAUUAAUGAAAAGCAUGGUUGUUUCUUUUCCCAAUAGUGGGGGUUGGAAUUGUAUAGCAAUCUCCCUCCAUCUCUGAGCAUAUUGCCUGAAACUUUCAUUUGAAUUCUUCUCCAUGUUCUGUAAUGUGAUCCUAUCAGGCACUAUGUCAGUCACAUGGCUAUAUUGUUUCAUAAAGGCCUGUGCUAAGUCUUUCCACGAUUUAACUUGGCUACGAUUCAACUGAUUGUACCAUUUGGCUGCAGCCCCAGUCAAACUAUCCUGAAAAUAGUGGAUCAAUAACUGAUCAUUAUUGACAUAGCCAGUCAUUCUUUGACAAAACAUCGUGAUAUGAGCCUUAGGGCAACUGGUUCCAUUGUAUUUUCCAAAUUCUAGCAUUUUGAACUUCGGAGGGAGUACCAGAUCUGGGACCAGGCUCAAUUCCUUGGCAUCCAUUCCUCAAAGAUAAUCAGCGCUUUCCAACGCCCUAAAUUUUUCCUCCAACCAUUUAUAUCGGUAUUCUAGUCGCUUUGGAAAUUCUGCUCCUGCCUUUCCUACUUCCGCGGCCUCAUCAAAGUCAGGGACUGUAGGAUUUGCCGAAUGGUCUUCGAGGUUAGAACACGAGCUUGUUGGGACAUUUAUCGGUGCCGAAGUACCAGUCUGAUAUUAGGGUUUGAUACUGACAGACACCUUUUGCAGAGGCACUGGGGUAUUUCUUGGGGUAAAACCCGGAGGGUAAGCUAGAAUUCCGCUAUCAUCUUCAGCAUUGACCAUGGGACUCUUCCCUUGUUCUGGCCUUCCAACUAGUAGCUGAGUCAAUUCACUCAUCAUACUCCUUUGAGAUUCUAGCAUUUGAUCUUUUAUAUCUUGCUAUACCUUAGCUAAUUGCUCUUGCAUUUGCGCUUACAUCUAUUCUUGCAUUUCUUUCUACAUUUGCUCUAAUUUUUCCAACCUUUAAUCUAUAGCUUUGGUCUUUUUCUGUGUGUAGUAUUGAUGUUCUAGGGUAACUAUAAUAUAAUUUUUUUAAUUAAUUAAGGUUCUUUUUGUGAAAUUUAAUGCACAUGAUGCAAUGAAAUGCAAAUGUAUGAGAUGAAUGUACAACUAAAGAGACGUCGAUUCUGAUUCAAUUUCAUUUAAAAACUUUAUUAAAAAUUAAAAUCCUUUACAUAAAACAGAUCAUAUAUACGGCUUAGUCCUAAUGCUCAAAGUUUUAACUUUCUUAAGAAGGCAAGCUAUCUCACGACCCCGGUCUAACUCAUACUUCACACUUAGCACAUCAGCUUGAACUGCUAAGGUCUGUAAAUGAUCAGCCACUUCUCGAAUUUGAGCCACAGCCUCACCCAUGAUAUAAUCACUUUCCCUGACUUGGUCUUCCGAUCGAUGGAGCUGUUCUUUCCACUGCUCAUUGUUCGACUCAAGGAAUUCAAUUCGAAGCUCACAGUUCUGUAGUGUAGUCUCAAGUUCUCUCACUUUUCUUUUCAAAUCCUCGAUCCUGUUCAUGCUAACCCUUAAUUCAAUGUCAGAGUUACGACCACGAUACUGAUGCAGUGCCUUCUCUAAAUCUGCUACCCGAGCUACCAACAUCUUCUUCUCAUCUUGACCUUCAACCAAGCUCUUUUUUAAAGUAUUUUUACGUGCUCGAGCAUCAUAGAAUCUCUUCUCCCAUUGAUCUGUUCUAGCCUUUUCCUCCUGAAUUUUCUAUCGCCACUGUUCUGACGUCUUCCCCAAUCCGACAGUUCUCAUCGACAUACGCAGUUUCUUGUAAUCAGUUUUCAAACUGUUCAAGUCUUCCUCAAUUCUUCUUUUCCCUUUCCUCAACUUUUUAGCCUCGAGUUUCUGAACAUCGACAUCCAAACUCAAAUGCAUCUUUUCUUCCUCCAGCUGUUCUAUCUUUUUCCCUAACUCCGCAUUUCUCUCUUCGAAGUCCCGUUUUACGAUUUCAAGCUCGGAGGGUAUUACUUGCAAAUAUUAUUCCAUUGCACGAACAUCCUCCAAACUCGGCUCAGGGAUAUUAUCAUUAACUCUUUUACUUAACCACCCCUUAUAUUUAGGAGUCGUCAUUGAUCUAACAGCCAAUCUCUUCAUCCGGCGUGUCUGUUUUCAAGCAUCAGAAAUCUCUCGAACCUUCUUCUUAUAAUUGUUCUCCCUAUACGCGAACUCACUCUGGGCUAAUCCAUGUGUCAUCGGUAUAAAUUGCCUUGACUUGUAUUGUCUUAAAACGAGUAGAGGGACAUAUCCAACAGCUCCCCAAAUUCCAGGCAGGGGUACCAAAUCAAAACUUCCACAUCGAUAGAGGAUCUCAUCUGGAAUAAACCAAGAAGCUCUCCACUCAACAUCUUCUUCCUGAAGAUUUCGGAGGAGCGCGAUCUAAUUUUCUUCUGAUAUGUCAUCUCUCCUGGACAUGGCUGUUAUCUCCUUUAACGGGGAAUAACUCUCAGAGAAAACCCAGUAGAAAACUUUAUCCACUUUCCAGAAAUGGCUGUGGAACCAAGCAAGCAAUAAUUGCACACACCCUAUAAAUCUUCCCUCACUUGCUCUUCAACAUGCAUUCAAAGAUCUGAAUGUCUCAGCUAGAAUUGCAGGCACCGGUGUGACCCCUUUGUCAAGUCGAUCAAAGAAAUCGGCAAUUGCUUCAUCUAUAUGCCUUAAAGCUUUGGGAAAAAUCACCAAACCAUAGAUACUCAAGGCGAAGGUGUCAACUUUCCUUUUCAUGUCCGGAUGUGCUACAAUCAUGUCCCUCAGACUUACCUAUGGAAUGCAUUUACCAUCACCUUUUUGCUAAAUUUGGGCUAUAACCCACUGUUCACUCAUCCCGGUGAUACUCAUUAACUUCUUUAUAAAAGCCGGGGCACUAGCAGCCUUGGACUAAAUUUUGUCGACUUGAACCCUUGGACAACGAAGCAAAGCUAUAUAUUCCUCCACAAUAGGCACCAAGUCCACCUUCCCGAAGGUGAAACAACUAUACGCUGGGUUCCAAAACUGAGCCAUAGCCCGGAACAAGUACUUGUCCACCUUGACAUCGAGUAAGUAGGGCAAGUCGCCAUAACUUUGAUAGAACAACUGCUUAUUCUCUUCAUCCCAAUGAGCCCUUAUAUCCCUCAACUCCUGGAACUCGUUUUGGGUCACAUUGAUGCGAGUGAAGUCCAACAACCCCGAUGUAUACCCUUCAGUUAGGCUAUCCCCUUUCUCAAGUUGCAUCUUCUCUGACUACAUACGGACAGCCUCAUUAUCCUCUACUUUAUCAAGGAAUCCACUCUCUAUAAUUAGCUUUUUAAUUUAGCAAUUGAACAAAAAUCGACACCUCUUUAAUAUGAAAUGACAUACAAACAUAACCACAACAAAACACAACAAGUUAGUAUCGAAAAAUAAAAAAUCAAAGCAAAAUAGAAAAUAAUCAAACACCUAACUGGGUAAUCGCUAGGGUUCAACAUAGCUCUACCUAGGGCGGCUCCUAAAGUUCACUAUAUAUAGCUCAGUUCUAAGAAAAGGGUACCUGAACCAGCAGAUUCCUCAACCCUUAUCCAUUAUAGGCUCAUUUGGAUCGAGUUCAGUUUAAGGGAAUACAUUUCCUUAUGGCCAUGUGGAGGUGAAAACCUCAUGAAGACAUAGGUACAGAUGUAUCCCAGAAGUAGUCCACUAGUCCACGUGGAGGUGAAAACCUCACGAAGGCGUAGUUUCUCACUCCCACUUAAAAAGAUGCGACCACAACGGUCAUGCAAGAUGAUGCGAAGGGAUAUAUAAAAAAAAUAAUGCAAAACACGAGUAAAAUGACAAAGACCAUAAAACCCAUGACAUGCAAUAAAAGGAAUGUAUGUUUAAAAAAUCAAACUUUUAAUUUUCAACAAAAGGACAGAAAAUAAUCAAUUUUACGGCUUGACUCUUUUAUUGUCCCCAGUGGAGUCGCCAAACUGUCGAAAUCGUUUUUAUUUUGAAAAACAGGAAUCGACUUUUCAAAACGAAGUAUGGAGUCGCCACCGAUCCUUUUUUGAGGUGUAAUCGGAUCACCUUGAGAUUGAUCAUUUUAAUAAAACAUUUAAUUUAUUAAAACAAUAAUUUUAGGUCUACGAAAAUUGAGAAAACAGGUUCGGAAGUCGGUUACGCACGAGGAAGGGUUAACACCCUCGUAACGCCCAAAAUUGGUACCAAUUAAUGAUUUAAUGUCCUAUCGUUUAAAUCUGAAGGAAAAAUGUUAAAAUACGAUCCCCUUAAAAAUGCGUAAACAACUCGAGUUGGAUUUUAAGAUUCACUUGUUCCAAAGGAAUAAAAUACCACAUCCAGCACGUUAGGACACGAUAUUUUAAGCCUUCAAAAACUGAGAUCGCCUUAAGAUUUCCAAAAUAUGCAAUGAAUACGAUCCCCUUAAAAAUGUGUGAACAACUUGAGUCGGAUUUCAAGAUUCACUCGUUCCAAAGAAAUAAAAUACCACAUCCAUCUCGUUAGGACACGAUAUUUUAAGCCUCCAAAAACUGAGAUCAUCUCAAGAUUUCCAAAAUAUGCAACAAAAUUUAAAAAAAAAAGGGUAUUUGGUUAUUUGGUCAAACGGUAAAUCGAAACCCAGCACGUUAGGGCACGAUCUCUCGAAUUUCCAAGCGCGAAACAUUGCCUUGUUUUGGGAAAAUUCAAAUAAACAUUUAUAAAAACCGAGUCAAAAUAUACUUUUUUGGUUUGUUUGGAGAUAAAAACAAUUGGUGUUGGGCGAAAAGUUGGAAUUUCAAAAUCAUGAUGCAAUAACGAGCAUACAAGCCUAGUAUUGGGCAUGAAAUAAAAAUUCGAGGCAAUAAUAUUACAUGAAUAAGUAAUGAGAAACACAAAGGAAUGAGUUAAGGUACAUGCAGUGGCAACAUAUUAUAUGCUAUAUAAAUCAUUAAUAAUCGAAAGUUGAUAAAUUAAAAGCCGACUUAGAGAAAAUUCCAUGCAAAUUACACUAAAGAAAUAUCAAGUUUCAAAAUAAAAUUAAAUGAACAAUUGGGCAGAAAGAAAAUAUAAAAACAUUACUAUACAAACAACACAAAGAUUUUAAAACAAGUCAUAUAUACAAGGAUUUUAAAAUGAGAAAAAAAAUAUAAAUAAAUAAAAUAUAUUUAAUAAAAUACAAUUGAACUUUAAAAUAAAUAAUAUACAAAAUAAUACACAUAUUAAUUUACAUAAAGACUUAAUAUAAAUAAUUGGUGUAUAAGAAUACAAAUAUAUAAAAAGUAUUUGAAUUAAUAAAAGUGACAGAAUAAAGUUUAUAUAAAAAAAAGCUUUCUAAAAUGGGAAAAAAUAUAUAUAAAAAAAAAUAUAACGUCAAUAAUAUAUAUAUAACUAAAUGAUGUGUAAAUAAAAAAAAACGUAUGGGGAUAUUUAAAUUUAGCACAGUGAAAUAAAAUAAACACAUAUUGAAAUAGUAGGUAAACUCAAUUGAAAUAAACUAAACUUAAAAGAGAUAAUUUAUGAAUAAAUAGAACAUCAAAUUAAAACUAAGGACCACAAUUCAAUGCGCACAAAUUCGCAAGGACUGAAAACGCAAAUGAUCCAGAUCUCCAAAACACAGUGCAGGCCAAAUAGCAACAACACAGAAAUUUCAAAGAAAAAUUGAAAAAACAAAUAAUAUGCAAAUAGGGCCAAUUGAGAGCUGGUGCGAAAGUGGGGGACUAAUUGCACAAAUCACCCAUUUAAGAGGAAAUGCGCGGACUUCCAAACCCCCUGCUUUACUUUUUCCAAACCCCAUGCUGUUUUACUUUAUUAUUUAAACAAAGCCUAUUUUAAAAUAUAUUUUUUUUGCUUAAAAAACGUUUUCAUUUUGUUCUUGAAAAACCUAAGGCCUUGUUUGGUUCACAUGAAUGGCUUAGCCAUUCCUCCCUUAUUCAACACAAUGAUCUUAUUCAGGGGUUUGGUUGGCUGUAAAGCCUAUUCAAUGGAAUAGCUAUUACAACCUUAUUCCUCAAAAUCACUGAAUAGCAAUUCAACGCCAUCACUAAUGAGUGGCUAUUCAACGCUUCCAGUAAUACAAAAAAUUAUUUUUCUUUCCUUUUCUACCCAUCUCACAUCUUUUCAAAUUCCCUACUCCUAUCUGAGAGUCUUUCAACAAAUCUAUCGUGCGGUAUGAAAUUUCUCUGUUUUAUUUAAACUUUUUCUUAUUACUUUCUAUUUACCCUUACCAUUCUCCCAAUAUACCUGUAUAGAACGUUUGGAUUGAGCAAGAAGAGGGGUUUGAAAGACCAGCAGCAGCAGCCAUGGUGAAGAAGAUUAGCGUCACAAAUAAAGCCUUGAUUCCAGGUUUAAUCAAACCCUCAAGAAUGUCCAAGGGUACCUCUUUUUAAUCGUUCCAAUUUCCCAUUACUUUUCUUCCUCUAUUUUCUUUCUGGUUUCUCAAUGUUGAUUUUUGAUUUUUUUUUCAUUGGAUUUAGAGAAAUACCUUUUGAUCUUUCGAAUUUCAGUUUUGAUUUUGAAUUCCUGUGGAAGAAUUUUUCCUCUUUUGGGAGAAAUUUUAAUUUCGCAAAAAUUUUCAAUUAGGUUUAUUGGGUUUAAUUUGUUGCGGUUUGCACUUAGAUUGAAAGCGCCUUUUGGGAAUUAAACCGAGAUCUCACAAGUUCUACUUAAUGGCAUGACCUAGUUUUUUUUCUUUUGGAAGAUGAUCAUUUCAUCUUUGUGCUUAGAUCAUAGUAUUUAUCUAUUUUUCCCUAAAAAGUCUGAUAUUUUGGUUUAUGUUGUAAUUUGAUCAUGGCAUUGUUGUUGAGGAAUCAUAGACAUCACAGGGGGUUCAAAAAGGGUUGCUCAUUGUCUUUUAGCAUGGAGGGAGAGGCCAUGGAUUCGGCAUAUUAAAUAGUUGUUUCUUCAUAUUAAGAAGUUAGAGAGGUAGGAGAUGGUUAAAGUGGUAAAGGCAAGGAGAAAUUUUGUGCUUGUAAGGAAGAAUUCGGUAAGUAUUCCUUGAAAUUUACACACACUUACUCAUUUAGUUAAUUGUCAAGUUGAAUUAAACUAGUUGGUGACUUCAAUUAAGUUGUCUGAAUUUUAUUAUUAAACUGUCAAUUAGCUGCUGUUGAUUUUUGGUUAGGAGCAAAUAAAUCAUGUUGGAAAUUUGAAGAAAUGGUUGUAAAUAAAAAAAAUGAUUGUUGUUGGUUAUGGUGUGAGUUUAAGUUAUUUCUUGAAUGAUUUAUUGUACUCUAAUGCUGGUAUGUGUGAUGAAAAUUGAAGGAAAAGUCUUGAUGAUUGUUAGUUGUUGAGUGAACUGUCGAGGAAUGCAAACUCCAUGCAUGCUGUCAGAAUAUGACUUUUUGCAAUGAAAUUAAGGUAACCUGCUGCUGGAAUUGAUUAAAUAUUAAUGUCCUAAGCUGAAAUUAGAAGAUGUCAUAGUUAUAAUUAAGAUUUCCUAGUGCUUGAUCUUGAUUAAAAUGUAAGCAUUUAUGCUGUAAGUAUUUAUGUUGUCUUAAACCAUUAUCUAAAGUGGAUUAAUUGUCGUAAUUUAAACGGUCUUAAUAAUGAAAUUGUGGUAUCUUCAAAUGACAAAUUAGGAGGGGUUAUAGCUGUGAUUUAUAGUGCUUUGGUGCCGUGGUUAAAAUGUAUAACUCUGGGAUUGAUAUUGAUGAUGUGUCGUUAAUGAGUAAACUGCGUUUUAUUUGCCGAAUGACUUGUUAUUUUAGAAGUACAAAUUGAGUGUUGCUAAUGGUGAGUUUUCUUUAAACUCGUUUUGUUAUUUUCAUGCUUAAUAUAUAUAUUAAAUUAGAAUUGAUGUUUCGGUUUUGAUUUAAUGGCUGAAAAUGUUCUUUAAAUUUUCAAGGCUACUUACUAUCUGGCAUUAGCUAGAUUCGUUUAUUGUAAGUUUAAAUGCUGCUCGGAAAUAGUGUAAAAAUUACUGCUAUCCAAUUUUGUGCCCUUAUUUUGCUGUCCAAAAUUUGAACAAAUUAAUGGUUCCAUUUUCAUGUUGAUUGAGGGCUGUAAAGACAGUCCCAUUUGUUGCAUUAUGCUAUUCAGUUUUGGGAUCAAAUAAUUAAGUAUUACUGGAUUAAAAAUCAUGGAUUGUUGCUGUGAUGAACUAAUAAAUUUUAAUACUAUUGAGUGUGUUCUUGCGGGAUACAAAUGCCCUGCAUGUUGCUGUCUUGUGCUGUCCAAAAUAGGACAAAUUGAAUGUGCUUGUGAGUGAGUUUUUCAAAGGAAACUUUGCAAAUUCUCAUGUUUAAAUUUUGAAGUUUGCAUGCAGGUAAGCUAUGGUUGUAGGGGUUUAUAAAUCGAGUUUAGUAGCUAAAAUAUUAUGUUAUUCUUACUAAGUUCGGUUGUUAGUAGUGAAGUGAAAAUUUGACAAUUAAAUGCUUAAAUGACUGCUGGAAACUACAGCUUGAAAGCUCAUUAUUCCAGCAUAUAAAUUCUUAUUUGAAUGUGUUGUAAUAUGUAGAGCAAUUGGUCUGCUGCAUGUAUGAAAUAAAAGAAAAACAAUAGUUGUUAAAUAUUAGUUUUUGUUGCUGAUCGAAAAGGUUAGAUUCGUUGUUAAAGGGGAUGUAAAUUGGUGUUAAUUAAGCUGUCGGAUAGGGCUAAUAAAACAGUUUGAAUGUGAUGCUAUUAAGCUGAUUUAAUGUAAAGUGAACUUUUUUUCAGAAACAAGCACAUUAUGAUUGAUCUUGGCAUCGAUAAUAAUAAGAUUAACUGGGCUCUCAAGGACAAACAGGAGUUCAGAGACAUCAUUGGGACUGUAUACCGUGAGGCAUGGAAAGGCCGUGGUUUGAAAGAUUACUCGAAAAAGUACUGCUAUUGAGUAUUCUUCCAACAUUUAGUUGAUCAGAAUGUAAAUUGUAUGUAGAUAUGUGUGUCAUUUGCAAUGUUUGGUUGCAUGAAUGUGGAGGAUAAUCCAAUUUGAGAUGAAACUUUGAAAUAUAUAUUUUAUGUGCUCUUUUGAUGCUUGUUUACAGUAUAGCACCUUAGCUUGGAGUGACUUUCCUUACAGUUGUUUGAUAAGGAACAAGUGUUUUAAUUUAACUAUAUAAAAAUAUAAAUGAUAUGUUUAUAAAUAUGAUAAUAUGUUGAUUCAGCCAUGGUUGUAGACGAAUCUUCCAAUUAACUCAAUUGAAGAUUAUAUAAACUUGAUUUUUAUUAUAUAAAAGAUAAAAGAAAUUUAGUAAAGGAAGAAAAAGAGUGCAAGGAAAAAAUAAAUGGAUAAUGGAACAUUUAGCACAUUAAAUAUGUGUUUAAAAAUAAUAAAGUAGUUAUAUAUUAUUUUUAUAAUAUUAUAUAUUAUGAUUUUUAUUAAUUCAUAAUUUAAUAAUAAUAUUAAGAAUGUUAUUAAAUUAUAUAUUAUUUUAUUAAAUUAUAUUUAAUAAUACUUAUGUUAAAAUAUGAUUAAAUUAUUUAUUAUUAUUUUUAUUAAAUUAUAUUUAAUAAUAAUUUUAUUAAAAUUUAAAAAUAAUAAUCAUUUAUCUAAAAAAAUUCUACUAAGGGUAUUUUAGUCAUUUAAGUCUUUUUCCUUAUACUAUUACAACAUCUAUUCCAUUCAACUAAACACAAGAAUACUAUUACAACUCUAUUCCAUUCCAUUCAACCAAACAACUGAAUUAUUCAUUACAGGUCUAUUCUAUUACAGCUCUAUUCCAUUACAACUCUAUUACAUUACAGCUCUAUUCCAUUCCUCCCAACCAACCAAACGUGCCCUAAGUUUUGAGAUGCUUUCUCAGCCCUCUCACUCCCUAUUCAGCCGAAUUACCCAGGCCCUCAAACACUGCCGCUUUCCAUCGCACACGCCGCUGUGGACAACCAACGGAAAACCCUUUUGCCAGGUGAAUCGGGAAGUAUAUCUAUCCUUCCUCCUUUAUUACCAUUUUAGUAUAUAAAUCGUGGAUUUGAAAAAAAAUAAAAAAAUAAAAAAACAGAAGAAAAUAGCAAUAAAUAACCACCUUUGAAAUAUCUUGGUUGCUCUUUAUUGAUUUUGUGUGUAUUUUGUAUUCUAUUUCUCUAAAAAAAAAGCCCAUUACACUUAAAAACGAAGGCUUUUAUAGCCAAAAUACAAGCAUUUUUUUGGCUAUUUUUACUCAACUUGCAGGUCAUGAAGACGUGGGUGCAGACGUGGAGUAGGGCGUGCGUGCGUGGCGGAGGUGAUUGUGGCUGAAGGCUGCGGCGCAAAUGAAGCUUUUAGGGAUUUAGGGUUUCAAUUUUCUAAUUGCUUAGAUUAGAGCAUGAGAAUUGGGCUUAUGUAAACGAGCCAAAAUUAUUUGGGGUGUUUUAUGUAAUUGGGCUGGCUAAAAAUUGGGACUGUUGUUUUUUGUUUUAUUUUUUGUAUAUGUAUGGGCCCGGGCUAAAAAUUGGGUCUACAAUUUGGAUCAAAUUUUGUACCUUAACUUGACAUUACCAUAGAGAUCAAACCUAUGGAUCGGAUUCUUAUCAUCAUCUACAAUCUAUUUUGGGACUUUUAGACAAAUUGCCCUCCAUUAUUGGGUUUAAAAUCUAGUAUAAAUUGGGAAAAUUACUUCGUUAGCGGGUUUAAAUAAUGGUUACUUUUUUUUGGUACACUCAAUUUUUCUUUUUGUUAAUUUAGUUAGUCCAAAAGAAGAAAAUGGUCAAAUUAGUCACUCCGCCAUUAAAUAGUAAUGAAAAGAUUAAUUAUACAUUUUCACAUAUUAUUUUGGGUGACUAAAAUAAUAAUGACCCCUAUUGAAAAUGACUAAUGUGGAAAAGCACCGCCAGCAUUCCGUUACAAGAUAAAGAUAGAGUGACCAAUUUGAUUAAUUUAUUUUUUUAGAGUGACAAAAUUGAUAAAAAAAAGUUAAAACUAAUCAAAAUAAGAACGACUUCUAUUAAGAAUUUAAGAAUGACUAAAGGAGCAGUUUACCAAUAAAAUUAUUAUAUUUAAGUUUAAAAAUGCUUUUUAAAAAAUUUAAAAACUAAUUAAGUAUUAAUAUCUAAUUAAAAAUAUUAAAUUACAUUUUAUCAUAUAAUAAUAUAGAUAUUACUACAACCUUACCUGUAUUUAAUUUUUUUCUUUUUAAAUUUUGCGGUGCAUUUAAGAUUAGCCUGAGAUGAAAGCGUGGUUCACGUAAAUUGACACAUCUAUCGGCUCUAAACGAGCCGACAGCUGACUCAUCACUGCUUAUAAUAUCAUUAUUGGUCAAAUUCUGUUAUUAGUCUAUGUACUAUAUGAAAAUUAUGCAUUUAGUUCUUAUACUUUAAUUUCAUCAAAUUUAAUCCUUAAUACUUUAAGAAUUUUGAAAUUUCAGUUACGAUCUAAUUGGUAGAAAUUAAAUAUAUUAGGUCAAACUCUACUAAUUGUCAUAUAAUAUACGUAAGUUGCAGAUUUAAUCUAUAUUCUUCAAUUUAAAUUUUUUAACUAAAAUUGUAUGACUUUUGUGUGUUUAUUAAGCAAAAAAUAACGAACAGACAUGACAUGAUAUAAGUGAUAAUAUGUUUGCUAUAUAAAAUUUUGGAAUUAUUUGAUCAAAAUUCUUAUUUUAAAAUCUAAAAAUAUAAAAAUUAAUCAAAUUAAAGUUCAUAGAUUAAAAUCUAUAAUUUACUCAUAAUAUAGGGACUAAUAGAACAAUUUAACCAUGAUUAUUUUGAACCUAUUUUGAUAGACCUUUUCUCACAAAAAUGCAGCUUUUAAGAGAGACGUUAAACCAAUGGCACGUGCCCCAUCUGUUCUUCUUCGUCUUCAGCUCAAAAAAUCAAAUCCUUUUAACCACUCACCAUCACUCACUCUCUCAGCGAAGGUCUUCCCGUUGUAACUCAAAGCUUUUAGCCUCUUUUUGGGGUUUCUGUUUUCAAAGAUAAAGAAAAGGGUAGGGUGUUUUUUUUUUUUUUAAGUUAGCAAAGUAUUUAAAUAUGGAGGCUUCAAUGAAGAAGAAAGAUAAUUGGACCGAGUCAUUGUCUGCAACUGAGUUGAGGAGCUUUAAUGACGGUGGUGAGUCGAAAGAGAGCAGUUCUAGUAUUUGUAGUAGUAGUAGUAGUUCCAGUGGGUCCAUUUCAGCUUCUUCUCUUUUGGGUUUGCCUAUAAGGAAAGCCAUUACUACUGCUGCUGGUUCAGUGUCAAACAACUUAGAUGUUUCUAAUGGAAAUGGAGAUGAAGAUGAAAAGUAUAAAAAACUGGGUUCAAAGAUCAAUGGUUAGUAAUGUUGUUUAUAAGUUUAAAAAUUUGCAGUUUUUUAUUUAGUUUUUUUUUAAAAUCUAAUUGUAAUUUUUUUUCUUUGUAAAUUUCUAGUAGAGACAGAUAUGAUGAAAGAGAGGUUUGCAAAAUUGUUGCUUGGUGAAGACAUGUCAGGUUCAGGAAAUGGGGUUUGCACAGCUUUGGCCAUUUCAAAUGCCAUCACCAAUCUUUGUGGUAUACCCUCUUAUAAUAUUGUAUGUAGCUACUAUAUUUAGAUCCUGGGUUCUUGUUCCAAUUUAAUUUGGGAUAUAUUGCAUGUAGCUACUGUAUUUGGGCAAUUGUGGAGAUUAGAGCCCGUUCCUGAGGAGAAGAAAUCACUGUGGAAAAGAGAGAUGGAAUGGCUUGUUUGUGUUAGUGACCACAUUGUUGAGUUCAUACCCUCUUGCCAAAAUUUUCCAGAUGGAAGUAAGCUCGAGGUAUUGCUCUCAUUCUUCUUUCUUUUUCUUGAAAUCUCAUUUUAAAUAUUCGUGUUUGAUGUAUAUAUAGAUAUAAAAACUGAAAAGAUCUGUAUUUGAUGCUUAUUCAUAGCAAUCCCCGAGCUCGAGUGCCUUAAAAGCUUUGAACAUUCACACCCGAGUUUGAGUAACAUUUCACCAAAGAUAAAGUUUCUUGUCCUUUUAACUGUUCCUUUUUUUUGUUUUUCAUAGGUCAUGACUUGCAGGCCUAGAUCAGAUAUUUUCAUAAAUCUCCCAGCCCUACGUAAACUCGAUAACAUGCUUCUGGUAAGAACUAACAAUGCUUGCUUUCGGGUUCGAGUUUGAGUUCAGAACAUGCUAGCUUUGUUAUGCAGGAUGUAUUAGAUGGUUUCGCCAAUACAGAGUUCUGGUAUGUUGAUCAAGGGAUUAUAGCCCCGGAUGCCGAUGGCUCUGCCUCGUUCCGGAAAACUCUGCAACGCCAGGAUGAGAAGUGGUGGCUACCAGUGCCCCGUGUGCCUACUGGUGGUCUCAGCGAUCAUUCGAGAAAGCAAUUGAAUCACACUCGCGAGUGCACGAAUCAAAUAUUGAAAGCUGCUAUGGCAAUCAACAGUAUUUCUAUAUCCGAAAUGGAAGUUCCGGUUUCGUAUUUAGACACACUCCCGAAGGUCAGAAAACUAGACAUAAUUUGCUGUCUUGUUAUGUUCUCCGUUUGGGGACAGCAUUCCAGUCUACGGACAAUGGCACAAGUUCCUACUUGAGCUCUUAAAUGUUACAAACUGUUAUCAAAUGUGUCACACAUGACAUAGUUCCCAAAAAUUGUGUUGCAGAGUGGAAGAGCUUGUCUUGGAGAUUUCAUUUACAGGUAUGUAACAUCUGAUCAAUUCUCGGCAGAGUGCCUGCUUGAUUUCCUCGAUCUAUCAUCGGAACAUGUUGCACUUGAGAUUGUGAACCGUGUCGAAGCCUCAAUAUACGUGUGGCGUCGAAGAUCUUAUUCAAAGCCUCCAGUCAAUCCGAACCGAUCAACUACAAAAUCAUCAUGGGAAAUAGUAAAAGAUAUGAUGGUUGAUGGAGAUAAAAGAGAAUAUCUAGCAGAAAGAGCUGAAACUCUCCUGCUUUGCUUGAAGCAACGAUUCCCAGGUUUGACGCAAACUACGUUGGAUACAAGCAAAAUCCAGUGCAACAAGGUUUGAACUUCGAACCCUUUUCUCGAAAAUAUCUGGUUUUGCUGAAAGCUGCUUCAUUCUAGUCCCGAAUGUUAUUCAAACUAUUCCUUAUUUUAAACUUGCAGGAUGUUGGAAAGUCCAUUCUUGAAAGCUAUUCAAGAGUUCUAGAAAGCCUGGCAUAUAACAUUGUGGCACGGAUCGACGAUUUGAUAUAUGUCGAUGACUUAACAAAGUAUUCUGAGAAUUUGUCAUCGGUUCCUACUACAGUUAGUCUAAUCACUUACAAAAAGGUCCCGGUCGUGCCUGUCUCAAGCACUCCAUACAAAACAGCAAUCACCAGACCGAGCUUCUCUCCUGCUGCACCCCUGAUCAGCCCUGCAGGGGGAGAAAGAACUCCAUUUCUCAAGGAGAACCGCAACAACAACAACAACAACAGCAAGCCUCAUCGCCGUGGCAUUGGAGUUAAGAGGGUCUUGACUAAUUAUCUUGGAGUUGAUCCUAGAGCAAAGGUCUGCGGCAAUCCAACCAAUGAUGGUUCAUCAAUAAUGAACUCCAAGACUACAGAUAUGCCAGAGAACCAAAAGGAUGAAGUUACAUCAAAACAAUCAUCGGUACAGCAUAAUGGGACGAGUAUGCGGCAAAAUCGUCCGUGAUAUACUGUCAGUUGAGAUUUUCUGAAGAUGCAAAAUAAUACAGAUGUGAUAAAUAGGAGGGAAUAGUUGAUGAUAGAAAACUUGUUGGGUGCAGUAGAAGAAUGAUAUUUAUGUUCCACAUUGUUGUAGUAAAUUAAAAAGCAGGUUUUGGAGGGUAUACAUUUUUUUAGGACGUUAAACGUGAAUGUAACCGAGAAUGACAUGAUAUCAAAGUUUAUAGGUCAUUGGAUGUUGGUUCACUUCACAUGCUUUCUCCAAUUAUAGCUGGAAAAAGUGAAAAAGAAAGGGAGCAUUCCGAGAAUUGAACUCGGGACGUCUCCACCCUAAGCGAGAAUCAUACCCGUAGACCAAAUGCCCUACAUGCGUCAUUGGAUGUUGAUCUAAUUUACAUUCUUUCCCCAGUUUAUAGCUGGAAAAAGUGAAAAAGAAAGGGGCAUUCCGAGAAUUGAACUCGGGACCUCUCGCACCCUAAGCGAGAAUCAUACCACUAGACCAAAUGCCCUUUCUCUGUUAAUGUGAUAUUAAACAAAAUUUGAGUAAAGAAAAUGGGGAACUCUAGCAAUUUUGAUUAAAUUUUUGGGUAAACAGCUUGAGUGGUCCUCCAACUUUUGGAUAAGUUCUAUUUUGGUCACUCAACUACAAAACUUCCAAUUCCAUCAACAAUGGUUUUAAAAUUUUAGUCAGACUUCACGGAAGGUUGACGUGGGCAUUUUUUAAUUGGCCUAAUAAUAAAUUUAAUCUUUCAAUACUUACACAUUUUAUCAAUUUGAUUUUAAAUUUAAAAUUCAACAAAUUUAGCUUUCAAUAUUUACAAAAUUUGUCAUUUAAUUCUAAUACCAAAAAAUUAAAUAAUUUUAACCCUAAAAAUUUACAAAAUUUGUUAAUAUCAAUCUCAGCCCUUAGAUAUUUGGUUUUUACUUUUUAGCCGUUUUAUUUAAACAUUUUAUGUAAAAAUAAUAAAAUAAAUAAAAAUACUACUUUUUAAUUAUAAUUUUUUAAGUAAUUUCACUAAUCGAACACCAAAUUCAAUCAUAGAGAUAACUAGAUUAUAUCUGAAAAAUUAAAAUUUCAAUGUAGCAUAUAAUUUUUAAGUUUUAUUACCAAAGAAAGCAAACUGAGACAUGAAGCAGCCAAUUACAUCGUACAAACAUGGAGUUAACAAAAUAGAAGGAUGUUCAAAUAAACACAACGAUGGGACUCCUCACUUUGUGUUCACCAUCGUCCCACACUAAAGCACCAGACAUCAUAGCUUUAUCCAUUGUCCCUUCCACUAUUACUUCAAAAGACAGCUUUUGUCCCACCGACGUGAACGACAGAACAUCGGGGUUAACCCUGAUUUUCAACGUACCUGUCGGAAAACUCAGGUUAGCUCUGUAAACCGCCGUCGGAGAUCCCACGUUUGUGGCGGUCCUUUUGAAGGUACGACUGAAUGGUUUCAAUGGCGAAGUGGAAAGACCAAAGGAAGGGUAGUUUAGUUCCGAAACUGUCCCAUUAGUGUCUUUAGGACAAGUGGAGUUGUCUUUGGAUAAUAAUUGUAUUAACCGAGUGGCGUAUCCUUGUCCGCAUAAGAAGUUUAUGUAAUCAGUUUCAUUGGCAUCGUAUACUAGACCUGGAUUUGCAGCUUUUAAGGGAUUCAAAUGGCCUGAACCGUAUGCAAAUUCAGCUUCCAUGUUGAUGCCAGACCUCAUAGGAGCGGCUGCAGUUAACAUUUCAAUUGGAAAAUUAAGUAAAAGUUGUACCUAAUCGAACUAUAAAACAUAUUUGUUAUGAGGUUUAUAAUUAAUUACCUGUGGUCAUAAGGGCAGAUUGAAUAGCAGCAGGAGACCAUGUGGGAUGAAAUGAUUUAACGUAGGCAGCUGCACCAGAAACAUGAGGACAAGACAUUGAUGUUCCUGAGAUUAUGUUGAAUGUCACGAACCUGUUGUCGCCUGGAAUUGAAUAAACAGGAGAAAUUGAAGACCACGCUGCUAGAAUGUGAACCCCUGGUGCUGAUAUAUCUGGCUGCAAACAACAAUUUAAUGAAAAAAAAAACCAUCAAUCCUACACAAGUUUCUGCAAAAUCAUAUACUAUGAUAUAUGUGGAAAGAUUUAGAUAAAAAUAUUAAACUCAAAGCUUUAUCAUUCAAGAGCAAAAUCACGCUCGGCCUUACCUAACCAUUUUUUUUUCUAAAUCUAUAAUAUAUUGUUUUAUUUCUUAUAUUAAAUUGUAAUUUAUAUCCCAUCAAAAAAAAUAUUUUAAGUUAUCUAUUUUUAAAAUUUUAAUAAAAGAAAAAUACUAGAAUACUAUAAUUUUAAAUAUUAUAUUGUUUAGAAUUGAGCAAGAAAAUAAAAGAAAUUAAAGAUUGAUCCAGAUCGAGAUGUUUAGAUAAUAGAAUACAAGUUAAAAUACCAUGGUUACCCGAACUGAGCCGAAUACUACUUUUUGUUUAAUUUAUAAUUAAUUUUAAUUUUUAUAUAAUAGUGAAUGUCACUUAAAAGUUUUAUAUAGAAAUAUUUUUUGAAAUUACCAUAUAAAAGUUAUUGUUAUUUUUUAUUUACUUGAAAAAAUAAUUUUUCUAGAAAUAUUUAUAAAGAAGUUGAAAUUUUAUCAAAUAGUAUUCAAAAGAUAAAAAAUAAAACUCAUUUUGUCAAAAUAAAUUUAAAAAUCUAAAUGAUGAUAAAUCGAUAAUCGAAUUGAAUUAUGAUGAACGAUUUAAGAAAAACGAACAAAUUAAACUCAACUCAUCCCUAAUAUUGAUAAGCUUAAACAAAUUUGGAUUAAAUAUUUACUAAUACGAGUAGACUUGAAUUAAAUUGGUCGACCCACGAAUACUUUUAUCUUUUCCUUAAAAGAUGUUUAUGUUUUAUAUAUUGAACAUAAUUAUUGAGAGAAAAAAAAAGUUAAACCAUUAAAUUUUCCAUCAAUUUACCUUAAUAAUCUCAGGUGUAAUCGGAUUCGGACCUAUCGACGAGAAAGAGAUGAUAUAAGGAGCCAAUGAGUCAUUAACCUCACUACUCCUGAAUAUAGUUGCAGUUGGAGCACUACAAAAACAUAUAGGCAAAGUCUUACAUGAUAUUCGUUUGUGUAUUAAUUUUAUAUUCGUAUCGAGUAAUCGUACCUAGUGGAGUUUACGUACUGAAAAAUGUUGCGACCGUCAACGAAGUUAAAACAAGAUGCAGGCAAAGGAAAAAGGUUAGAAUAGUCAAUGCUGUCCAGGUCUCGAGCCACGGUCCCAGCUGCACCAGCCGAAAGGGCUCCUAUCCCGUUAGCGCGUAUAGUAUCACAAAGAACAAUCUUACCCUUCACUAAUUUUUUAUCCAAUGAAUUAGGAAAACAUAAUCUGCACUUCAACAAUUGGAUAAUUAAAAUAUUAAUGGUAUAAAAAGAUAUGAAAAGAUGAAAUAUUUUAAUUUUACACAUGUGUAAGUGGAUGAAUUAAAAAAAAAAGAGCUAAGUUUAUGUUACCUGGAUGAUCUACUAGAUGCUGUAGUAGUGUUUGGUGCGUCUCCACCAUAAAUCAUAGGGUACGUUUUAUUCUUGAGAUCAAAUGUAUUUAUUGAUACUCCCUACAUACAACCAUACUUAUAUAUUUAUAUGAUAACUAUCAUUAUAAAUCAUAAAAUUGAUAUAUGAUUAUAAAUCAUGUAUGUAUUUAUAUUACCUCAUAAAUCUUCUUGUUGCCAAGUUGAACCUUGGUGGAAAACUUGCGAUCGAUGGUGCUAGCUGCCACGGAAAGCGACCACGGUGAGAAAUUAGAGAUCGUUGAACGUCCAGGGCCUUCAUUACCCGCCGAACUUACAGUUAGUAUACCGUUUUUCAUGGCGUGAAAAGAUGCGAUAUCAAUUGCAUCUUCGAAAUAGUCUCUGGUCCGUCCUCCGCCGACUGAAAUUGAUAUAAUGUCGACUCCAUCAGAGAUCGCAUCAUCCAAUCCCGCGAGAAUGUCGGCAUCCUGACAACCAUCGGACCAACAUAUUUUGUACACUGCGAUGCGUGCCGAUGGAACCCCUCCUCGAGCUGUUCCUGAACCAAAGCCGUAGAGACUUGCACCGUCGACUAAAUUCCCGGCUGCCGUGGAAGCAGUAUGAGUCCCAUGACCGUCGGAGUCUCUCGGAGAUUCAAAGUCAUCCGGUAAAAACAGUCCAUCGCUGCGGUAAUAUUUUGUGUUACAGGCCAUUUUGCCCGAGGCCCAAUUAAACACAAAAAUAAAGGUCCAAAUUACAGUCCAUAAGGUCCUAAACAACAAGCUCAGAACCACUAGCCCAAUAACCCAAUAGCCUACCCUUAGCCCAAUAACCCAAUAGCCUACCCUCAGCCCAAAACCCAAAACAAAAAAAAACCUAGCAGAAAACAGAGGAGCCCUAGGCGCCGCUCCUAGGGUCUUCUGACCUUCGGUCUUCUGCUCACCUGCUCUGCCAGCAACCACCGCCAACUGCCACCGUCACCUCCAUCCACGUGCGUUGAUCCCUGUAAACAAAUCAAAGCAAGCAAGACAGGCAUAGGCAUAGACUAGGAAUUUCAUGUCAAUUGGCUAUAAAAGCCGAAACUAAGAUACAUGUAAGGGGUUCUGACUUUUUUUUAAAGAAAAAGAUCAAAGAAAACAAAGGAAAAUCAGUUGAAAGGUGAAAUUUUUAGCCUUCUUUUUUCUUCGAUUCCAUUCGGCUUUGCUUUCCUUUUCUUUUAUGUUUAAUAUAAGCCUAAAGGUUAAUAAACGAAACUUACCUGAAUCGUCGCGGUUGUAGCGUCGCCGGAGUCCGAGUCGUUGAGAACGGACGAGGAAGGCGUUUCAUUUUUUUGAGAUUCCCUCUCUCGGCCUUAGGGCUUUAAGGACUUGAUUUUUGGAAGGGUUUUCGAAACGGGAUUUUAAAAGGCUAACUUUUCGACUUCCGACCGCCGCUCACGGCGGCGCCGGCGCCGAUAAACGGCGACCGGCUCGGUGGUCCGCAACCGGACCCUUGGCCGGCGCUCAGAGAGAGGAGAAGGCUCUCUCUCUGUUUUAAAAUGGUUAAAACUGAUGGAUGUUAAGUUUUUUUUAAUAUUUAUAGUAAAUACCAAACGGCACCGUUUUGAUAGGGUCAGGACAGCCCCAAAACGGCGUCGUUUUGGGCUCCUGACCCGAGACCCGACCCGUACCGCCUGGGAUCCGCGUGUUUUUGGACCAGAGGGGUUAUUUGCACCCUCAGUCCUUCCGCUUUUGAGGCCGUACAAUUGGGUCCUAUUCCCUUUUAUUAUUUGUUUUAAUUUUGCCCUGAAUUUUCAUUUUUCUUGCGAUUUGGUCCAUCGACCGUCUGCUCAGGCUUUGUUAGAACGACGUCGUUUGGACCACGUGGGAAUAUUUUCCGUUUUGACCCUCCAUCCUUUCGCGCGAGUCACAUUUUGGUCCUUUUCGUCCUUUGUCAUUCCAAAUUCGCCCAGUAUUUUCUUUUUUAUUUCAAUUUAGCCCUUUUUUUUAGCCACUUUAUUAUUUUGUUUAUUCUAUUAUUAUUAUUAUUAUUAUUAUUACUUAUUUGUUUAUGUUUAUUUUAUUUAGAUUUUCGGCACAUAUACAUAUACAUGCAUAUGUUUUUGUGAUAUACGUACAUUGUUUUUUGUAACAUAUAUACUUAUAUAGUUUAUAUAGUUUCAACUUAUGUAUAUAUCUAUACAUUUAUAUAUUUUCAUUUUCCUAAAUAUAUACAUAUUUAUACAUAAUCUUUAUAGUUUAAAAUAUACCCCUUUUUAAAAAAAACCCGUAUAUACACACAUGUUGCUAAUAAUUUAUAUAGAUACAUAUCCUUUUUAUUUUAUAAGUACAUAUAUUUUUAUAUGUACGUACAUAUAUUUUUUUUGUAUAUCUUAUUUUACAUAAAUAUAUGUAUACAUUUUCAAUAUAUUUUAACAUGUACUAAAUUAACGUAUUUAUUCGUAUACAUAUGUAUAUUUUCAUUAUUUUUAAACUUUAAUUUGUACAUACAUACUUUCUCUUAUUUUUCAACACAUAUAUGUACUUACUUUCAUAUGUAUUUUAUUAUUUUUGUAUUCCAUAGUUUUAUACACCCAUAUAUAUGUACAUAUUUUUAUAUAUAUACAUAUUUAUCGUUUCUUUUAUAUAUUAAAAUACUUUAUACAUUUUGCUAAUUUAUAUAUAUAUACAUAUUUUAGUUUAUGCCUAUAUAUACAUAUCUUUUUAUAUUUAAUUGUAUUUGUUACUUAUUUAUUUCAUUCUCGUUAUUAUUUUGAAUGAAUGUUUUAAUUUAUUUGUUUAUGUAUAUUGUUAUUUUAUAUGAUUGUAGAUAUGAUUUUUAUUCAUUUUAUAUCGUUGCUAUUGCUCGUACUAUUUUUAUUUUUUAUGUGUAUUAUGAUUUUACCACGUAUGACAACAAUGUAAUUUGUUUUCACAUUUUUUUACUACGAUUUUCGUGUUAUAUUUUAUUCGGUACAACAAAAUUUGUUUUAAAAAAGUAUUUCAUGUUUAGAUUCGAAAGGAUCGUACUCUAACUUACUGAGUUUCGACUUUCAUAAUAAAUCUAAAUACACGAAUCUUUUCAAACUCAAGUUUUUAAACGAUCUUGGGAAUUAAGAAAAGAUCGUGCCCUAACUUACUGGGCCUGAUUUAUUUCUAAAACCAAGAUAAUAAAAUAUCUUUUAAAUAAGCAUUUUUCAUCCGCGUAUCGGGAAUUUGAGACAUUGUGUCCUAACUUACUGGAUAUGAUUCUCUUUCUCGAAUAAUGUGAAAUAUUCCCUUUUCCUGAAAAUUUUCAACGUUUUAAUACAAGGAUCGUGUUUUUAAAAUUCUUCAAGGUUCUCAAUUUUUGACAUUAAGACAUUAAGUAAUCAACUAGGUACCAAUUUUGGGCGUAUCGAGGGUGCUAAUCCUUCCUCGUGCGUAACCUACUCCCGAACCCGUUUUUGAAUUUCGUGGACCAAACUUGUUGUUUUAAUAAAAUCAAACCGUUUAUUAAAAACCCCUCUUCGAGGUGAUCCAAUCGCACCUCAUAAAAAAGGAGGAUUGGUGGCGACUCCCGUUUCUUUUUUUUAAACCCAAGUCAACCCCAUCUUUCAUCAAAAAAAUGGUGUCAACAGCUUGGCGACUCCACUGGGGACAUGAUAAGAGAGUCAAGCCACGUGUUGAUUAUUUCUUGUCUUUUUGUCGAAAGUUAAAAAUUCGAUUGAAAUUUACGAUCCUCUCAUUGCAUCUCUUUUGUUUUGAGUUAUAUUUUUAUCGUGUUCUGUAUUUUAUUUUAUACCUCUGCGCAUUGCAUUGCAUGACCGUUGGUCACACCUUUUUAAGUGGGAGUGAGAAGCUACGCCUUCGUGAGGUUUUCACCUCCGCAUGGGAUAGUGAAUCGCUUUCGGGAUAUAUCCGUACCUAUGUCUUCGUGAGAUUUUCAUCUCCGCAUGGCCAUAGGGAAAUGUAUCCCCCUGAAUCGAACUUGGUCCGUAUGAGCCUAUAAUGGGUGAGGAUCGAGGAAUUUGCUGGUUCAGGUACCCUACUUUAGAACCAAACCACAUGUAAUGAGCCAUAGGAACCGACCUAGGUAGAGCUACUCUAAAUUUUUAGUGCCUACCUAAAUGAAUGUUGUAUUUAUUUGUCGUUUAUUUUAAACCUUAUUCUGUGUUUAAUGCUAAUUUACUUUGUUUGUGAUUGCAUGGCAUCUUCAUUCUAAAAGAGGUGUCGAUUUACGUUCAGCUUCUUGGUAGAAAGCUUAUCAUGGAAAAGGGGUUUGUUGAUAAAGUAGAGGAUAAUGCGGCUGUGCGAAUAUGGGCUGAAACGACGCAACGGGAGAAAGGCGAUAGUCUUACCGAAGGGUACGUGUCAGAAUUGUGGGAUUUUACCCGUAUCAGUGUAAUCCAGAAUGACCUUCGAGAAAUGAAAUAAGUCUGGGAUCAAUGGGAUGUCGAGGCCAAGGAGCUAUUCUAUUGUAACUAUGGUGACCUACCUUAUCUGCUCAGUGUCAAAGUGGACAAGUAUUUAUUCCGAGCCCUUGCUCAGUUUUGGAAUCCUGCCUACAGUUGUUUCACUUUUGGGAAGGUAGAUUUGACGCCUACUGUGGAGGAAUAUACGACCUUGCUUCGGUGCCCAAAGAUUCAAGUCGACAAGGCUUAUUCCAGAGCUGCUUGUGUCCCUCCGUUGUUAAAGAAAUUAAUGAACAUCACUGGGAUGAGCGAGCAGUGGGUCGCUGCCCGGAUCCAACAGAAGGGCGACAGUAAAUGUGUUCCUUGGAAAAGUUUGCGAGAUUUGGUGCUUGUACAUCCUGACUUAAAGAAAAGGGUCGAUGUCUUCGCUUUAGGUAUCUAUGGACUAGUGGUUUUCCCCAAAGCUUUAGGACACAUAGACGAGGCCGUAUCUGAUUUGUUCGAUCGGCUUGGUAAAGGGGUUACACCGGUUCCGGCAAUACUCGCGGAAACUUUUAGAUCCUUGAAUGCGUGUCGAAAAGCAGGGGAGGGAAGGUUUAUUGGAUGCGCGCAGCUCUUAUUGGCAUGGUUCCAUAGCCACUUCUGGAAAGUCGAAAAGGUCUCUUACCGGGUAUUCUCCGAUAGCUACUCCCCUCUAGGAGAAUUGGUGGCCACGCCAAGACGGGAUGAUAUUUCAGAAGAAAAAUGGAUAGAGAUACUCUAGAAUCUCCAAGAUGAAGAUAUUGAAUGGAGGGCUCCUUGGUUAAUUCCUGAUGAGAUAUUGUACCGAUGUGGAGAUUUUGACUGGGUUCCGCUGCUCGGGAUAUGGGGGGCUAUUGGAUAUGCUCCUCUACUCGUGUCAAGACAGUAUAGAUCACGACAAUUCAUACCAGCAACCCAGGGGUUGGCUUAUAGUGAUUUUUCCUAUAGGGAGGACAAUUACAAGAAGAAGGUUCGAGAAAUAUCUAGUGCUUGGAACCAGACUCGUCGAAUGAAGAUCUUAGCUGUGGGUCCGACAAUUACCCCCGAGUAUGGUCAGUGGCGUAAUCAAAGGAUCAACGACAACAUCCCGGCGUCAAAUUCAGAAACGGCUCGAUCUUUAGAGGAACACUUACAAGUCUUGCCUUCUGAGAUAGAAAUCAUCAAACAAGAAUUCGAAAAAAGAAGUUUAGAAUUGGGGAAGAAGAUAGAACAACUAGAGGAAGAAAAAAUGCAGUUAGGACUGGAUGUGGACAUUCAAAGAUUAGAGGCCAACAAAUUGAGGAAAGGAAAGAACAAGGCAGAAGAAGAUUUGGACAGCCUGAAGACAGAUUACAAGAAGUUGCGAAAGUCGGUAAGAGCCGCUGGCUUGGGUAAAACACCAGAACAAUGGCGACAAGAAAUUCAGGAGGAAAAGACGAAAGCUAAUCAAUGGGAAAAGAAAUUUCAGGAUACUCGGGCUCGAGAAGUCGCCUUGGGAAAGAGUCUACUAGUUUGCCAAGACGAGAAGACGGAGUUGAAGGUCCGGAUAACAGAACUAGAAAGAUCGCUUCGCCAGUACUGUAAUCGUAAUGCUACGGUUGAAUUAAGGGCGAGCUUAGACAAAAUUGAAGAAUUAAAAACACAGAUAGGAGGGCUAGAGAAUGCAUUGCAAAAUAGUGAAAUCCGGAUAGAGCUUCUAGAAGAAAGUAAUGAGCAGUGGCAAGGACAAUUUCGUCGGUCUCAAGAGCAGAUUGGAGAAAGAGAUUAUAUUAUGGGAGAGGCGGUGACUCAGGUGCGCGAAGUGGCUGAUCAUCUGCAAACUCUAGCGGUUCAGGCUGAUCUAUUAAGUUUGAAGUAUGAGUUAGAGUCGGACAGGGGCCGAGAAUUAGCUUGGCUUCUUAGAAAGGUUAAGGCUUUGAGUGUGAGGGCAAAGCCAUAUAUGUAGUCUAUUUUAUGUAAAGAAACUCUUUAUCUAGUAAAGUUUUCUAAUGAAGUUGAAUUAGAAUCAGUGCCUCUUUUUCUUUGUAUUCUUUUCAUGCAUUGCAUCACAUCAUAUGCAUUAAUGACCAUUAAAAACCUAAUCGAAUAAAAUCAUUUCAGUUAACCUGGAAAACCAACAAAGUUACGGCACCCGAGCAAAGACAAAAAUUAUGGACCAAAGGUUGGAGAAGCUAGAGCGACUUCAAAGAGAAAUGCAAGACCAGUUGCAGGCGCAAAUGAAAGAGCAAAUAGAAAAGAUUCAGCGUGACAUGGUACAAAAGAUGGAGGAGUCCCAAAAUGAUCUGGUGGCUAAGAUGACGCAAUUAUUGAAGGGAGUAGAUAAGGGUAAAGGGCCUGUGAUUGUUAGUGAAGAAGAAAACAAUGGUGAACCACUCUAUCCUCCAGGUUUCACGCCUCCACAUGUACAAACUGAGUUGCAUCCGCGGAGACCCUCUGUGUCGGUUAGGCCCCAACAGUCCCAAGGCGAUGCUUCAAUCCCAAUGAAUUUUCAAUCCGGAGCGGGCUUUAAUCCCGGCGAUAGCCCGAAUAAUAUUGCUGUCCCAGAUCUUGACGAGAUGGUUGAAAAGGACAAAGCGAAGGAGGAAUUUCCAAAACAAUUUGAGGAGAAAUGGAAAUGGAUAGAAGAGAAGUUUAGGGCAAUAGAAAGCAUUGAAAACUAUGGAAUAGAUGCAAAGGAUCUGAGCUUGGUUCCUGACUUGGUGCUCCCUUACAAAUUUAAGAUGCCGGAAUUUGAAAAAUACAACGGGACUAGUUUCCCAGGAUCCCAUAUUACUAUGUUUUGUAGAAGAAUGACGGGGCAUAUUAAUAAUGAUCAAUUAUUAAUACAUUGCUUUCAGGAAAGUCUUACGGGAGCAGCGUCAAAGUGGUACAAUCAGCUGAGCCGAGCCAAAAUUGCUACUUGGAGGGAUUUAGCACAGGCUUUCCUGAGACAGUACAAUCAUGUCUCAGAAAUGAUGCCUGACAGGAUAACUCUGCAAAAUCUAGAGAAGAAAUCGAACGAAAGCUUCAGACAAUAUGCGCAGAGGUGGCGAGAGGUGGCAGUUCAAGUGCAACCACCGCUUUUGGAAAAGGAGAUGACGACGCUUUUUAUUAACACUUUGAAAGCCCCGUUCAUCACUCACAUGUUGGGAAGCGCUUCAAAAAAUUUCUCGGAUAUAAUCAUGAAUGGUGAAAUGAUUGAGCAUGCCAUUAAAAGUGGAAAAAUAGAUGGAGGAGAAAAUAAUAGGAGGGCACCCUUGAGGAAAAGAGAAAAUGAAGUGAAUAAUGUGAAUGCUUAUGGUAGGUCAAUUACCGUGAAUCAACCGAAGAAAGUGGUUGCUAAUCAACAGGGAUCAUCAAGACAAGAGUCGGGAGCUAGGCAAACUACUGAAAAGCCCCAAUUCACGCCAAUCCCGAUGUCAUACAAGGAGUUGUAUCAGACUUUAUUCGAUGCACAUGUUGUUGCUCCUCGUUACUUGAGUCCUCUACAACCCCCGUAUCCAAAAUGGUAUGAUACGAACGCUCAAUGUGAUUAUCAUGCGGGAAUUUCUGGGCACUCGAUAGAAAAUUGUACUGCCUUCAAGAAGGUAGUAGAAGGACUUAUCAAUUUAGGUGUUGUCAAACUUGACGACUCACCUAACGCAAAGAAUCCGUUACCUAAUCACGCAGAUAAGGGGGUGAGUAUGGUUAGCGAAGGUAUGGGAGAAGAAGUCAAGACUGACAUUGCUGAAGUAAAAACUCCAUUAAAAUGGGUCUGGAAAGAAAUGGCGAAAAGAGGUUUGGUUAUUUCAGAUUCUGAGGAAGGGCAUGAGAUGGGAAAUUAUUGUGAAUUUCACCAUAAAACAGGGCACGAAAUCCAAGAAUGUGAAGGAUUUAAGGCUUUGGUUCAAAGCAUGAUGGAUAACAAAGAGAUGAGGUUUUACGAAGAUGCGAAAGAAAUAAGGAGCAUAUGCGCGACAGAGUUGGGAACAAAGGCUCCAAAUCAUCCUGUGGUCAUUAUCUCACGCCCUAAGGGUAAUGAGGUCAGGGCUCAGGUAACACCGAAAAUUGUAAUCCAAAAACCAUCAAAUUUCUCUUAUAGGGAUAAUAAAAUGGUACCGUAGAAUUACGGGUGUAAUAUGACCAUUUCGGGAAAAGAAACAGAAAGAAAUCAGGAAAUAGGUUCUUACACGCGCAAUGGAAAAAGAUAUGACGCUCAAGCAGAGUCGUCUAGGGAAGAGAAUGGGAAGAAAGAACAGAGGAAAGGGAAAGCAGUAGAAGUUGAACCAUUGGUAAAUGAACCAAUAAGAGAAGAGGAGGCAAAUGAGUUUUUGAAGUUUUUGAAACACAGUGAAUACAGUGUUGUGGAGCAACUGCACAAAUAGCCAGCCCGCAUUUCUGUAUUAGCUUUACUCUUAAACUCAGAAGUACAUCGGAAUGCACUAUUAAAGGUGCUAAACGAAACAUAUGUGGCUGACGAUAUUUCGGUAAACAAGCUGGAUCGGCUGAUCAAUAAUAUUGGCGCUGACAAUUUUAUCUUCUUCAGUGAUGACGAAAUACCGUCCGGGGGAAGAGGUUCUACUAAAGCCCUGCAUGUUACUGUCCGAUGCAAAGGGUACACACUCCCGGGGGCCUUGGUCGAUAAUGGAUCUGCACUAAAUGUAUUGCCUUUGUCCACUCUUAGUCGAUUACCAAUAGACAGUUCGCACAUGAAAGCAUGCCAGAGCAUAGUAAGGGCAUUUGAUGGAACAAAAAAGGAGGUUAUGGGGAGAAUUGAAGUACCAUUAAGGAUUGGCCCAGUCACUUAUGAGGUGGAUUUCUUGGUAAUGGAUAUUAAACCCUCCUACAACUGUCUAUUGGGGAGACCGUGGAUACACUCAGCAGGGGCAGUACCUUCAUCAUUACAUCAGAAGGUGAAGUUGGUAUCGGAGGAUCGGUUGGUAACAAUAGAUGCAGAGGAGGAUAUUAUCGCAAUGAUGACUAGCGAUGCACCUUAUGUGGACAUCAACGAUGAGGCACUGGAAUGUUCUUUUCGGUCGUUAGAAUUUGUGAACGCGAUGUUUAUUGCGGAGGGAAAUAGGAUUCCAGUACCGAAAAUAUCCAGGACCACUGAGAUGGGAUUGCGAUUAAUGGUAGGAAGAGGAGCCUUGCCCGGGAAAGGAUUGGGAAAAUAUCUUCAGGGAAGGAUUGAGGCACCAACGCCGAAGGAAAAGUUUGAUAGAUUUGGUUUAGGGUACAAGCCAGACAUGAAGCAGAAGAAGAAAGAAGUAGAGAAGAGACAAGCGAGAAGAAGGGCGCGUUUGAAUGGACAUGAAGCUAAGUGUGAGCCUUUAACCUUUCCCCACAUAUCUUCAUCUUUCGUGUCGGGAGGAUUUAUUCAUUCUGAAUGUGGGGUGUCCGGUAGCGGCAUGGGAGGAAUGUUGGAAAAUGUUUAUAUUAACGUCAUAGAAGCAACGGAAAGGAGGGCUUUGUUGGAGAUCUGCCCUUAUGAGCCUGGAAGCGAGCUAAACAAUUGGACUGCUGAAGAAAUCCCUGUAGUCUUUAGGGCUUAUUCAGAGUAAUGCUCAAAACAUUCCUGUUGUUUGUUGGCCUAGAAACGAUAUGAAUUUUUUUUGUGAAAUAGGCAUUGGGCCUAAAUAUCAUUAUUUUAAUAAAAUACGUGUCUACGUUCAUCUCGAUCAGUCACUUUUUUUUUCCUUUCAUAUUUUUCAUUUGGUUGAUUGUCUUACAAAUAAUUCUUUCAUUUGUGAUUCUUUUGCACAAACAUAUUCAUAAAUUUAUAUUCUUGGUAUAUUAUUUGAUCUGCCCACAUAGGUCUUCAGAUAUCAAUGACAGGAGUGACGCUGCCUCAAAUGCGGAGCCUAUUUUUGAGCAAGAAGUGUGUUCAGAGGGAUCCCACGACUUUGAAAAUGACGAAGAUUAUGAUGCAUCUCCGGACUUGUUAAGAAUGAUGGAACAAGAGGAUAAGCAUAUCCUACCUCAUAGGGAAUCGUUAGAAAUAGUGAGCCUAGAGGAUGGAAAGGAGGUGAAAAUUGGAACUGAAAUUACCGCAAAGACAAGGCAAGACCUCAUCAAUUUGCUCCGAGAGUUCAAGGAUGUUUUCGCGUGGUCGUACCAAGAUAUGCCUGGGCUAAGUACUAACAUCGUGGUACAUCGUCUGCCCAUAAAGGAGGAUUGUAAACCCGUUCAACAGAAGCUUAGGAGAAUGAGACCUGACAUUGUGUUGAAAAUAAGAGAAGAAGUCAAAAGACAAUUCGACGCUGGUUUCUUACAAGAGGUCAAGUAUUCGGAUUGGGUAGCCAACAUCGUCCCUGUUCCCAAAAAAGAUGGAAAAGUACGAAUGUGUGUGGAUUAUAGGGAUUUAAACAAGGCUAGUCCAAAGGACAACUUUCCACUACCUCACAUUGAUACUUUGGUAGAUAACACGGCGGGCCAUUCAUUGUUUUCUUUCAUGGACGGUUUCUCUGGAUACAAUCAAAUAAAGAUGCAUCCCGGAGACAUGAGGAAAACCACAUUCAUUACCUUAUGGGGAACGUUCUGUUACAAGGUAAUGCCCUUCGGAUUGAAGAAUGCGGGAGCAACGUAUCAAAGAGCUAUGGUGACUUUGUUUCACGACAUGAUGCACAAGGAGAUCGAAGUCUAUGUUGACGAUAUGAUCGCGAAGUCUAGAACGGAAGAAGAGCAUGUUCAGGUCUUGAAAAGGUUAUUUUUGAGAUUAAAGAAAUUUCAGCUCAAGCUUAACCCGGCCAAAUGCACGUUCGGAGCCAGAUCAGGGAAGUUAUUAGGCUUCAUAGUUAGCAAAAAGGGGAUCGAGGUUGACCCAGACAAAGUAAAGGCAAUACGAGAUUUACCUCCCCCGCGCACUCAGAAGGAGGUUCGAGGUUUCCUAGGGAGGCUGAAUUACAUUGCUCGGUUCAUCUCACAACUGACGGAGAAAUGUGAUCCAGUAUUCCGGCUCUUAAAGAAACAUAAUCCUGGCGAAUGGAAUGAAGAGUGUCAGAGAGCUUUCGAUAAGAUAAAACAGUACUUGGCUAAUACUCCAGUCUUAUCACCUCCAAGUCCAGAUAGGCCAUUGAUAUUGUAUCUAACAGUGUUGGAGAAUUCCAUGGGAUGCGUAUUGGGCCAACAUGAUGAGACGGGAAAGAAAGAAAGGGCAAUAUACUAUCUCAGUAAGAAAUUUACCGAUUGCGAGAUGAGGUACUCAUCAAUUGAGAAGUUGUGUUGUGCUCUAAUCUGGGCAACCCGAAGACUGAGGCAGUAUAUGUUGUAUCACAUGACUUGGCUGAUUUCAAAGUUAGAUCCUUUAAAAUAUAUGAUGGAAUCAACUGCUUUGAACGGGAGAAUGGCUAGAUGGCAGAUCUUGCUCUCAGAAUUUGAUAUAGUAUAUGUCAGUCAGAAGGCCAUAAAGGGAAGUGCAAUAGCCGAUUUCCUAGCUAGUAGAGCCUUGGAGGACUAUGAAUCUUUGAAUUUUGAUUUUCCAAACGAGGACUUGAUGUAUGUGGCGAAUACGGAAGAAAACCCUCAAAUGGAUCACGUAUGGAAGUUAAAUUUUGAUGGAGCUUCGAAUGCUACGGGUAAUGGAGUUGGGGCAGUUUUGGUAUCCCCGAGUGGAGAUCAUUAUCCUGUUGCCAGUAAAUUGGACUUCGAUUGUACAAAUAACAUGGCAGAAUAUGAAGCAUGUAUUAUGGGCAUUCGUGCAGCCAUUGAACGGAACAUCAAGGUACUGAGAGUAUACGGGGAUUCAGCGUUGGUGAUAUACCAACUCAAAGGGGAGUGGGAGACUAGAGAUCCUAAGCUAAUCGGUUAUAGAAAACUAGUUCUUGAAUUGGCUGAGGAGUUUGAUGAUAUCACCUUCUAUUACCUCCCACGGGAGGAAAACCAAAUGGCUGAUGCAUUAGCUACUCUAGCUUCGAUGAUUCAGGUGAAUAGACUUGAGGCAAUGAGGCCUGUUCAGAUGAGUAUCUCUGAGACCUCGGCUAAUUGCUGCAAUAUUGAGGAGGAGGGAAAAGAUGAUUGUCCUUGGUAUCAGAGUAUCCUACAAUAUGUGAAGAAUCGGGAAUACCCUGAUCAAGCGACAGAGAAUGACAAAAGAACUCUGAGAAAGAUAGCCAUUGAAUAUGUCUUAGACGGAGAAGUGCUAUAUAAAAGAAGGAAGGAUCAAGUACUGUUAAGAUGUGUGGAUGCUGUAGAAGCCAAGAAAAUUUUGGAAGAAGUCCAUGAGGGAAUUUGCGGGACGCACGCCAGUGGUUUUACGAUGGCCAGACAGAUCAUGAGAUUUGGGUACUAUUGGCCCACCAUGGAAGGAGAUUGUAUUGAUCACGCCAAGAAGUGCCACAAAUGCCAAAUUUACGGAGACAAGAUACAUGCGCCUCCUUCACCUCUUCACGUCAUGACCUCUCCUUGGCCGUUUUCCAUGUGGGGUAUGGAUGUUAUUGGGCCAAUAUCACCAAAGGCUUCUAAUGGGCAUCGCUUCAUCUUCGUAGUAAUUGAUUACUUUACCAAGUGGGUGGAGGCUGCUUCCUAUGCAAAUGUCACGAAAGCAGUAGUCAGCAAAUUCUUGAAGAAGGAGAUCAUUUGUCGAUAUGGAAUGCCUGAGAGGAUCAUAUCCGACAAUGCGAUGAACUUGAAUAAUAGCACAAUAGCUGAAGUUUGUAGCAAAUUUAAAAUUAAGCACCAUAACUCAUCGCCGUAUCGUCCCAAAAUGAAUGGUGCAGUGGAGGCGGCCAAUAAAAACAUUAAAAGGAUUGUGGGGAAAAUGACUGAAACCUACAAGGAUUGGCAUGAGAAACUAUCAUUUGCUCUCCUCGCCUAUCGAACAUCUGUUAGAACUUCUACUGGGGCAACGCCUUUUGCUCUGGUUUAUGGAAUGGAGGCAGUAUUACCCAUUGAAGUUGAAAUCCCUUCUCUACGGGUGUUAUCUGAGCUACAGUUGGAUGAAGCCGAUUGGAUCCAAUCUCGGUACGAUCAGUUGAACCUAAUAGAAGAAAAGAGGCUAAGAGCUAUUCACCAUGGGCAAAUGUACCAGAAACGAAUGAUGCGAGCCUAUAAUAAAAAGGUUCGCCCCCGAGAAUUUCGUGAAGGGGACUUGGUACUAAAAAAGAUUCUUCCUAUGCAAAAAGAUUUUAGAGGAAAAUGGAUGCCAAAUUGGGAAGGCCCUUAUGUUGUAAAGAAGGCCUUUUUCGGUGGAGCUUUGAUCCUAUGCGAGAUGGAUGGCAAAAGUUUACCAAAUCCUGUAAACGCAGACUCUGUCAAGAAAUACUUCACUUGAAAGAAAGCGGAACCAAAGUGAAAACCCGUGAAGGGCGCUUUGCUUCCUAAAAAAAAAAAAAAAAAAAAGGAAACUUUGGAGAGGCUAAGGUGAAAACCCGUAAAGGGCACUUUGAGACCAAAGAGGGCUUGAGUCGAAAACUCGAAAAGGGCGACUCAAAUAUUGGGCAGGAUUGGAACAUCAGGACUUGAGCGGAUCAAAUUUUGAUCAGGGGCAUGUGAUGAUCUUGCUUUACCAAUAAGGAAGGAUAUGCAACGUCUCGGAACAUUGACAGAGUAUUGCAGAUCUCCUGAACACAUGUCAAACUCAGAAGGGUCUUCGGAAAAUUUGUACAGAGAAACUCAAGCGGCGAUAACUAGGACACCUAGUUCUUAUGUGUAUUCUUGAAAAUACAUUUUCUUUCUUUCUUCCUUGCCUUUUGUGAAAACGCACAUUCUCAAUCCACUUCUUUGUUACCUUUCUUUCGCCGUCUUUGAUGUUUUAUUCGAGUCAUGAUCAGAACUAGCUUUAUUCUUAUCCAUUAUUAUGAUCUUUUUGCAAACAUGUUGCAUAGGAAUAAUGAUUAAUGAACUAAUAAAACUUUCAGGAAAGAAGUUUUGCACAUUACUCUGGAAAAUUUCUAAAUAAUAUAGGGACCUGAAACAUGAUUAUUGUUAAAAAAAAAAUACCAAGUUUAAAAGGUGAAAUAGCUAGGAAAGAAGAGUCUAAGUUAAGGACUAUCCUUUCAGAUUUUGUCAUUGAUUGAACAAAAUGACAAGCUGUCGUGUUAAUUACAAAGCUUAAGUAAACAAGCAAGCAAUGAUCAUCAAACAAUAGGAAGAAGUUACCUCGGAGAAGAGAGCUUUCACUUGCGCAUAAGACUUUGGUACGACGCUUUGAGAAUGGCGUAGGAAACCAGAACGGUUCAGAUCCCAUAUCCCCGAAUUGUGAGGACAGAGGAAAAGCCACAUAUUUCUACCCUUAGAUUACUGUGAGAGAAUGAUGGUACAAAUUUUGGCGUCCCAGUGGAUAUAACUUUGAGGUUUACAAUGGGGACAGUCUGGCUAAAUGUUCCUUCAGAAAAAUCAGUCAAGCGAGAAGGCGUUGUAGCAUGUCAGUCACAAAACUUUGAUAAACUGCGAGUAGUGAUAACCUAAGCAAGAUCAUUCUCAAAAAAAUAAAAUUCUGCAUUCAUGCAAAUACCAUUCACAUAUGUCUAGUUAGGAGCAUUUGUUUCAUUUUGAUCAUGUCAUCCUAAUCAUUAGGCAUAAUUAGGUUCAUAAUACAGGUCUUAUCUCCCUGAGAUUACAGUGGAACAGACCAAAGAAUUUCAGAUCUUAUCUCCCUGAGAUUACAGCGGAGCAGAUCAAAGACAGUAAUCCUAUCUCCUUGAGAUUACAAUGGAGCGGAUUAAAGGAUCGUAUCUCUCUGAAGUUACAGUAGAGAAGAUCACAUCAGGUCUUAUCUCCCUGAGAUUACAGUGGAACAGACCAAAGAAUUUCAGAUCUUAUUUCCCUGAGGUUACAGUGGAGCAGAUUGAAGCCAGAGAUCUUAUCUCCCUGAGAUUACAGCGGAGCAGAUUGAAGACAUAAUCCUAUCUCCCUGAAGUUACAGUGGAGCGGAUUAAAAUAAAGAAUCUUAUCUCUCUGAAGUUACAAUAGAGUAGAUCGCAUCAGGUCUUAUUUCCCUGAGGUUGCAGCGGAGUAGACCGAAGAAUUGCAGAUCUUAUCUCCCUGAGAUUACAGCGGAGCAGAUUGAAGACAUAAUCCUAUCUCCCUGAAGUUACAGUGGAGCGGAUUAAAAUAAAGAAUCUUAUCUCUCUGAAAUGGUAGUAGAGUAGAUUACAUCCAAGUCAGAACACUCUGAAGUGCAGUGGAGUGGAUCGAAGCAACAAGACAUAGUGGACUGGAAGGAGGCUAUUUGAAGAAAAGAAGCACUAGAAGAAGUCAAGAUUCGGCAAGACCGGGCAAAAUUGGCCUUCCUUGGUCUUUGCCCUGUUCUCGUUACACGACAACGAGCAAAGAGGGGCAGCUGUUACAGGCCAUUUUGCCCGAGGCCCAAUUAAACACAAAAAUAAAGGUCCAAAUUACAGUCCAUAAGGUCCUAAACAACAAGCUCAGAACCACUAGCCCAAUAACCCAAUAGCCUACCCUUAGACCAAUAACCCAAUAGCCUACCCUCAGCCCAAAACCCAAAACAAAAAAAAACCUAGCAGAAAACAGAGGAGCCCUAGGCGCCGCUCCUAGGGUCUUCUGACCUUCGGUCUUCUGCUCACCUGCUCUGCCAGCAACCACCGCCAACUGCCACCGUCACCUCCAUCCACGUGCGUUGAUCCCUGUAAACAAAUCAAAGCAAGCAAGACAGGCAUAGGCAUAGACUAGGAAUUUCAUGUCAAUUGGCUAUAAAAGCCGAAACUAAGAUACAUGUAAGGGGUUCUGACUUUUUUUUAAAGAAAAAGAUCAAAGAAAAUAAAGGAAAAUCAGUUGAAAGGUGAAAUUUUUAGCCUUCUUUUUUCUUCGAUUCCAUUCGGCUUUGCUUUCCUUUUCUUUUAUGUUUAAUAUAAGCCUAAAGGUUAAUAAACGAAACUUACCUGAAUCGUCGCGGUUGUAGCGUCGCCGGAGUCCGAGUCGUUGAGAACGGACGAGGAAGGCGUUUCAUUUUUUUGAGAUUCCCUCUCUCGGCCUUAGGGCUUUAAGGACUUGAUUUUUGGAAGGGUUUUCGAAACGGGAUUUUAAAAGGCUAACUUUUCGACUUCCGACUGCCGCUCACGGCGGCGCCGGCGCCGAUAAUCGGCGACCGGCACGGUGGUCCGCAACCGGACCCUUGGCCGGCGCUCAGAGAGAGGAGAAGGCUCUCUCUCUGUUUUAAAAUGGUUAAAACUGAUGGAUGUUAAGUUUUUUUUAAUAUUUAUAGUAAAUACCAAACGGCACCGUUUUGAUAGGGUCAGGACAGCCCCAAAACGGCGUCGUUUUGGGCUCCUGACCCGAGACCCGACCCGUACCGCCUGGGAUCCGCGUGUUUUUGGACCAGAGGGGUUAUUUGCACCCUCAGUCCUUCCGCUUUUGAGGCCGUACAAUUGGGUCCUAUUCCCUUUUAUUAUUUGUUUUAAUUUUGCCCUGAAUUUUCAUUUUUCUUGCGAUUUGGUCCAUCGACCGUCUGCUCAGGCUUUGUUAGAACGACGUCGUUUGGACCACGUGGGAAUAUUUUCCGUUUUGACCCUCCAUCCUUUCGCGCGAGUCACAUUUUGGUCCUUUUCGUCCUUUGUCAUUCCAAAUUCGCCCAGUAUUUUCUUUUUUAUUUCAAUUUAGCCCUUUUUUUUAGCCACUUUAUUAUUUUGUUUAUUCUAUUAUUAUUAUUAUUAUUAUUAUUACUUAUUUGUUUAUGUUUAUUUUAUUUAGAUUUUCGGCACAUAUACAUAUACAUGCAUAUGUUUUUGUGAUAUACGUACAUUGUUUUUUGUAACAUAUAUACUUAUAUAGUUUAUAUAGUUUCAACUUAUGUAUAUAUCUAUACAUUUAUAUAUUUUCAUUUUCCUAAAUAUAUACAUAUUUAUACAUAAUCUUUAUAGUUUAAAAUAUACCCCUUUUUAAAAAAAACCCGUAUAUACACACAUGUUGCUAAUAAUUUAUAUAGAUACAUAUCCUUUUUAUUUUAUAAGUACAUAUAUUUUUAUAUGUACGUACAUAUAUUUUUUUUGUAUAUCUUAUUUUACAUAAAUAUAUGUAUACAUUUUCAAUAUAUUUUAACAUGUACUAAAUUAACGUAUUUAUUCGUAUACAUAUGUAUAUUUUCAUUAUUUUUAAACUUUAAUUUGUACAUACAUACUUUCUCUUAUUUUUCAACACAUAUAUAUGUACUUACUUUCAUAUGUAUUUUAUUAUUUUUGUAUUCCAUAGUUUUAUACACCCAUAUAUAUGUACAUAUUUUUAUAUAUAUAUACAUAUUUAUCGUUUCUUUUAUAUAUUAAAAUACUUUAUACAUUUUGCUAAUUUAUAUAUAUAUACAUAUUUUAGUUUAUGCCUAUAUAUACAUAUCUUUUUAUAUUUAAUUGUAUUUGUUACUUAUUUAUUUCAUUCUCGUUAUUAUUUUGAAUGAAUGUUUUAAUUUAUUUGUUUAUGUAUAUUGUUAUUUUAUAUGAUUGUAGAUAUGAUUUUUAUUCAUUUUAUAUCGUUGCUAUUGCUCGUACUAUUUUUAUUUUUUAUGUGUAUUAUGAUUUUACCACGUAUGACAACAAUGUAAUUUGUUUUCACAUUUUUUUACUACGAUUUUCGUGUUAUAUUUUAUUCGGUACAACAAAAUUUGUUUUAAAAAAGUAUUUCAUGUUUAGAUUCGAAAGGAUCGUACUCUAACUUACUGAGUUUCGACUUUCAUAAUAAAUCUAAAUACACGAAUCUUUUCAAACUCAAGUUUUUAAACGAUCUUGGGAAUUAAGAAAAGAUCGUGCCCUAACUUACUGGGCCUGAUUUAUUUCUAAAACCAAGAUAAUAAAAUAUCUUUUAAAUAAGCAUUUUUCAUCCGCGUAUCGGGAAUUUGAGACAUUGUGUCCUAACUUACUGGAUAUGAUUCUCUUUCUCGAAUAAUGUGAAAUAUUCCCUUUUCCUGAAAAUUUUCAACGUUUUAAUACAAGGAUCGUGUUUUUAAAAUUCUUCAAGGUUCUCAAUUUUUGACAUUAAGACAUUAAGUAAUCAACUAGGUACCAAUUUUGGGCGUAUCGAGGGUGCUAAUCCUUCCUCGUGCGUAACCUACUCCCGAACCCAUUUUUGAAUUUCGUGGACCAAACUUGUUGUUUUAAUAAAAUCAAACCGUUUAUUAAAAACCCCUCUUCGAGGUGAUCCAAUCGCACCUCAUAAAAAAGGAGGAUUGGUGGCGACUCCCGUUUCUUUUUUUUAAACCCAAGUCAACCCCAUCUUUCAUCAAAAAAAUGGUGUCAACAUUUUGCACCUAUGAUCUUGCUGCAUUUGAACAUAUAGCCAUAUUAGUUGACAUUUGAAGCACUAAGAUUUCUCCUAUAUCGAACAUAUACUUUUAUCUGAAACGCACCCCUAAACCCAGUAACAUAACCCAAAAAAAGAAACAAAAUUUACUUGUUGCAAGUGAAAUUGUCUUGUGGUAGAAAUUGGCAACUGCCUUUCCAUUUGGAAGGAGGUGGACCAAGUCCUUUGUCAUCAAAGCUUAGAGAUUCAGGCCAAAUUCCAGUGUCUAAAAUUCCAAUGAUAACAUCACUUUCCAUGGUUGCUCUUUCAACUUGUUGAGGGAAUCCCAUAAAAUCCCAUGACCUUGUUGUAUGUAGUUUUCUCUUUUCAUUUGAAAACACUGAUACUACACCCUUCAUUCCUGAACAUAUCCAAACAACCAAAAUUCAAAUUAAGCUUGAAGAUCUGCAUCUUAAUCUACAUAGUAUUUCCGCUUUGACUUUUAAAGUAGACUUAUUAUUAUAACUCAAACUUGAAAUUUUAAUUUGUUUAGCUCGAAUAUGAACUUCAUCUAACUUGAUUUGAUAUAAAAAAUAAACAAUAUAAAAUCAGAGGGGCAUGCUAAGGUCUUGACCCUCACCUUGGUUGAAUGAGAACUCUUUAAUCCUUCUCAAAAAAUUGUAUUUUUUUGGCCUCUUCAAAAGAUUAAUAAUAUAAUUUAAGCUUUUAAUAUAAAAAUUUUAACGUUAGUCCCUUCAAAAUUUUAUAAUUUUAUUUUGGAUCUCUAAAAAAUUCAUGGCUUCACCCUUGGAAUUGGCUCAACUUAAACUAAAAAAUGAACCAAACUUAAGUGCCCAAAUUCAAAUGAAAAAACCCAAAAAGCUCCAUUGAAAAACCUGAAUGAUUCAAUUUUGAAAUUGACCUAAACUCAAAAUGAUUCAAACUCAAAAUAAUAUAAAAAUUUUAAAACCUAAAUUGACUCAAUCUAAAAUAAUCAAAUUUGGAAUCAAUUGAAUAUGUCCGGUUACAAGUCUACUUGAAAAUAUAGCACUUUCUUUUUUACUUGAAAUUCUUAUAAUUUUGUCUAAAGUUUAACAAUCUAACCCUUGGUUGAAUCAUUCAAAUCAUCUGUUAAGUCAAAUUGUUUCGCUCAAUUUAAAUGUUGAACUAAUAAUAAUUAAAUAAUUAAUUCAAAAUUCAUAAAUAUUAUAAAAUCCAAUUUUUUAUUUUGAUUUCUAGUUUUUUUUUUAAUUGAACCCAAGUGAUUCACUCAAAAAUCAAUUCAACUCUUAUUUUCAGAUUGAUACAUUGAUCGGUCUUGUUCAACCAAUUCGACUAUUAAUCUAAUUCGAUACAAAUAACACUGCUUUUAUGUCAUAAAAAUCAAUUGAUAAAUACAAACUAAAAUGUUUGUGUAUAUAUCAUAAUGGAUUUGAAGAAAUUUUAAAUGUGAGGUUGGAGUGCUACACUUACCGGCCAUUUUUUGUGCUUCUUCCUCAGUCAAAUCCACCACGAACCCAUUAAAACUCUUCUUGUAGCUGUACAGCACUGUCUUCGACUCACUGCAUCCAUUCCAAUUGCAUGCUCAAUCUCAAUAACCAGUAGUAGGUUUCAUUUUGUUUUGGGAAUAAUUUAAGAGACUUUAAAAUUUCAUAUUUACUACUAAAAAAAUUUAUUUGUCUCGCUAUCUGUUCCGUUAAAAAAACUGCUCCACUCGGAACAAUUUAAUUUAGAAUCCAUUGUAUGAUUUGAAUUUUAUCACUCUACUUUACUUUCAAGAUUCUCUUUUAAAGAAAUUAAAACGUUAGAGUAUGAGAAUAUAUAUUUUCUUAUAAUUAUAUUUUAAUAUAAGGAUAAGGUUAGAAAACUGUUUUAGAGAAGUUGGAGAUAAAUCAUAAAUUAUUGAUAAAAGGUAUAAUUUUAUCAUUAUAUUAAUAUAUAAUUUCAUAAAAAUUUAAGAAAUUAAAUAAUAAAUCUAUUAUUAGGAGGGGCUAAGGCUAUUAACUGCGCUUUUACCUUGGUCCCUGUUUAUAUAUAUAUACGAUAUAAAUAUCAGAUAGGGAUAUUUAAGAAAAAAUCAGANNNNNNNNNNNNNNNNNNNNNNNNNNNNNNNNNNNNNNNNNNNNNNNNNNNNNNNNNNNNNNNNNNNNNNNNNNNNNNNNNNNNNNNNNNNNNNNNNNNNNNNNNNNNNNNNNNNNNNNNNNNNNNNNNNNNNNNNNNNNNNNNNNNNNNNNNNNNNNNNNNNNNNNNNNNNNNNNNNNNNNNNNNNNNNNNNNNNNNNNNNNNNNNNNNNNNNNNNNNNNNNNNNNNNNNNNNNNNNNNNNNNNNNNNNNNNNNNNNNNNNNNNNNNNNNNNNNNNNNNNNNNNNNNNNNNNNNNNNNNNNNNNNNNNNNNNNNNNNNNNNNNNNNNNNNNNNNNNNNNNNNNNNNNNNNNNNNNNNNNNNNNNNNNNNNNNNNNNNNNNNNNNNNNNNNNNNNNNNNNNNNNNNNNNNNNNNNNNNNNNNNNNNNNNNNNNNNNNNNNNNNNNNNNNNNNNNNNNNNNNNNNNNNNNNNNNNNNNNNNNNNNNNNNNNNNNNNNNNNNACCUGAUGUGAUCUUCUCUACUGUAACUUCAGAGAGAUAAGAUCCUUUAAUCCGCUCCAUUGUAACUUCAGGGAGAUAGGAUUAUAUCUUCGAUCUGCUCCGCUGUAACCUCAGGGAGACAAGAUCUGCAAUUCUUCGGUCUGUUCCACUGUAAUCCAGGGAUAAGACCUGAUGUGAUCUUCUCUACUGUAACUUCAGAGAGAUAAGAUCCUUUAAUCCGCUCCAUUGUAAUCUCAAGGAGAUAGGAUUACUAUCUUUGAUCUGCUCCGCUGUAAUCUCAGGGAGAUAAGAUCUGAUGUGAUCUUCUCUACUGUAACUUCAGAGAUAAGAUCCUUUAAUCCGCUCCAUUGUAAUCUCAAGGAGAUAGGAUUACUAUCUUUGAUCUGCUCCGCUGUAAUCUCAGGGAGAUAAGAUCUGAAAUUCUUUGGUCUGUUCCACUGUAAUCUCAGGGAGAUAAGACCUGUAUUAUGAAUCUAAUUAUGCUUAAUGAUUAGGAUGACAUGAUCAAAAUUGAAACAAAUGCUCCUAACUAGAUAUGUAUGAAUGACAUUUGAGUGAAUGCAAAAUGUCAUGAAGAUGAUUCCUUAAUGCUUAGGUUACAUCACGUAAAAACUUAUUAAGGUUUUUAUCACUGACGUACUACAACACCUUUUUGCUCGUCUGGUAUAUCCAAAGAAACACUUAAUCUGGUUGCCCCCCACUGUAAACCUUAAAGUUUAAUCUAUUAGGGCACAAAAUUUGUACCAUCAUUCUCCCACUAUAAUCCAAGGGUAGAAAGAUAUGGCUUUUUCAAUCUUCUCCUAUCGCAAUUCAAGGAUACAGAAUGUGAAGCUCUUUGGUCCUUUACCUCAUUCCCAAGGUGUCAUACCAAAUGCUCAUGCACAAUUGCAAAAUUUUCCUCUCUGAGAAAAACCUUUUCUUAUCAUUUGGUGAUCAUUGCUUGUUUGUUCAUUGAAGCUUUGUCACCAACACGACAUCUCGUCAUUUUGUUCAAUCAAUGUUUGGACAACAAAAUCCAAAAAUAUAGUCUUUAACUUAGACUCUUCCUUCUUAGAUACUUCACCCUUUAAACUUGGUGUUUUCUAAACAAUAGUCCUGUUUCAGGUUUCUAUAUUAUUUAGAACUUUUCAGAGUAAUAUGCAAAACUUCUUUCCUGAAAGUUUUAUUAGUUCGUUAAUCAAUAUUCCUAUGCAACAUGUUUGCGAAAAGAUCUUAAUAAUGGGUAAGAAUAAAGCUAGGUUCUGAUCAUAACUCAAAUAAAACAUCAAAGAUGGCGAAAGAAAGGUAACAAAGAAGUGGAUUGAGAAUGCGCGUUUUCAUAAAAGGCAAGGAAGAAAGAAAGAAAAUGUAUUUUCAAGAAUACACAUAUGAACUAGGUGCCCCAGUUAUCGCCGCUUGAGUUUCUCUGUACAAAUUUUCCGAAGACCCUUCUGAGUUUGACAUGUGUUCAGGAAAUCUGCAAUACUCUGUCAAUGUUCCGAGACGUUGCAUAUCCUUCCUUAUUGGUAAAGCAAGAUCAUCAUAUGCCCCUGAUCAAAAUUUGAUCCGCUCAAGUCCUGAUGUUCCAAUCCUGCCCAAUACUCGAGUCGCCCUUUUCGGGUUUUCGACUCAAGCCCUCUUUGGUCUCAAAGUGCCCUUUACGGGUUUUCACCUUAGCCUCUCCAAAGUUUUUUUUUUUUUUUUUUUUUUUUUUUUUUUAAGGAAGCAAAGCGCCCUUUACGGGUUUUCACUUGGUUCCCCUUUCUUUCAAGUGAAGUAUUUCUUAACAGAGUCUGCGUUUACAGGAUUUGGUAAACUUUUGCCAUCCAUCUCGCAUAGGAUCAAAGCUCCACCGGAAAAGGCCUUCUUUACAACAUAAGGGCCUUCCCAAUUUGGCAUCCAUUUCCUCUAAAAUCUUUUUGCAUAGGAAGAAUCUUUUUUAGUACCAAGUCCCCUUCACGAAAUUCUCGGGGGCGAACCUUUUUAUUAUAAGCUCGCAUCAUUCGUUUCUGGUACAUUUGCCCAUGGUGAAUAGCUCUUAGCCUCUUUUCUUCUAUUAGGUUCAACUGAUCGUACCGAGAUUGGAUCCAAUCGGCUUCAUCCAACUGUAGCUCAGAUAACACCCGUAGAGAAGGGAUUUCAACUUCAAUGGGUAAUACUUGCCUCCAUUCCAUAAACCAGAGCAAAAGGCGUUGCCCCAGUAGAAGUUCUAACAGAUGUUCGAUAGGCGAGGAGAGCAAAUGAUAGUUUCUCAUGCCAAUCUUUGUAGGUUUCAGUCAUUUUCCCCACAAUCCUUUUAAUGUUUUUAUUGGCCGCCUCCACUGCACCAUUCAUUUUGGGACGAUACGGCGAUGAGUUAUGAUGCUUAAUUUUAAAUUUGCUACAAACUUCAGCUAUUGUGCUAUUAUUCAAGUUCAUCGCAUUGUCGGAUAUGAUCCUCUCAGGCAUUCCAUAUCGACAAAUGAUCUCCUUCUUCAAGAAUUUGCUGACUACUGCUUUUGUGACAUUUGCAUAUGAAGCAGCCUCCACCCACUUGGUAAAGUAAUCAAUUACUACGAAGAUGAAGCGAUGCCCAUUAGAAGCCUUUGGUGAUAUUGGCCCAAUAACAUCCAUACCCCACAUGGAAAACGGCCAAGGAGAGGUCAUGACGUGAAGAGGUGAAGGAGGUGCGUGUAUUUUGUCUCCGUAAAUUUGGCAUUUGUGGCACUUCCUGGCAUGAUCAAUGCAAUCUCCUUCCAUGGUGGGCCAAUAGUACCCAAAUCUCAUGAUCUGUUUGGCCAUCGUGAAACCACUGGCGUGCGUCCCACAAAUACCCUCAUGGACUUCUUCCAAAAUUUUCUUGGCUUCUACCGCAUCUACACAUCUUAACAGUACUUGAUCCUUCCUUCUUUUAUAUAACACUUCUCCAUCUAAGACAUAUUCAAUGGCUAUCUUUCUCAGAGUUCUUUUGUCAUUCUCUGUCGCUUGAUCAGGGUAUUCCCGAUUCUUCACAUAUUGUAAGAUACUCCGAUACCAAGGACAAUUAUCUUUUCCCUCCUCCUCAAUAUUGCAACAAUUAGCCGGGGUCUUAGAGAUACUCAUCUGAACAGGCCUCAUUGCCUCAAGUCUAUUCACCUGAAUCAUCGAAGCUAGAGUAGCUAAUGCAUCAGCCAUUUGGUUUUCCUCCCGUGGGAGGUAAUAGAAGGUGAUAUCGUCAAACUCCUCAGCCAAUUCAAGAACUAGUUUUCUAUAACCAAUUAGCUUAGGAUCUCUAGUCUCCCACUCCCCUUUGAGUUGGUAUAUCACCAACGCCGAAUCCCCGUAUACUCUCAGUACUUUGAUGUUCCGUUCAAUGGCUGCACGAAUGCCCAUAAUACAUGCUUCAUAUUCUGCCAUGUUAUUUGUACAAUCGAAGUCCAACUUGCUGGCUACAGGAUAAUGAUCUCCACUCGGGGAUACCAAAACUGCCCCAACUCCAUUACCCGUAGCAUUCGAAGCUCCAUCAAAAUUUAACUUCCAUACGUGAUCCAUUUGAGGAUUUUCUUCAGUAUUCGCCACAUACAUCAAGUCCUCGUUUGGAAAAUCGAAAUUCAAAGAUUCAUAGUCCUCCAAGGCUCUACUAGCUAGGAAAUCGGCUAUUGCACUUCCCUUUAUGGCCUUCUGACUGACAUAUACUAUAUCAAAUUCUGAGAGCAAGAUCUGCCAUCUAGCCAUUCUCCCGUUCAAAGCGGUCGAUUCCAUCAUAUAUUUUAAAGGAUCUAACUUUGAAAUCAGCCAAGUCGUGUGAUACAACAUAUACUGCCUCAUUCUUCGGGUUGCCCAGAUUAGAGCACAACACAACUUCUCAAUUGAUGAGUACCUCAUUUCGCAAUCGGUAAAUUUCUUACUGAGAUAGUAUAUUGCCCUUUCUUUCUUUCCCGUCUCAUCAUGUUGGCCCAAUACGCAUCCCAUGGAAUUCUCCAACACUGUUAGAUACAAUAUCAAUGGCCUAUCUGGACUUGGAGGUGAUAAGACUGGAGUAUUAGCCAAGUACUGCUUUAUCUUAUCGAAAGCCCUCUGACACUCUUCAUCCCAAUUGCCCGGAUUAUGUUUCUUUAAGAGCCGGAAUACUGGAUCACAUUUCUCUGUCAGUUGUGAGAUGAACCGAGCAAUGUAAUUCAGCCUCCCUAGGAAACCUCGAACCUCCUUCUGAGUGCGCGGGGGAGGUAAAUCUCGUAUUGCCUUUACUUUGUCUGGGUCAACCUCGAUCCCCUUUUUGCUAACUAUGAAGCCUAAUAACUUCCCUGAUCUGGCUCCGAACGUGCAUUUGGCCGGGUUAAGCUUGAGCUGAAAUUUCUUUAAUCUCAAAAAUAACCUUUUCAAAACCUGAACAUGCUCUUCUUCCGUUCUAGACUUCGCGAUCAUAUCGUCAACAUAGACUUCGAUCUCCUUGUGCAUCAUGUCGUGAAACAAAGUCACCAUAGCUCUUUGAUACGUUGCUCCCGCAUUCUUCAAUCCGAAGGGCAUUACCUUGUAACAGAAUGUUCCCCAUAAGGUAAUGAAUGUGGUUUUCCUCAUGUCUCCGGGAUGCAUCUUUAUUUGAUUGUAUCCAGAGAAACCGUCCAUGAAAGAAAACAAUGAAUAGCCCGCCGUGUUAUCUACCAAAGUAUCAAUGUGAGGUAGUGGAAAGUUGUCCUUUGGACUAGCCUUGUUUAAAUCCCUAUAAUCCACACACAUUCGUACCUUUCCAUCUUUUUUGGGAACAGGGACGAUGUUGGCUACCCAAUCCGAAUACUUGACCUCUUGUAGGAAACCAGCGUCGAAUUGUCUUUUGACUUCUUCUCUUAUUUUCAACACAAUGUCAGGUCUCAUUCUCCUAAGCUUCUGUUGAACGGGUUUACAAUCCUCCUUUAUGGGCAGACGAUGUACCACAAUGCUAGUAUUUAGCCCAGGCAUAUCUUGGUACGACCACGCGAAAACAUCCUUGAACUCUCGGAGCAAAUUGAUGAGGUCUUGCCUUGUCUUUGCGGUAAUUUCAGUUCCAAUUUUCACCUCCUUUCCAUCCUCUAGGCUCACUAUUUCUAACGAUUCCCUAUGAGGUAGGAUAUGCUUAUCCUCUUGUUCCAUCAUUCUUAACAAGUCCGGAGAUGCAUCAUAAUCUUCGUCAUUUUCAAAGUCGUGGGAUCCCUCUGAACACACUUCUUGCUCAAAAAUAGGCUCUGCGUUUGAGACAGCAUCACUCAUGUCAUUGAUAUCUGAAGACCUAUGUGGGCAGAUCAAAUAAUAUACCAAGAAUAUAAAUUUAUGAAUAUGUUUGCAAAAGAAUCACAAAUGAAAGAAUUAUUUGUAAGACAAUCAACCAAAUGAAAAAUAUGAAAGGAAAAAGUGACUGAUCGAGAUGAACGUAGACACGUAUUUUAUUAAAAUAAUGAUAUUUAGGCCCAAUGCCUAUUUCACAAAAAAUUUCGUAUCGUUUCUAGGCCAACAAACAACAGGAAUGUUUUGAGCAUUACUCUGAAUAAGCCCUAAAGACUACAGGGAUUUCUUCAGCAGUCCAAUUGUUUAGCUCGCUUCCAGGCUCAUAAGGGUGGAUCUCCAACAAAGCCCUCCUUUCCGUUGCUUCUAUGGUGUUAAUAUAAACGUUUUCCAACAUUCCUCCCAUGCCGCUACCGGACACCCCACAUUCAGAAUGCAUAAAUCCUCCCGACACAAAAGAUGAAGAUAUGUGGGGAAAGGUUAAAGGCUCACACUUAGCUUCAUGUCCAUUCAAACGCGCCCUUCUUCUCGCUUGUCUCUUCUCUACUUCUUUCUUCUUCUGCUUCAUGUCUGGCUUGUACCCUAAACCAAAUCUAUCAAACUUUUCCCUCGGCAUUGGUGCCUCAAUCCUCCCCUGAAGAUAUUUUCCCAAUCCUUUCCCGGGUAAGGCUCCUCUUCCUACCAUCAAUCGCAAUCCCAUCUCAGUGGUCCUGGACAUUUUCGGUACUGGAAUCCUAUUUCCCUCCGCAAUAAACAUCGCGUUCACAAAUUCUAACGACCGAAAAGAACAUUCCAGUGCCUCAUCGUUGAUGUCCACAUAAGGUGCCUCGCUAGUCAUCAUUGCGAUAAUAUCCUCCUCUGCAUCUAUUGUUACCAACCGAUCCUCCGAUACCAACUUCACCUUCUGAUGUAAUGAUGAAGGUACCGCCCCUGCUGAGUGUAUCCACGGUCUCCCCAAUAGACAGUUGUAGGAGGGUUUAAUAUCCAUUACCAAGAAAUCCACCUCAUAAGUGACUGGGCCAAUCCUUAAUGGUACUUCAAUUCUCCCCAUAACCUCCUUUUUUGUUCCAUCAAAUGCCCUUACUAUGCUCUGGCAUGCUUUCAUGUGCGAACUGUCUAUUGGUAAUCGACUAAGAGUGGACAAAGGCAAUACAUUUAGUGCCGAUCCAUUAUCGACCAAGGCCCCCGGGAGUGUGUACCCUUUGCAUCGGACAGUAACGUGGAGGGCUUUAGUAGAACCUCUUCCUCCGGAUGGUAUUUCAUCAUCAUUGAAGAAGAUAAAAUUGUCAGCACCAAUAUUGUUGAUCAACCGAUCCAACUUGUUUACUGAAAUAUCGUCAGCCACAUAUGUUUCGUUUAGCACCUUUAAGAGUGCAUUCCGAUGUACUUCGGAGUUUAAGAGUAAAGCUAAUACCGAAAUGCGGGCUGGCUGUUUGUGCAGUUGCUCCACAACACUGUAUUCGCUGUGUUUCAAAAACUUCAAAAACUCCUUCGCCUCUUCUUCUUUUAUUGGUUCAUUUACCAAUGGUUCAACUUCUACUGCCUUCCCUUUCCUCUGUUCUUUCUUCCAAUUCUCUUCCCUGGACGACUCUGCUUGAGCGUCAUAUCUUUUUCCCUUGCGCGUGUAAAAAACUGUUUCCUGAUUUCUUUCUGCUUCUUUUCCCAAAAUGGUCACAUUACACCCGUAAUUCCACGGCACCAUUUUGUUAUCUUUAUAAGAGAAAUUUGAUGGUUUCUGGAUUACAAUUUUCGGCGUUACCUGAGCCCUAACCUCAUUACCCUUAGGGCGGGAGAUAAUGACCACGGGAUGAUUUAUUUUUGGAGCCUUUGUUCCCAACUCUGUCGCGCAUAUGCUCCUCAUUUCUUUCACAUCUUCAUAAAAUCUCAUCUCCUUGUUAUCCAUCAUGCUUUGAACCAAGGCCUUGAAUCCUUCACAUUCUUGGAUUUCAUGCCCUGUUUCAUGGUGAAAUUCACAAUAAUUUCCCAUCUCAUGCCCUUUCUCAGAAUCUGAAAUAAUCAAACCUCUUUUCGCCAUUUCUUUCCAGACCCAUUUCAAUGGAGUUUUUACUUCAGCAAUGUCAGUCUUGACUUCUUCUCCCGUACCUUCGCUAACCAUAUUCACCCCCUUAUCUGCGUGAUUAGGUAACGGAUUCUUUGCGUGAGGUGAGUCGUCAAGUUUGACAACACCUAAAUUGAUAAGUCCUUCUACUACCUUCUUGAAGGCAGUACAAUUUUCUAUCGAGUGCCCAGAAAUUCCCGCAUGAUAAUCACAUUGCGCGUUCGUAUCAUACCAUUUUGGAUACGGGGGUUGUAGAGGACUCAAGUAACGAGGAGCAACAACAUGUGCAUCGAAUAAAGUCUGAUACAACUCCUUGUAUGACAUCGGGAUUGGCGUGAAUUGGGGCUUUUCAGUAGUUUGCCUAGCUCCUGACUCUUGUCUUGAUGAUCCCUGUUGAUUAGCAACCACUUUCUUUGGUUGAUUCACGGUAAUCGACCUACCAUAAGCAUUCACAUUAUUCACUUCAUUUUCUCUUUUCCUCGGGGGUACCCUCCUAUUAUUUUCUCCUCCAUCUAUUUUUCCACUUUUAAUGGCAUGCUCAAUCAUUUCACCAUUCAUGAUUAUAUCUGAGAAAUUUCUUGAAGCGCUUCCCAACAUGUGAGUGAUGAACGGGGCUUUCAAAGUAUUAAUAAAAAGCGUCGUCAUCUCUUUUUCCAAAAGCGGUGGUUGCACCUAAACCGCCACCUCUCGCCACCUCUGCGCAUAUUGUCUGAAGCUUUCGUUUGAUUUCUUCUCUAAAUUUUGCAGAGUUAUCCUGUCAGGCAUCAUUUCUGAGACAUGAUUGUAUUGUCUCAAGAAAGCCUGUGCUAAAUCCCUCCAAGUAGCAAUUUUAGCUCGGCUCAGCUGAUUGUACCACUUUGACGCCGCUCCCGUAAGACUUUCCUGAAAGCAAUGUAUUAAUAAUUGAUCAUUAUUAAUAUGCCCCGUCAUUCUUCUACAAAACAUAGUAAUAUGGGAUCCUGGGCAACUAGUCCCGUUGUAUUUCUCGAAUUCCGGCAUCUUAAAUUUGUAAGGGAGCACCAAGUCCGGAACCAAGCUCAGAUCCUUUGCAUCUGUUCCAUAGCUUUCGAUGCUUUCUAUUGCCCUAAACUUCUCUUCUAUCCAUUUCCAUUUCUCCUCAAAUUGUUUUGGAAAUUCCUCCUUUGCCUUGUCCUUUUCAACCAUCUCGUCAAGAUCUGGGACCGCAAUAUUAUUCGGGCUAUCACCGGGAUUAAAGCCCGCUCCGGGUUGAAAAUUCAUUGGGAUUGAAGCAUCGCCUUGGAACUGCUGGGGUCUAACUGACACAGAGGGUCUCCGCGAAUGCAGCUCAGUCUGUACAUGUGGAGGCGUGAAACCUGGAGGAUAGAGUGGUUCACCGUUGUUUUCUUCUUCACUAACAAUCACAGGCCCUUUACCCUUAUCUACUCCCUUCAAUAAUUGCGUCAUCUUAGCCACCAGAUCAUUUUGGGACUCCUCCAUCUUUUGUACCAUGUCACGCUGAAUCUUUUCUAUUUGCUCUUUCAUUUGCGCCUGCAACUGGUCUUGCAUUUCUUUUUGAAGUCGCUCUAGCUUCUCCAACCUUUGGUCCAUAAUUUUUGUCUUUGCUCGGGUGCCGUAACUUUGUUGGUUUUCCAGGUUAACUGAAAUGAUUUUAUUCGAUUAGGUUUUUUUAAUGGUCAUUAAUGCAUAUGAUGUGAUGCAAUGCAUGAAAGAGAAUGCAAAGAAAAAGAGGCACUGAUUUUAAUUCAACUUCAUUAGAAAACUUUACUAGAUAAAGAGUUUCUUUACAUAAAAUAGACUACAUAUAUGGCUUUGCCCUCACACUCAAAGCCUUAACCUUUCUAAGAAGCCAGGCUAAUUCUCGGCCCCUGUCCGACUCUGACUCAUACUUCAAACUUAAUAGAUCAGCCUGAACCGCUAGAGUUUGCAGAUGAUCAGCCACUUCGCGCACCUGAGUCACCGCCUCUCCCAUAAUAUAAUCUCUUUCUCCAAUCUGCUCUUGAGACCGGCGGAAUUGUCCUUGCCACUGCUCAUUACUUUCUUCUAGAAGCUCUAUCCGGAUUUCACUAUUUUGCAAUGCAUUCUCUAGCCCUCCUAUCUGUGUUUUUAAUUCUUCAAUUUUGUCUAAGCUCGCCCUUAAUUCAACCGUAGUAUUACGAUUACAGUACUGGCGAAGCGAUCUUUCCAGUUCUGUUAUCCGGACCUUCAACUCCGUCUUCUCGUCUUGGCAAACUAGUAGACUCUUUCCCAAGGCGGCUUCUCGAGCCCGAGCAUCCUGAAAUUUCUUUUCCCAUUGAUUAGCUUUCGUCUUUUCCUCCUGAAUUUCUUGUCGCCAUUGUUCUGGUGUUUUACCCAAGCCAGCGGCUCUUACCGACUUACGCAACUUCUUGUAAUCUGUCUUCAGGCUGUCCAAAUCUUCUUCUGCCUUGUUCUUUCCUUUCCUCAAUUUGUUGGCCUCUAAUCUUUGAAUGUCCACAUCCAGUCCUAACUGCAUUUUUUCUUCCUCAAGUUGUUCUAUCUUCUUCCCCAAUUCUAAACUUCUUUUUUCGAAUUCUUGUUUGAUGAUUUCUAUCUCAGAAGGCAAGACUUGUAAGUGUUCCUCUAAAGAUCGAGCCGUUUCUGAAUUUGACGCCGGGAUGUUGUCGUUGAUCCUUUGAUUACGCCACUGACCAUACUCGGGGGUAAUUGUCGGACCCACAGCUAAGAUCUUCAUUCGACGAGUCUGGUUCCAGGCCCUAGAUAUUUCUCGAACCUUCUUCUUGUAAUUGUCCUCCCUAUAGGAAAAAUCACUAUAAGCCAACCCCUGGGUUGCUGGUAUGAAUUGUCGUGAUCUAUACUGUCUUGACACGAGUAGAGGAGCAUAUCCAAUAGCCCCCCAUAUCCCGAGCAGCGGAACCCAGUCAAAAUCUCCACAUCGGUACAAUAUCUCAUCAGGAAUUAACCAAGGAGCCCUCCAUUCAAUAUCUUCAUCUUGGAGAUUCUGGAGUAUCUCUAUCCAUUUUUCUUCUGAAAUAUCAUCCCGUCUUGGCGUGGCCACCAAUUCUCCUAGAGGGGAGUAGCUAUCAGAGAAUACCCGGUAAGAGACCUUUUCGACUUUCCAGAAGUGGCUAUGGAACCAUGCCAAUAAGAGCUGCGCGCAUCCAAUAAACCUUCCCUCCCCUGCUUUUCGACACGCAUUCAAAGAUCUAAAAGUUUCAGCGAGUAUUGCCGGAACCGGUGUAACCCCUUUACCAAGCCGAUCGAACAAAUCAGAUACAGCCUCGUCUAUGUGUCCUAAAGCUUUGGGGAAAACCACUAGUCCAUAUAUACCUAAAGCGAAGACAUCGACCCUUUUCUUUAAGUCAGGAUGUACAAGCACCAAAUCUCGUAAACUUUUCCAAGGAACACAUUUACUGUCGCCCUUCUGUUGGAUCCGGGCAGCGACCCACUGCUCGCUCAUCCCAGUGAUGUUCAUUAAUUUCUUUAACAACGGAGGGACACAAGCAGCUCUGGAAUAAGCCUUGUCGACUUGAAUCUUUGGGCACCGAAGUAAGGUCGUAUACUCCUCUACAGUAGGCGUCAAAUCUACCUUCCCAAAAGUGAAACAACUGUAGGCAGGAUUCCAAAACUGAGCAAGGGCUCGGAAUAAAUACUUGUCCACUUUGACACUAAGCAGAUAAGGUAGGUCACCAUAGUUACAAUAGAACAGCUCCUUGGCCUCGACAUCCCAUUGAUCCCAGACUUCUUUCAUUUCUCGAAGGUCAUUCUGGAUUACACUGAUACGGGUAAAAUCCCACAAUUCUGACACGUACCCUUCGGUAAGACUAUCGCCUUUCUCCCGUUGCGUAGUUUCAGCCCAUAUUCGCACAGCCGCAUUAUCCUCUACUUUAUCAACAAACCCCUUUUCCAUGAUAAGCUUUCUACCAAGAAACUGAACGUAAAUCAACACCUCUUUUAGAAUGAAGAUGCCAUGCAAUCACAAACAAAGUAAAUUAGCAUUAAACACAGAAUAAGAUUUAAAAUAAACGAUAAAUAAAUACAACAUUCAUUUAGGUAAGCACUAAAAAUUUAGAGUAACUCUACCUAGGUCGGUUCCUAUGGCUCAUUACAUGUGGUUUGGUUCUAAAGUAGGGUACCUGAACCAGCAAAUUCCUCGAUCCUCACCCAUUAUAGGCUCAUACGGACCAAGUUCGAUUCAGGGGGAUACAUUUCCCUAUGGCCAUGCGGAGAUGAAAAUCUCACGAAGACAUAGGUACGGAUAUAUCCCGAAAGCGAUUCACUAUCCCAUGCGGAGGUGAAAACCUCACGAAGGCGUAGCUUCUCACUCCCACUUAAAGGUGUGACCAACGGUCAUGCAAUGCAAUGCGGAAAGAUACCAAAAUUUAAACAAUCAGAGCAAUUAUAAACCCCCAAUGAUGAUGAUUAUGAUAAAGACAGAUAAAAUGCGAUGAAAGGAUCGUAAUUUUAAAUCAAAUUUUCAAUUUUUGACAAAAGACGAAAAGUAAUCACUACGUGGCUUGACCCUCUUAUCGGUUCCCCAGCGGAGUCGCCAAGCUGUUGACGCCCUUUUUUUUGAUGAAAACGGGGUUGAUUUGGAUUUUGAAAAUGAAAACGGGAGUCGCCACCAAUCUUUUAUUAAGGUGUGAUUGGAUCACCUCGAAAAGCGGUCGUUUUUAAUAAACAGUUUGAUUUUAUUAAAACAACAAGUUUGGUCCACGAAAUUCAGAAAACGGGUUCGGGAGUCGGUUACGCACGAGGAAGGAUUAGCACCCUCGAUACGCCCAAAAUUGGUACCUUAGUUGAUUACUUAAUGUCUUAAUGUCGAAAAUUGAAAACUUAGAAGAAUUAAAAAAAAAUACGAUCCUUGUAUUAAAACGUUGAAAAUUUUCAGGAAAAUGGGUAUAUUUCACAUUAUUCGAGAAAGAGAAUCAUAUUCAGUAAGUUAGAAUACAAUGUCUCAGAUUCCCAAUACGUGAAUGAAUGCCAGAAUUUUACUUAUUUAAAAGAUAUUUUAUUAUCUCGGGUUUAGGAAAGGGAUCAUGCCCAGUAAGUUAGGACACGAUCUUUUCUUAAUUCCCGAGAUCGUUUCAAAACUUGAGUUUGAAAAGAUUAGUGUGUUUAGAUUUAUUGUGGAAAUCGAAACCCAGUAAGUUAGGGUACGAUCCUCUCGAAUCUAAACAAAAAUAUCAUUUUUUUUAAAACAAAUUUAAUUAUCGAGUAAAAUAAAAACAUGAAGUCGUAGUAAAAAAUGUGAAAGCAAGUUACAUUGUUAUACAUGACAAAAUCAUAAUGAAUACAAAAGUGUAAAAAUGAUACGAGCGAUAGCAACAAUAUAAAAUAAAUAAAAGUCAAACCUACAAUCAUAUAAAAUAACAAUAUAUAUAAACAAAUAAAUUAAACAUUCGUUCAAAAUAAUAAUGAAAAUGAAAUAAAUAAAUAAUGAAUACAAUCAAAAUUCAAAGGGAUAUAUAUAUUUAUGUGUAUAGACAAAAGAAAAUAUAAUAUGUGUGUAUUCAUAAAUUACAAUGUAUACAUAUAAAGUAUACUUUAAAAUAUAAAAAAUAUGCAUAUAGAUAAAAAUAUGUACACAUAUAUAUAGGUGUAUAAAAUUAUGGAAUAUGAAAAUAAUGAAAUGCAUAUAUAAAGUAGGCGCAUGAAAAUAUGUAUGUACAAAUUAGAAUUUAAAAAUAAUGAAAAUAUACCGACGUAUACAAAUAAGUACGUUAAUUUAUAUAUAUAUGUUUAAAAUAUAUUGAAAAUAUGUAUGUAUAUGUCUAUGCAAAUUAAGAUAUACAAAAACAUAUAAAUACAUACAUAAAUAUAUAUAUACUUAUAAAAAUAAAAAUAUGUAUAUGUGUAUAGAUAUAUAUAAAAAGAAAUAUGAGUAUACGUAUAUAUAUUAAACAAAUUAUAUGUAAAAUAUGUACAUGUACAUAUACAAGCACUUAUAUGAUAAUAAUAAGAUAUAUAUAUUUGAAAAUACAUAAGUAUAUAUGAAUAGAGAUGUAAAAGUAACAACAAUAAUACCAAUACUAAUAAUAGUAAAGAUGAUAAUAAUAAUAAUAAUAAUAAUAAUAAUAAUAAUAAUGAAGUUAACAAAAAUUGACUAAAUAAUAAAAUAUGCUAAAAAGGGGCCUUAAAUCGAAAUGAAAUAAAACAUAUAGGGCCAAUUCGAAAUAAAGGAAAACGAAAGGGAUCCAAUUGCGACGCGCGUAAAAAAGGGGAGGACCAAAACAGAAAAUAAACCCAAAAUCCCAAAACGCAGCACCUCAAUGGACUAAAAUAAAACAAAAAUAAAAUGUUAGGGCUAAAUCAAAAAAAAAUAAAACAACAAAAUAGGACCAAAUUGAAACACGCCGCGAAUCAGAGGGACUGCGCGCAUAAAUAGCCCAAAAAUUAAAAACACGCGGAUCCUACGGGUCGGGUCGGGUCGACGCGCGGAUCCCCCUUUGCUAAAACGGCGCCGUUUUGUGUUUAGUAUAAAUAAUAAGAAAAACCAAAAAAAUCAAAUCAGUUUCAUUUUUUUUAAAAAAAACAGAGAGAGAGAGCUCUCUCCUCUCUCAUCUUCCUCCCCAGAAUCCGGCCGCCGGCCCACCGCGCCACCGUCGCGCCGGCCACCGUACACGGUGGCCGGAAAUUCAAAAAAGGUAUUUUUUUUUAUUUUUUUUUUUUUAAAUAAAUUGCUUUUUAAUAUAUAUGUAUAUAUGUGUGAAAUAUUAAAAAUAAAUAAAUAUAGAGAAUAAAAAAAAUCACCUUUUCGAUUUUUUGUUUAUAUUUCCGGGUAAAAAUUACAAAAUAGAUGAAAAGAAAAAACCCCCCCUUCUUUAUGAUGUUCGAAUGGCUUUAUAUAGCCAUUUUACAAAAAAUUUUUUAUUGUUUGUUGCUGCUUGCGUGUUUGUUUCUCUUUGCAGGUGCAAGUGGCAUGGGAGCGGCAGAGCAGGUGGAGCAGGUGAGCAGCGAUGGGACGUGCGGCGGCCAGCAAGUGAACGGCGGAGUUGGUGGGUCUGCUGGUAUGGGUUCUUUUGUUUCUUUCUUGGGCCCGGGCAAAUGGGCCUGCAACACUUAGCUUUGAUCAAAUUCAAAUUUCUGUUAAAAUUAAAAUUUCCACUGUGAAAUUUAAAUUAGAAUUGAUUGAAAAUCUUGAACUUAAACAAGAAAUUAUACAAUUAAACAAAGCAAAAAAAAGGGUUAAAUUCUUAUUCUCUUUGUUUUUAUUUUUUAAAUAAUUAGUGGAAGCUAAAAAAAUCCAAUAAAACUUAAAAUUCAACCGAAAUUCCAACUUUGGCACGAUUAACAUUUUCGAAGCGAAAAAAGAAGCUCAGAUCUCGAUCCAAAGUAUAAUUCGAUUCGAAAUUUAAUCACGUAAAGCCCAAUUUUACUCACAAUUUGGCGUAAUUCAACGGGAAAUUUAAAAAACUCCAAAUAGUAAACCAUAAAAAGGACGAUACCUUAUAAUUCAAGUAAAAAGGUUCAAGAACUUACCUUUUGAAUUGAAAGGAUCUUCAGUUCUUAAAUCCCAAUAUAUAUACACACACAUAUACACAAAGAAAACAAUUAAAAAUGCAAUACUUUUAAUGAAAAUUCAGCUGAAACAAAGAUCAGAUUUUUAUUUUUUUAUUUUUUGGUUGAGUUGUUGUAAUUUGAAACGAAGAAUUUUUUUUACAAAAACCCUUCAAAGCUUAAGAAAUUAAAAAAAAAAAAGCGACAUUACAAAAUAAAAGGCUUAAACCCAUAGUUAUUGACCAAAAAACCGGUUGAGCCGGUGGAUUAGAGAUUGGUUCACUGGCAGUUGAAGGUAAUUAAACCCAUAGUUUCCAGCUGUCAGAAAACUAGAAAGGAGGAAUUACCACGUGGCAGUCGAUUACAUAUCGGAUAAGAUAAAAAGGAUAAAUUUUUCCAUAAGUCACUGUACUUUUGUAAAUUUAGAUUUAACCCCUAUACUUUUAUUUCUAGGAAAUUAAACUCUCUACUUUUUCAGAUUUCAAAAUUCAGCUGUCUACUUUUCAAGUUUCUGCUAAUUUAGUGCAGAAUUCUGACGCUAGCCUGGUGUCUAUGGUUUCAUAGAAACCUGUUCGUUUGGAAGCAAACAGAUGCGCCAGCAGCUGUGAUUGUCAACCAGGCUGACAGGUUUUUGAAGAAGUGGCAAGAUGCUCCGACUGUUUUAUCCAGGGGGCAGUGCGUUCCGUCGGGAAGGAGCAGCAGUCGAGUCACUUGGGAGAAGCCGGCUGAUGGUUGGGUAAAGUGCAACGUUGGCACCGCCAUCUCUUCUACAUCGGGCGGUUGUUUUGCAGCUAUUGUUCGAGAUCAUACUGGGUCUUUUAUCCGAGGUUGUUUAGGAACGGCCCCUACUGUUUGGGAGGUACAAAUGGCUGAAUUGGUGACCAUACGAGAGACUCUCUCUUGGUUGAGAACACUAAAUUUUAGAAAGGUAAUUUUCGAAUCGGAUUGUGGGGAUGUUAUAGAGCGUAUAACUCUUCACGGCAUGACUUAUCUGAAUUUAGGCUUGUUCUUCAAGACUGUUUGACUCCUUUCGGUGGACUAAACGAAUGGUUAAGACGGCUCACGAGCUCGUAAGAGUGACCUUAUCUCGAUGUCUCUCCCACGUUUUUUUUGCCUAUUUUUGAUACUGAUAUUUCUUCUUUACAGACUGAUAAUAUUCAGAGAGAUAAACCUAUUGCUUUAGAUUUUUGGUUUUGUGCUAUUGAUAUUUUUCAGAAAUCAACCUGAGUUAACAGUUAAUUAAACACCGAUCAAUAUGUAAGCCUAUGUUACAUUUAUGACUUUGUAAUGGGCCAAAUCUGCCCGGGCCCAACAACUAAAAACCAAAAUUUAAAAAAUAAAUAAAAAUUAAACCAAAUUAAAUGUCCACAAGUUCAAAUUACAUAUCCCAAUUUCAAACCCAAACUCAAAUUUAAAACUCAAAACCGAAUUAAUCCUAGCCCAAUACUCAAUGGCCCAACAACUAAUAGAGCCCGAUAGGCCUAAUCCUUUGAAAGUUCUUGGGAACCCUAACCCUAGCCCCAUUCGCUUGGCGCUGCAGCAGCCUUCAGCAUCCUCCAGCACUAACAUCGUUCGCGCCUCCACGUCGACACAAUCGUACCACCUCCGUACACCGCCACGUUCCUGCAAGCAGACAAGCAGACAACAGCAAAAUAGAGACAAAAAAGGAGCAGCUUUUUGUAUUUUUUUUCUUUUUUCUUCAUUUUUUUUUACUUUCGGCUUCAAAAGCCAAAGCCAAAGAAUGUAAUCAAGGGAGGCACACUUCGCAUAUUGUAAUAGAGAAAAAGGCUAUCAAAAUCAAGAGGUGAUUUCCGAUUUAAAUCGCUGGGCACUUUUUUAUUCUAUAUUUUUUUUUCUUUUUUCUUUCUCUUUGGCUUUAUUAUUUAGUUCUUGUUGUUUUUUUUUUAUUUUUAUUUGAAGACACGAAUAAAAAAGGCGAAGGGCUUACCUUUUCGAACGCGCCAUCGAAGUCCCUAGUUCCUUUGUCGAGAUCGGAGUUAUAGAGGGGAUUUUGGGGGUAAAAUCGGCGGUCCUUGAGGUAGGGAUCCAAGUGGGGUUAACUAGCGAACAGAUCACCCUCCGUCGAUCACCGUUUGGGGUGGUCAAAUGGCGGCUAGGGUCUUUUGAGGCUUGGUGCUAAAGAGGGGUAAAAAUCGGCCAAAUGAGAGAAAGUAUGGGGGUAUUAGGGUUUAGCUUUAAUAGAGGCUUGAAAAAAUGGCCAAUUGCCUCUUGAUCCCCUGCUAUUGUGGAUUAAAAAUGAAACGGCACCGUUUUAGGGAAAGGGACCGGCGCAUUAACCUGUUCCAGGACCAAGCUCUUAAAAUGGGUUAUUUUGUAGAAGGUCCUUCCCCUUUGCACCGCAUUAUGAUUAGCUCCCAUUCGCAUUUGAUUUGUUUUGAUUUCUUUUGAAUUUUUCCCAAAAUUUGAGCUCUUUUGCAUUUUAGCCCGUAUCUCAACGCAGUGUUUCGGGAUCAGGGAAAUUAUCAGCUUUGGUCCCUGUGAAUUCGCGCGUGUUGCGCAUGGGUCCUUAUUUUAAUAUUAGUAGUUUGUUUUAUUUAUAGAUUAUCCCUUUCAUUCUAAUUGCAUUUUAAUUAGAUCCUUUUGAUUUGUAUAAUUCAUUUUUUAUUAUUCGC